GCGGCGGAGGAGGAGGAGGUUUUGAAGCUGUGAUAGACUUCGGCGGUGGCGGUGGCGGUGGAGGAGGUGGCGGCGGCGGCGCUGCUUUGGGUGGUUGCACCGACCGCGGGGACGGCGAGAUCACCUGUUUGAUGUCAGGGGUCGAGCCGGCAGAGAAGCGCGUGCGCGGGGGCGUACGGCGGGACCGCGCAGGUGGCGGUGUCGGCGCAGCAAUGGCCGCCACAGGAGGAAAGCAGUCGCUGGUGAGGCUGGGGAGGCUUCGGCGGGACGCGGUGGUGGUGGUGGGCGGGCUGGACGCGCUGGCCUCACUCCACGUUUCGCCUCCAACCCCGCCGCCGCCGGAGCGCUGGCGCGGCGUGUAGUAGGCAUCGUCGUCAGAGGAGCCCACUGUGACCGCGCGGCGCAGCGGCGGGAGCGGCCGGAGCUCCGGGCUCGGGUGGUCGGUGGGCUCGUCGCGGCCCACCCCGCGGCGCGCGCGCUCGCUGCGCAGCUUCCGGUACGGGGACCCAACGAGAUCAGCAGUGGUUGGCCCGUGGUGGCGGCCGGGCGUGGUGGGCUCCACCGUGCCGACGUAGAGGAAGUCGGCGGCCGAGGGCGCAGAGUGGUGGCGCGCGGACCCGCGGUCGGGGCCGAGCAGCUUCUGCGAGUCCCCGCGGCGGCGCGCGCGGCCCGCGAUAAGGAACGCGCACGCGAACGCCAGCAGCGCGAUGGCCGCGGCCGCGGCCGCCCCCGCCGCGACGAUGGUCCCCUUGGCAGGGCCGCCGUGGUGGCCGCCGUCACCGGACCCUGACGAGGCGCUCGGGACGUUGGCGGCGACGGUGGUCGGCGUCGAAGACGUCGUCGCCGUGCCUCCGCCGCCAGCAGGCGCCGUCGGUGGUGCCAGAGGGAAGAAGUCGGCAGGAGGCCCGUCCGGCGUCGCCGGGUCGGAGGUGAAGUCCGGCGCCGGCGGAGGCGGCGGCGACGGCGGCGGGGUCCACUCGAUUGGGAACAAUGGCUGGUGGAGCACCCGCCUGGCCCCGCCUCCGCCGACAUCGCCGGGUGACGCCGACGCCGCGGCCGCCGGCGAGAGACGGCAGCACAGCAGCAACACGACGCACGCUUGUAGCAGCGUGACGGUAGUGGGAGGCAUUGGCGGUGCGGCAGGAGAAGAAGAAGAAGAAGAAGAAGAAAAAGAUGAAGCGAUCGACCGCUGCCUCGGCUUUCUAGAGCGGGAGUGAGGGUGAGGGGAGAGGGAGCGUGGGAACGGGAGUGGACGCCGCCAUUUUUGGUUCCGGGGCAGUAACAUACAUUGCUGCCACCGGCGGAGGGAGGAGAUCAACCGUGCCGCUCACACGUGGCGCGGGAAUCUGCGGCUUUCCGUUUGCUUCUUCUUUUUUCCUUGCUCUCUUUUCCUUGCCCUGUGUUUGGAUCCCACUCGCUCUGAAGAAAAGGAGAUCCAAUCAGAAACUAGAAGAAAUUUCGGUGGUUGUCAUGCACAACUAUACAAGAAACCGACGAAGGAAAGAAGGUUCAUUGACACACACUUUUGGUUGAAAAAUGGGGGAUUUUUUGCGGUGCCUUUGCAAAUUCGGGAUGGAUUAAAAUACAGGUGAUGGAAGGUUGGUGCUUGGUUCGCUCGAGGAGGCGAGAAAAUAUUCCGCAAUGGGGCAGUAAACACAUGCUGAAAUGGAACCUGAUUCUUUGCUUGCCAACAAACUCGAUGUGAUAUGAUCUUCAGGGCAGAAAGCCAGAAAAGGUCUACUAUGGGCUUAAAAAUAUUCUCCAUGGGCUUCAUGAGCUCUCGGUGGUCUACACACAGUACGCUACUAUCGACCAGCAUGAGCACUUGAGCAUAUGCUACUAUGCUAGUACAGUAAACAUAGAGAGGGUACUACUAUGACAUGUGGUCCUGGCCCUGCUCGCUUGUUAGUUAGAACAGGAUUUUCAUUCCACUGACGUGUGGGGCUCGGUGACAGUACAAGGGCACCAUGCCCUUUCCUUCUCCAGGCAUGCUGCAACUGCAAUGCACCUGCCCGGGUCGCCAUCAGCGAGCUGCCGCGACCAACUGCAAACAAACAGCGCCGGGAGCCGAGGAGGACGAGGAGGCAGAUUUGUCCCGCGCGCACGCAGCUCCCGGUGGUACGCAACGCACGCAGCAGCUGCCGUUCCACGACGUCGCCUGCACGCCAGCAGCAACCGUCCCGUCCCGUCCCGUUCCGUUCGCCGUGGCCACGCCCAUGCCCACGCCAACGCAUUAUCACUGCAUGCCUCGCUGCUGUAGCUGCUGCUGCCGGUGCGUGAACCGCAAUGAUCAAAAGCUGCGUCGUGCCAAAGGCGACGGUGGUAUUGUGUCGUUGAUGCUAGUAGGGUUAUCAGUAUUCAUUCAGUGUUGCUCCUUUUUUUUCCCCCACUCUCUUUUAUCAGGCGCUUUUGCUCUUGCAUCAUUGUAUCAUUCCGGCUAGUUGGGCAGGGAUCUUCGAGUGCUUUACUCGCUUUGCUAGUGCUAGCUUAGCUUUAAUCCAAAGUGAUUUACGGUGGGGAAGGACAACAAUGGAGGAUGCCUGCCGAUGCUGGAUGCCCAUGCCUUGCCCCCUGACCUGACCUGGCCUGCUCGGAGAGAGAGAGAGAGAGAGAGAGAGAUUGCUUGUUGUGUCUUCGGCCGGCGGCCUUCGGCUUCUCUUUUGUCCGCUUUAGUUUAGUGGGUAAAAACUAUGCCUGGUGCCGAUGAUUUGUAUAAUUGGCACGUCAAGCAUCUGCUUUGGCUGGGAUCACGUGGAAAGCGCCCAGAUCCCGGAGCGCGCAGCGCACUGUCGUCCGCUCCGCUCCGCCCUCACGGUCGGCUACGGGACGGGACGACCGGACGACGGCCGGUGCGUGCGUUGGUUUCGCGGGAAUUUCUUGCUUGCCGCUCCGUCACGCAGCCACCACCGCUAGUGCUUGGAAACUCGGGUUUAUUCUAUUUGUGUGCACCGGAACUCCCAAGGAAUCCGUCGAUCGGUCGAUGAUACGACAAACGCCUCUCUUCCAGGUAAAUAUAAAAUUUAAAUUUACCGUCCUUAAUUAUGCCAAACUGCCGUUUCCUCAAAAAAAAAUGCCAAACUGCCAACCGUACGUUAGCAAUAUUCCUCACUGAACAUUGGCUAGCUCUGAUGUAUACUCCGUACUUACGUAAAGAAAAUGGUAACAUCGUGGCAGAGAAUAAAAACGGUGAAACGUGAGGGGAGACCUGCAGAGACCAGAAAUAAUAAACACGCGCUGGCAUAUGCACAGAUCCCGAGAUACGGACAUACAGUGGCGUACUCCUAUCUGUACACGGCUAGGAUGGUGGUCGCACGUGGUGGUCUCGUGCUCAGGGGUGUGAUUAGUUGCGCGUGUAGGGCUGGAACGCCUUAAAUCUGCACGUUGAUUAGGGGACACACGUAGGCCCGUUCAAUCCCGUUUUCUAUCCUCCCGUGACUAGGUUAUUGAUGAUCCAUGAUCAUGAUGCUCUCCAGCCAGGGGAGAAAACAAAAGGAAACGAUGAUGACCAUGAUGCCCAACGGGUCACGAUGAAUUUCUUAACCCCAAAAGCAGGGACGACUGAGCCAAAAUAAGGUCCUAAGCUGGCAUAGCUAUGUGGAAAUAAUACUCUGUUUUUUUUUUAUUAGAUGGAAAGUGUGACCAUGUCAUAGUUCACUUGACUUGCUCGAAGUGUAUGUCAUGCAUGCCCCUAAGCUUCGUGUUCAUAGAGUGCUUACUUCGUUAGAAUUAGAUUGCAAAUAUAAGCCUCUCCAGAUUUGACACAUUUAGUAAGCUUCGAUCAUUAACUAAUAAUUAUUUACAAAAUUAUAUGCAUGCAUACAUUGAAAUUGUUGCAUGGAUAAAAGUUUGUAUGCCGAAAUGCCUUAGAGGUUUUGGCAUCUUAAACCUUUGAAAAACUGCUAGGGCCUUGUAACGAUGGCUAUGGUUUGAAUGGAAAUCAGAAAAUAAGCCUUCAAUUGGAACACCGACACCUUGCACUCAUGAAGACCACGAACUAUUUGCAACUAUCACAAAGAAAGAGGCCCUUUUUUGAACUUCGGCAUGGUUGCAGGGUGAAGAUCAAAAGGAUUUAGCCCCAAACAUCUUCUCAAUGUAAAAAGGAAGUUACAUACUAUUAUGAUGCGACGAACAAUGAUGCUUGGAUCUAUGAUCUUAACAUAGGAACCAUAAAGCCAGGGCAACAACUGCUAGAAUAUGUCUAACUAUGCAAGAGACUCUAAACAAUUCACGUUACGAUAGCAAAUACAGACUAUCACGUAGAUGCUUACAUAUCAUGGGGAAUAUAUGAUGAUGUUGGCCUACUACGCCCAUUUCAAAAGGACUUCGCACAUCAAAAUUUGAAGUCCUCAUCCAGCGCAGCUGGACACCACCAAAGUACAAAUUUUCCGCUUGGCUUGCACUUCAAAAUCAAAAUAGAUUUUUGAUGGGGGAUCGCUUGGUAGUCAAGGGUUAGUCAAACCAACAAAUAUGUCCUUUACGUCGGUCCACGAUCAAAACAACAAUGAAUUUGUUUGUGUGCACAAUUGAUUUAUCUCAAGAGUUUGGGAUCCAAUCUACCUUUGGUCAUCGGUGGACCUGCCGACUCGUGGCAGUUGUCAAAGCUUCACAUUUGGACACGAGUGAUGGACAGUGGUGGCCACAACAACGAGAGCGCCAAUCAGAGCACUGUGAUCCCUUCGAAUUUCAGUGUCAUGGGAAAUUUAGAAAGAAAAGAACAAAAAAAAAGUGUUCCAAAGACACUUGGCUAUCUCGGUAUUGGCAAAAACCAACGCCCAAACUUGGUGCACAACAGGAGGAAAACGUCUUCCAAUUAUCAUCUUGUGUUGGUAGUUUUUAGCAUGCUUGGUGCGUGUACAGUUUGUUUGUUUAUCUUCUUGGCUUAGGCCUUGACUCUUCCUCUUUAAAUUGAUAUAUAACAUCAGUUCACUACUAGUUAAAAAAUGUUACUAAUACGACUUUUAUGCGACAAAAAUAUACUAAUAAAUAAGUAUUUAUUAGUAUGAAUUUUGAUAUCAAAUUAGUAUUAAAAAUCAUCUACCAAUAAAGAAACUAUUGGUCAAAGGCUUAUUGAAAUGGAAUAUUAUUGCCCGAUUUAUAAAAUGCAAGUAAUUAUUUUCUUUAAUAACAUUUGUUUUUAUAUAUAUGUCACUCAUGUAAAAUAGGUCUGCCUUAGGGCAAACAUAUACACCAUGUAUUUUUUUUAUUUUGUCAUAAAUCUUGUUAUGCGAUUACUUUUGCAUCUUUCCAACCAAACGGGUACAUAGCUAUAAUCAUGUAAAAUUAUGUUGUUAUGCGAUUACUUUUGCAUCUUUUGCAAGUAAUCUUGUUUUGAAAAUAGGGAGUAGAUUAUUUUUACACUAUAGUUCUCAUCAUGUAGAGUGUAAAAAAAUUUAUAUUAUAAUUUUCUAACACUUAUAUGAUUUUAUAUUCAUUUUGUAAUAAUAUUUGAUUAGACGUUGUGUUCGCCAGCAAAUUUGAUAAGAAACAGAGUGUCUUUGAGCAAUCUAAUUUUUUCUAGUGUCCGCUGGCAAAUGGCCACCAUUCUACAUGUCCCACAGCCAAUUCUCCCAUUUUGUAUUUAGGCUCUCUUAGAACACACACACAAAAUUCUGUUUUUGUGUUUUCUAUACACCCUCUGUGUUUUUCUUAGUGUCAUAUUUGAUUUGUCCUAAGUAAAACGUGUAAUCUUUGACUAUUGAUUUCUGAAAAAUAUAUAGUUUCAUGUCAUAAGAUUUAUAUUUUUAGAUUUGUUAUAAUAAAUACUAUCAUAAUAUAUAAUUCAUAUAUUGUCAAUCUAUAAGGAUUUUUAAAAUAGUUGGUCAAAGAUUGCAAUUUUUGACUUAGGACAAACCAAAUGUGACACUUAAAGAAAAAGACAAGACGGAUAGAGUAUUAAAAACAAACUGAUUUCUAUAAAAUUUAUGUAUGGUUCUUGUAAAAUUUAUACGUCUUAAAUGGAUCCCUAAUUAUUAAGGCCUUGUUUACUUCCAAAAAAUUUGUAAAAUAGGAAUAGUAGCACUUUCGUUUGUAUUUGAUAAAUAUUGUUCAAUUAUGGACUAACUAGGCUCAAAAUAUUUGUCUCGCCAAUUCCGACCAAACUGUGUAAUUAGUUUUUAUUUUCAUAUAUAUUUAAUACUUCAUGCAUAUAUUUAAAGAUUCGAUGUGACGAGAAAUCUAAAAAAUUUUACAAAUUUUUUUGGAGAACUAAACAAGGCCUAAGGCAAUGGCUUGCUACAUGUAUCGGCGAUUUUUUACAGUAUGCAUUAGUAGUUACGGUAUCGCAGACAGAACAUAUGACAAAUCAGAGUCGCGAGUACGUACGAGUAGGACAGUAGGAGUAGGCUCCGUGACCGUGACCGUGUGUCCGCGAGGACGCCGUACAGAAACGUCGGUGCUCAGUGGCCCGGCUCGUCCUGGACCAGAGCAGGUGUACUAUAGCGGCAGAGCUGCGUACCAGAUACAGUGCACACGUCUGCCACAAAAUCCACACAUUCAAUCCGGGAUCCCGACGCUGUGGACUGGAGCCGGUGUCCGAGAGGCUGGCUCCAAUGAGGAAAUCACGAAUGAGACGGAGUCGGGGUGACCAGUCGCUAUCCUCUCCUGUGUGGUCUCUGCAUUUAGGUGUGGCCAAUUACUGUGAACCUCUAAGCUUGUAGUACAUGCUUUGAUGUGCUGAUGAGGAGGCUGCAGAUCAGGCGCUCAUGGUCGCGUCGAAGCGCAGCAGGAGGAGGGCUGGUACAGAACUUUGUACUUGUGCCCCCUGUUCAGGUUCUAUGAUUUGAUUUGAUUUGAUUUGAUUUCCUCCGCUCCACUUCUCUCAGGUGUUAUAUGUUUUAUUACUCUGAUGAUUGUCGUGAUUUUGUCGAGACCGUCAUCGGCUACUCUUUUCACCCUGCUUCAGUUUCAGUAUUGCGUACCAAAGACCUAUAUAUUUCUGAUUCUCAAAAGGUUACGAAUUCCCAGUAUCUACAAACUUCUGGUGCUGAAUAUACAGAAUUUGUUGUGAAAUAUUAUAUUAUCCUAAAUGCUACUGUAACUUCCGGUUAUUUCCUGUUGUCCACAGCCAAGAUUGCAGGAAAAUUGAGCUGCCUAUCUGCAUGGUUAACAAAUGGAGUCCUUCCUGAACGCGAGGCCCAGCCCAACCAAAACAAGGGAGAAGAAGCAUGGGCCGGGAAGGCGCCAACUCCAACUCCCGCCUUGCCGAGCCUGUGAUUUCGCCCACGAAGAUCUUAGCCCGCUUGUCACGGUCCGUGAACUGAACAUUCGGCCUAUACUAGUACACGGGCUAAACCAUGCGCAUUUUCGUCAUGCGGCAUUAUCCACGGUACUACUGCCGUCCUUGUACUGUACUUGUGCAGGUAUGAGGUAUAUAUACCUCAGAGCUCAGUAGCACACAGAAGAUACAGUGUAUCUCUCAACUCAAUGAGAGAUACACUGUGCAUGGUAGACGACGGUACUACCUCCCCGCAUGUGCUACGGGUGCACACUUGGGACGUGCAAUGCAUACUCCUGUCCUGCAGCUUCAGGGUACACAGAAGCCGCAAGCUUUGACUACCGGAGGCCGGAGGGAGCAUCUGCAGUUGUGCACUACGAACACCAUCUGACGGCGCGUACGGGCCUGCUACGUAUCCUUGCCAACUCCUACACGCGCGACUGCACACCGUCCAACAGGUAGGUUCAUUGACUUGCGAGACGGCCGCCGGCCCCCCGUGCCGUGCGUACCUACAGGGAUCGAUUCCAGCGGCGUUCGUGUAAUGGCUGAAGAAUCUCCAAUCGCGCGCGGCUGGGGCUGUACCGUACCUCUGAUUCGAUCGGUUUUUUGUUUGUUGGGGUCACUUGCAGUCACAGUACACGGUACCUUCAUGCACACUGCGUUGUUGUGUGCAUUGGAUUCGCGUGGUCAAGACUGGAAGAAGAGUCAAGACUCGAGAUUCAGGACGUUCUUGUUUUCAAGUCUCAACACUGAGGGUCUUGUUUAGUUCCGAAAAGUGAAAAGUUUUCGGAACUGUAGCACUUUUGUUUGUUUGUGACAAAUAUUAUCCAAUCAUAGACUAACUAGGAUCAAAAGAUUUCUCUCGUGAUUUACAACUAAACUGUGUAAUUAGUUUUUAUUUUCGUCUAUAUUUAAUGUUUCAUGCAUGUGCCACAAGAUUCGAUGUGACGGGGAAUCUUGAAAACUUAUUGGUUUUCAUGUGAACUAAACCAGGCCGAGGUUCGUCCUUGGCGGGGCUGCUGGCUGCUGCAGCUAGCACAGUAGUACCAAUGCACGUACUAAACUAUACUGAUACUGUUCAGCUGUGACCUAGAGUACUGUUCAGCGAAAAACUGUAUUUGCACUGCUAUUUCAAACACUCUCGUCAACUGUGCUGUAUUUGCACUGCUAUCAUUUCAAACACACUUGCCUUCCCUUGGUCCACACGAUUCCAAGCAGAUGGCUAGCCCUGCCCUGCAUGGCUGCAUCCCUGGAGCAAAAGAAUAAAGCCGUGUCAGCUAGCGAACCAUUCUCGCGGAUCUCAAUCGACUACAUAUGUCCAAGCCAGCUGCCAGCGGCCAGCCAGACAGCGCGCUCAAAUUCUCACCGCAAGACACCAAACCACACUACUGUUGACACGUUCAGUGUGGCUGGCCUCCACCUCGAUGAAUCGAUCGAUCGUAUCCGUGCGCACGCGCACGGGGCCGGCGGAGGACGCCGCAUCGGGAUCGAGCGAUCGAGCUCCGGCCGCCUCGCUCCAAGCCACGUCCGCAUCGAUCCACACUCCCGCAGCCAGCCUGAACGUGAGCCCUUGUUCGGCGUCGUCAGGCUCACUCACGGUCCGCGACAAGGAACCUGGUCCACGUCCAGAGCGCGUCGCGUCGCGUCGCGUCGCGUCAAGUUCAAGCCCCGCCGUCCGCGCCCGGCCGAUCGGACGACCACCUGUGAGCGAGCCGCCCCAGGCCGGAUGCGUUGCGCGUCUUGCGCCUGCGGGCUGCGGCCCCCGCCCCUGGCCUGCCUCGGCCUCCGACUGCACUGCCCGCGUGAGCUCGACCGCGCGCGUCCAGUGAUCUCGUGAUGGAGCGCCCGGCCGUCCCGGGCGCGCGCGCUCGCUCGGCCGGUCGGCCCCAACUGCCCCGCUGCGCGCCAUGCCAGUAGCCCAGUACACGAAGAAAAGCGCGGCUCGCGCGGCACCCACCCGAGGCCUAGCCUAAAAGCUCGGCCAGCCGUCAACUUUGGCCGUAUUGCAUUGCAUAGUUGCCUGCCGCCCCGGUGGAUCGAUCUGCUUGCCACGGCAAAUGCAGCUAUGAUACAACCUACUGCUCCCUCCGUCCACGAAAGAGUCAAUUUCUAGAGUUGCCCUAAGUCAAACUUUUUAAACUUUGACCAAAUUUCUAAAAAAAAUGCUAAGAUUUAUGGUAUCAAAUUAGUAUAAUUAAAUUCAUCAUAGAAUAUAUUUUCAUAUGAUGUGCAUUUUAUGUUAUAGACGUUGUUACUCUUUUCUAUAAAGUUAGUAGGAAUUGAUUUUUUCGUGGACAGAUUCUAGGAAUUGAUUCUUUCGUGGACGGAGGGAGGGAGUAGUAAAUAAUCAGCGCGGGGGCAGAUGGCGAUCGAUUCUCUGUUGGCCCGGGUACAGAGGCUACAAGCUGGUACAUCCGCCGCGGAGCCCGGCUUGUGACUUGCGAAUUGCGAGGGAUUUCGUCCGUGGGAGGAGGGCCUUGUUUAGUGCACCCAAAAAGCAAAAAGUUUUCAAGAUUUCCCGUCAUAUCGAAUCUUACGGCACAUACAUGAAGUAUUAAAUAUAGACGAAAGCAAAAACUAAUUACACAGUUUAGCUGGAAAUCGCGAGACGAAUCUUUUGAUCCUAGUUAGUCUAUAAUUGGAUAAUAUUUGUCAUAAACAAACGAAAGUGCUACAGUAUCGAAAUCCGAAAUCUUUUCGGAACUAAACAAGGCCGAGGUGGUUUUUGCGUUUGUCUCCGGCGCUCUGGGUUCGUCCUUCGUUGGGCAGCCGGGGACCUCGCGCCCCACCGGCAGUGACCUACACGCCGGUGUGCUGCGGCCUGCAGCACGAGCCGUUUCCGUCGCCGUGGUCGCUGUGGCGCGUUCCCAACCCUGACUGACAGACAGCUCACGCUUAGCGGCUGCAGCAAGACGAUCAACGAGAUGUUCGUCACGUGCAAUGGAUCGGUCGAGUCAAAUGCAGCAGCCAAUCAUCCAGGCGUUAACGCCGUGCUUACCCGCUGUACUGCGAGAUCCAACGACCAUCCAAACCUUCGCCCUGGUUCGAUCCAUAGGACAUCGCACUACUCAUCCCGUGCAGGUUCUGAAGAGAAUAGAGAUCCUCGAAAAUCCUUCAGACAAAGUAUCCAAAGUUUGAUUAUAUUUAUGAAAAACUAUUAAUAUUUGUUACACUAAAUAGGUGUGUUAUGGCUUAUGAUAAUAUGCUGCGUGAAGAAUCUAGUGUCACUUAUUUGGUAUGAUAAAUACUGAUACAUUUCUUAUACAGAUUUGCAACACAACACCGUACUGAUUGGUAGAUGUACCUCGUCACGAGAUGCGUAUACAGUAUACUAAACUCGCUGAUCUGCAGGCUUUAUUUAAUUUCUUUUGACGCGAGCCAUUUUCCUGUUUCCAUUACUGAAAUACAAUAGUUCAGUAGGCAGAAGUAGAAAAACAAAAGAGAAAAGAAGAAGCUAUGGAUCAGCCAAAAAGUAAACGAUCAUGUCUUCUGUUUCAGAGAAUCAAGAUCGACUAAAGAAACCACCACCCCAAACGAGAUAGACUAAAACGACUACACUAUAGAAACCAGUUCAUUAGGCCCUUCACACCGUAUUGCUUAAGUGGUGCUAAAAGAAGAGAGAGAUUAUCGUGAAGUCGCUCCACACACUGCGAUCACCGAUGCCAACGCUAGCAAAACAUGGAGUGGCGCAAGUACUUAUAGCGAUGCCAAAUACGCAAUGUGAGGCCUGUUUUUUUUAGGCCUUGUUUAGUUCCCAACAAAUUUUGCAAAAUUUUUCAGAUUCUCCGUCACAUCGAAUCUUUAGACGCAUGCAUGGAGUACUAAAUAUAGAUAAAAAUAAAAACUAAUUGCACAGUUUGGUCGAAAUUGACGAGACGAAUCUUUUGAGUCUAGUUAGUCCAUGAUUGGAUAAUUUUUAUCAAAUACAAACGAAAAUGCUACAGUAUCGAUUUUAAAAAAAAAAUUGGAACUAAACAAAGCCUUAGCACCACGCCACAUUGUGGAGGGUCUUAUAGAGCAGGAAGCCCCAUGUACUAACUUUUUUUCAAAAAAAAAAAAUACAGCAAACUUUUACACUGACAGUAGACUGCUUCUGGUCUAUACGGUGACGGAUGUACUUCGAUUCUUGAACAAUCGAUUUAGGCCUUGUUUAGUUCCUAAAAAAUUUUACAAAAUUUUUCACAUUCCCGUCACAUCGAAUCUUUAGACGCAUGCAUGGAGUAUUAAAUAUAGACGAAAAUAAAAACUAAUUGCACGGUUUGAUCGGAAUUGACGAGACGAAUCUUUUAAGCCUAGUUAGUCCAUAAUUGGACAAUAUUUAUCAAAUACAAACGAAAAUGCUACAGUACCCAUUUUGCUAAAUUUUUUGCAACUAAACAAGGCCUAAGACGCUGUGUUGGGUAGAACUAGAAACGUAGGACAAAUCCUCCUGAUUCUUUUAUGUGGAUAGAAAGAUGGACAAAUACAAGUAUCUGAGUGUUUAUUAUUUAUUUACAUAUUUAUAAGCUGUGAUGGAAUUAAAAUUUUGAAUAUGGUACAUUAGAUAAAAUUUGUUAGAAUAUUUAGUGAAUUUAAUAUGUUAGAUUUUCUUUUCUAGGUGUAUUUUUUUAUUUUUUUAGUGAAAUGGAAUUUGAAUUUUUAAGAAUCUUAACUCUCCACUGUUCGUUAAUUUUGAAGCCUUUUAUAAAAAAAUGUGCUUGUGGAUCCAACUAUUCAAAUCUGAUAUGAAGCCUAAUUUUCAGUAUCCUGAUUUGAAGAUGGUGUCUGACAUUGAACAUUUGGACCUUCUAUUUUAAAUUGUAAGUUAUCUAGCAUUUCUAGAUACAUAGAUUUUAAAGAGUACCUUUAUAAAUAUUCCAUAACAUAUAGAAAAAUAAUAUGUAUCUAAAAAUUUAAAGGACUUACAAAUUAGAACAGAGAGAAUACUUUGAUUCGUCUUUUUCCACAAAUUUGUUUUUUUACUUACAAUUCAGAUACAAAUUCGGAUAGCUAUUUUGUGGGAACAUGCCAAGUUAAACUAACGUAUCUAGACCAAGUGUCAUCCUCUUGAUCAACACAUCUCAAGUAAAUAAACUCUGAUAAUCCCUAGAGAUGCCAUCCGUGUACUACACUAGUGCAAGACAUAGGAUCAAUAUUUGUCGUUUGCGCUUUUCGAGAAAUCGCUUUGACAAAAUAUAUAUUAUAAAAUAUUAAUAUUUAUAGUAUAUAAUUAGUUUCAUUGGAAAAAUAUCUAAAUCUAGUUUUUUUAAUAAAUUUAUUUCGAGAUACAAUUGCACGUAUUUUUUACAAAUUGAGUCAAAUUUGUGCCAACAAUAACAAAUAUUUAAAGACGGAGGGAGUAGACAUAUAGCCGUCUCAACACAAGACGGGGUCAACUGAUAGCUGCUUGAGGUAGAAGUGGCUUUAGGAGACAUGAGCAUGAUUAUGAUGAUCAAUGGUGGUUUAGGGUAAAAAAAAGACUACUACGAAUUUACAAGAGAAGAUUAAAAAUAUGAUUGCAAUUUUUUUAAUUUAUAAAAGGCCCGAGGAACUAAGUGCCUGUUUGAAUCCCUUCACAAGUGUAUUUAAAACCAACAAAACUAUUUAAAAAAAUUCACAAGUACAAAUUAUGGUGUGAGCUGUGGUCCUCGUCAGGUCAGCUUGGCGCCCGUCACGAGUCACGACACUUGUCGUCUACCAAAGCCUUGUUCAGUCGUGAUUUUUUUUGAAUUUUGUUACUGUAGUAUUUUUAUUUUUAUUUAAUAAAUAUUUUCUAAUUAUAGAGUAACUAGGUUUAAAAGAUUCGUUUCGUGAUUUACAGAUAAACUAUAUAAUUAAUUUUUAUUUUUAUCUAUAUUUAAUAUUCUAUGUAUAAGUUGUAAGAUUCGAUGUGAUGAAUAAUGUUAAAUUUUUUUUGGUUUUUGUUGGAAAACCCGGGGCCGCGGCCUUCGGUUUUCUUCUCCCUCUCCCUUCCGGCCUUCCGCUGUCCCUCUUUCCCUCCCACGCAGGCCGCACCAGCACCACGCUGGCACGCCGCCUCCGCACUCCACGCAGACACGCACAGCUCCACCACCCAUGUCGCGCCCUCUCCAACUGCUCAUUUCUGCUCCCCCCCUUGUGCCCCUGUGAACGCGCGCGAGUGUGGCGGAGACCGGAGAGGAGGGAGGGAAUCCCCCUUUCCGUUCCAGUGUUCCGCGCCGUGCUCGCGCGCGCGCGCACCCACCCGCACUCCGCACGCCGCCUUUUCCUCCGCCCUGCUGCUCUCCUCCCACUGGACGACCAAAAAUCUUUUCCUUCACUUUUCUCUCCCUUUUCCCCGCGCAUGCACGGGCUCUGAUUGACGCCAUGGGGGACGCCGCCGCCGCAGCGGCCUCCACGUCCGCUCCCGACACGCCCACAUCCAUCCUCAUCUGCCGGGAGGACGGCGGCGGCUUUCUCGCCGACGCCGACGACGAUGGCGACGGCGCGGACCUCGUCGUCGCCCGCGACGAACGUCUGCUGGUCGUGGACCAGGACGAGGAGUAUGUCGCGCUGCUCCUGUCCGAGGAGAGCGCGUCAGGCAGCGGCGGCGCCCCGGCGGAGGAAAUAGAGGAGUGGAUGAAGGCCGCGCGCUCCGGAUGCGUCCGCUGGAUCAUCAAGGUCGUUCGCGCGGGAGCUCUUCCUUCUUCGUCCCCCCAAAUUCGGUUUUUGCCAAUGUUCAUCUCUUGUUUCUUUGCUGCUCGCAGACCACGGCGACGUUCCGGUGCGGCGGGAAGACCGCCUACGUCGCGGUCACUUACCUCGAUCGCUUCCUCGCGCAACGGCGAGUCAAUGUAACUACCCACCAAUAACCCUGCAUUUUCCCAUUGCCGUCGCCAUUGCUGGCCUCUCUUCCUUCCGAUGAUGUACGACUGACUGCGCACUGCGGCCGUCUGUGAUGAUGAUGGGUUCAGAGAAGGCAGGAGUGGGCUUUGCAGCUGCUCGCGGUGGCGUGCCUGUCGCUGGCGAUCAAGAUGGAGGAGCAGCACGCGCCGCGGCUGUCGGAGUUCCGGGUGGACGCGUACGAGUUCGACAGCGCAUCCAUCCUGCGGAUGGAGCUCUUCGUCCUGUCCACUCUCGAGUGGCGGAUGAACGCCGUCACCCCCUUCUCUUACAUCAGCUGCUUCGCGGCGCGGUUCCGGGAAGACGAGCGCCGGGCGAUCCUCCUGCGCGCCGUGGAGUGCGUCUUCGCGGCGAUCAAAGGUUCCUCCUUUCCCCUCUCUCUCUCUCUCUCCCAUGCAUUUCCUUCCGUUCCAUGGAGUCCGAUCGCGGCCGCAGCUGAUCUUUUGUCCGCGCCCAUUCGCGCAGCGACGAGCUCGGUGGAGUACCAGCCGUCGACCAUGGCCGUCGCAUCCAUCCUCGUCGCACGCGGCAGGAAUCUGGACGCGCUCAAGGCGAUCCUGGGCUCAUCAUGUCCGCACAUAGACACCGUAAGCCCCUCCUGCCGCCCACCGUGUCCGUCCGUCGUCUUCUCGAGUCCCUUUCGGGGAGAGGCUGUUGGCGGAAAGCGUAAUGAUGAGUAACAAAUGCGGCCGCUGUUGGUGUCUGGCAGGAGCAUGUGUACUCCUGCUACAGCGCGAUGGUUCAGGACGACGACAAGUCGCCGACGCGCUCGACGUCGACGGGGGUGGCGUCCUCGGGCGUCUCUGUCGCCGCGCACGCCGGGAGCGGGAGCGGGAGCCCCAGCCCGGGCGCCUCCGUGUCCGUGGGCGCCAAUAAUGCCGCUGGCACCGCCACGCCGGACAACCACAGCAACAAGAGGAGACGGUUGCGCUCACCUCAGCGACAGUAGGAGCUGCUAGGCAGUGACGGCAGUGCAGUCCAGCUGCAUUUUUUCAGCUCACCAUUUCCUUUUUGCUGCUGAUUGUUUCUUCGUUCAGGGAGGGGGUGGCCAAAAAUGCCCGAAUCCAAAUGGGGGCGAGAUUUGAUUCUUCGGAUUAGUGCGGUGUCAGCAGGGUAAUUUAGUGCUGGAAAGAUUUUUGGUUUUGAGGAGAUCUUUCCCGGGAUCAAAGGGGGCAUGGCAGUGUAAGGACCAAAGCUGAAACAGAGCAAAGCUCUUGCUCAAAGCGGGAAGGCCUCAGACAGACCUGACUUCACAGGGUACCUACCAUGGUAAAAGUGAGUGAAGUCAAGGAGUAGGGAGUCAAUUGUUUUUUUUUGUGUGUGAAUACCCGUCUGUACCAGGCUACCAGCUAAUCCCGGCUGUCUGUCAUCUUUUCUUUCUCUGUUUAUUAAUUAUUAAUAGCCAGUCACUGCAUCAGUGACAAUAUAGUUAACCAGGUAUUUGUGUCAAUUGGUUAGUAUUUGCUUGAGCCGUAUCAUGCUCUUCAGACAGAUUUCCGAUGCCGAACCUUUGAGGGCAAAGGCUACUCGUCGAGUGCUUUUGCUCCAUUUCACCUGUUGACUGUGAUUGAUGACGAGGCCCUGCUGCUGGUUCGUUGGUAUGCGUGCAGUUGCCGUGCACAGCAGGCAGCUGGGAGUAGUUUAAUGUUUUAUCGCGCGGAUCGUGAAAGAGACGCUCGUUCCCUGCUGUGCUGCCUUCUUUCUGGCGGCGUUGCCUUUUGUGCCGUGUCAUCAAAUCGCCUGCUCGCUUUGCUUGCUGCUCUACUCGCAACAACCAUGGUCCAUCCAUGGCCAUGGCCCCCCGCUGUUGUUGGGAGAUGGCUGGCACUGUUCGUGUGUGUCUCUUUUCCUCUCUCAUGCACCGGCACGCUGGACCCCUUCAUAACUCACUGCGUCGCGUCUCAUACACUGCAAAUGGCUUUGACUUGGACAUAUCACACACACACUUGCAGCUGCAGCAGUAAAAGGCAGCUAGGCAGGUGAAAUAUUAGGACAGUAGCUCAGCUUCCUCUCAGUCUCAAAUAAACACAAGAAGAUCGAGAGUGGCCUUGCAAUGUGCAUUGCCAUUACAAAACUGCUCCUGCGCUUCUAAGGUCACACAUGGCCCAUGCGGUCAAAAGCUAAGGGACAGGCACGAGGUGAGAGGGACACGACCUGGUAAAAACUCCAUGUACUGGCGAUGCUAGGCUGUCGUGCCGUGCGCCUGGCACUGGCAACCGGCUAGGCCCUGUUUAGUUUCCCACCUAAAAAUUUUUCAUCCAUCCCAUCGAAUCUUUGGACACAUGCAUGAAACAUUAAAUGUAGAUAAAAAAAUAAACUAAUUACACAGUUUAGUUGAGAAUCGUGAGACGAAUCUUUUAAGCCUAGUUACUCCAUGAUUAGCCGUAAGUGCUACAGUAACCCACAUAUGCUAAUGACAGAUUAAUUAUGCUUAAUAAAUUUGUCUUGCAGUUUCCUGACGAGCUAUGUAAUUUGUUUUUUUAUUAGUUUCUAAAAAUCUCUUCCGACAUCCUUCCGACACAUCCGAUGUGACACUCAAAAAAUUUCCGUUCCCAAUCUAAACAGGCCCAAAAGAAAACAUUUGCGCAACUCAACGUGGCAGGGGUGGCUUUUGUCAAAAAGAAAAAAACGUGGCAGGGGUGGCACUGUUGGAAUUUUAUUCCCGGGUGGUUGCUUGCUUCGUGCUCAGGAGUCAGGAGGUCUUGUCUCGUAGGAGAGGAUCCGGAGUAACAUGCUCACAGGCCAGUGCUUGACUGGUCAAAAAACGUAUUGGCAUCGAUGACACUGCUGACGGUAGCGAUGGAAGCCAGCUGCCAGCUUGGUGAUGUUGUCAAUUUGUGAUGUCAAGAUAGCCUGGGAUGCCAUGCCAUGCCGGAACAAGGUUGGAGUAACUGAACUGGCAGGCCUGUGCAGUGCUAGCAGUAGAUCACAGUAGUAUCUUCUGACGCUGGCAUUUGGAUUGCUACUAAUUCCUGGUCAAACUUAAAUACGCUCCGUUUUUUUUCUCUUUUUAAUAAGCGAUAUAAGAAGGAAGCAGGAAUCCUGCUGGAUUUUAUACGAGCAUAAAGAAGCAGAAGAUUCACAAGACUCCUGCAUAAUGAUGGCCUUAUCAGAUCUUGGAAGCUAGUGGGGGGACGUUUUCUUGGCAAAUCAGAAACAUUUAAACCCCACUCAUUUCUGGAACUUCUGACUGAAACAUAACUUAGCAGAUGAUGAAAAUGAUACGUAGGUGUCAAAACAAGCACAUUCGGGUGAACAACAAGGUUGCCAUAUACAGAUCCAGCCUCCAAUGUUCCAAGGAAAAGCACCAGGGGAAAAAAAAUAAAGCAAAGAACAGCUACAGCAGUCCGAGGCCUUUUCUAAGGAUCAAGCCCACAACCUUGGCUGACACUCGGAUGAUGCUCUAAGAUCAAACACUACAGGAUAAAAAGGGGAAAGAUUCACAGACAGAAGCAUUAUCAGGCAGCAGAGAUCUAUCUUGUACACAAAUGGCAACACACAAAACUUCAUUGCCAUGAUCAGACUGUAGCUAUGCCCAACUUCGGUUUUCGGCUGAAAUUAGCUCUAGUUUCCUACGAAGAUCCAACCGGUAUCAUCUUCACAAUAGCGGCGAUAGGCAUGCCUAUGAAACCGAUACAAAUACAUGCUAUCCACUGGUUGAGCGUAAGAGGAGUAGUGUUUGCGAAAUCGCCAAGGAACUGUAUUAUGAUGAACUGGAAGAUGACAGUACUGCCGAGGACAGCAAUGAACACAUUGUUGUUUAGAAUGCCUUCAAACACAUUUAUCCUCUCCAUCUCUCUCGAGCUCAUCUCAUUGAACACCUGCACAGCAAAGUUAAAGGUUAAGUUCGCAAAUAAUCGUAUCAUUAGUGCAAGAAAUUUAAACUGAGUACAAAUGCAGACUAACCAAUUCAUCAGCACUUAGCUAGUUAGCUUGGACUUACCUGGCAGAAUACGAAGCAAUUGAAGAUAAGUGUGUUCAAGACUAGAUCGGAGUUAUCGCCCUUGAUACCAAACAACCACUUCCCCUCUGUCUGUAGGUACCAAAUUACAAGGAACUGGUAGAAGGCCUGUCCCAGGAUGUUUCUCCACAUAAUGUUACUGAUGAAGUUCCCUUUCCUUCCAACAGGUGUUCUCUUCAUCAGUUCAUUGUUUGGGGGUUCUGUAGCCAAUGCCAGUGCACCCAGUGUAUCCAUGAUCAUGUUGACCCAGAGCAAUUGCACGGCAGUAAGAGGGGCACUCCCUGAAUGAGCAUAAAUACGAACAGUGAGAUGUAGAUUUAUGAAAUAAACAAAAGGACAUUCUACUCAAGUAGUACAAGGAUUUCCAAACAAUAAAGGAUGACAAAUGUACCUGUCAGGCAAGCUGAGGAGAAGUUUACCACCAGAGCAACCACAUUGACAGUGAGCUGAAACUGCACAAACUUCUGAAUGUUGAUGUACACUGAUCGACCCCAUUUUGCAACGGUAACAAUAGUGGAGAAGUUGUCAUCAAGAAUGAUGACAUCAGCACUUUCUUUGGCCACCUUCAAGAAUAUGUUAAGAAGAGUCAAAAUCAAAAUUGGAGUAAAUAGUGAAUUAACUUGAGAUAUCAUGUAAUUGAUGGUGUUACUCAUGGUCAUGGAUAUCAAGAUCUCAUAGAUGUUGCAGCCAUAUAGAAGAAUGAAAGAGCAAAAAAUUACACUAUUAAAUAGAGCUAAAAAUAACUUUCCAAGAUAUUUGAUAUGGGUGAUUACUAUAAGAUAUCAGUAAUAGUUUGGUUACAUGGCUAGUUAUUUUUAGCAAUGUCAGGGGAGUCUCGAAAUUACCUCAGUUCCGGCAAUGCCCAUUGCAAGCCCAAUAUCAGCCUCAUGAAGCGCAGGCGCGUCAUUUGUCCCAUCACCAGUCACUGCCACAACUUCGUCGAGUUUAGUUCGAAGAUGCUUGACAAGGGUAUGCUUAUCCAGUGGUGAAGAUCUUGCCAUCACCUGGUGCAUCCAUAGCAAAGCACAGUGGUCAAUGAGCUACUAGAUUUUGCAAAAGCGCACAAAAAGAUGGGUACUAGAACUCGUGAACUUACCUGUAUCUUUGGUAUCAGUUGAGUAAGCUCUUCUUCACUCUUGGUUCUGAAAUCUGGGCCUUCUAUGGCAAUGCCACCUUCAGUUAAAAUGCCGCAUUCCCGGGCAAUUGCCUUUGCCGUGUUGAUAUUGUCACCUGUGACCAUCCUGACAGUAAUACCUGCCGACCUGCAGAUGGCAACAGAUUCCUUCACUCCAGGCCGGACUGGGUCUUUGAUCCCCACAAUUCCAAUGCAGGUGUACCCAUCUGUCGGGAUCUGAUCAUUGGCUGAGAACCCAUCCUCAACUUCCAUGUAGGCAAGACAGAGAGUGCGAAGUGCCUCGUUUGCGAAGCUAUCGAUUGUGGCCUUCAAGUGAUCAAUGGUUCCUUCAUCCAGGGGGACGACAUUGCCUUCCUCAUUCAGGUACUUGCUACAAGAUGCCAGUAUGAUCUCUGAUGCACCUUUGCAGUGUGCUCGCAGUGCACCCUCUGGGAGCUGGAUUACCACUCCCAUUCUCUUCUUGGCAGAAUUGAAUGGCUCCACCUUUACAAGGGUGCUUGCUUUGCGCACUGCCGAAAAGUCUCCACCGAGUGACAGCCCGAACUCCAGAAUAGCUGUCUCAGUUGGUGUCCCCAGUAUUUCACGUUUGCCAUCCUGGUUCAAGACAACGUCUCCCCCAGUGUUGUUGAAUAUGGACUGGGAGAGAAUCGUCAUGACAGAGUCUGGGAGUUCGGAGAACAGGCUCUUGGUAUCCGAAUCACCAUCCACUUCUUUGAUCUUACCACAGAUGCAGGCUUUGACAACGGUCAUGUGGUUUGUCGUAAGAGUGCCAGUCUUGUCACUGCAAAUGGAGGUCGCUGAGCCCAUGGUCUCACAAGCUGCAAGGUGCCGGACAAGUGCCUUGUCAUUCAUCAUCUUCUUCAUUGCAAAUGCAAGACUCAGUGUCACAGCCAGCGGUAGCCCUUCAGGUACUGCCACAACGACAAUGGUGACAGCAAUGGCGAAGAACUCCAGCAGCUCCAAUGCAUCAUCUCCAGUCCAGCUCAAGUACGUGCCAUCCAUGAUCUUGCGCCGGAACAGGCUUUCGGUGAGCACCGCGAAUGUGACGACAGCAAAGAUAAGUCCUAUCUUACCAAUGAUGGUGGCCACACCAUUCAGCUUGACCUGCAAUGGCGUCUCAUCAUCACCACCUUCGCUGAGAGUGGCCAUCAGCUUCCCCCACUGAGUCCUCAUGCCGACAGUGGUGACGAGCAUCUUGCAAGAACCGUCUUGCACCUUUGUCCCUGACAGAAGGAAUGGGUUCUCAGCGUUGACGGCAACUGGCUCGCUCUCUCCAGUCAAGCUCGACUCGUUGAUCAGAAGCGAGAAGCCUGACAUGAACAGCCCGUCAGCUGGCACCUGAUCACCAAUGGAGAGGUGAACGAUGUCGCCGGCGAGAAGUUCAUAUAUUGAGAGCUUCUGCCUGUACCCACUCCGGGUGACCUGCACCGUGAUCUUCUUCUUCUCCUUGUCGAGGUCCUUGAACUGCAGGGACUGGCGGUAGUCGCUUGAGGCUGUGACAAACACGACCAGCAGGAUACUGGCCACAAUGCCGAGCCCGUCAUGCGCGCCCUUGGGCCAUCCCUCCGUAGCGAUGCCAACCAUGAGCGAGACGAACGCGCACACAGCAAGGAUCAUGAGCGUCAUGUCCUGCAGCGCCUCCCAGACAAAGACCAAGAAGCCACGUGACUCCGCCUCCGCGAACUUGUUGACACCAAAAACACCCCGCCGGGUCGAUAGCUUGUCUGCAGACGUGGCGAGGCCGUCAGACUCCGAAGUGGAUAGCUUGGAUGCGAGGCCCUGGACACCACCAUGAGAUUUCAGCUUCUUCACAUCAUGGCCCUCAACAAUCGAGCUCAGCUCCUCAGCGCAGAUGCCGAAACCAGCUGCCUUGACAUCGGCGGGGACCUUGUACUCACUCGAUGGAGCAAUGCCUGUGGAAUUAAAGUGGUGGUAAGAUUGAUGAUUGAAGAAAAUGAUAGAAGUUUGAACUACAGACUGAGGUGGGGUGGUACUUACUGUUGAUGAACUGAAGUGCAGCCUUUGAAACAAGCACGGCAACACGCAGCUUCUCCUGAGAUAGGUAAAAAUAUUCAUUAAUUGUAAGUUCUUCUUGAGAUUGACACGCAGCUUACUCAAAACCCUACAAUAUUUUUGUUCAUAGGAAAAAUUUAGAUAAGUUUAAAGAUAGAUAAAGGUUAAUUUAGUAAAAUAAAUAAAUUUACAGUUGCAACACUGAACUAUUACAAAGUAACAUCCAUGGUGAACCAUAAUCUUCUUAGCAGGAAAAGAAGAAAGGAUAAGUAUACCAUUGUGAAAUAACUUUUUAUGAACAAUCCACCAAUAUUUUUUAAUGCGACUAAAAUUCAUAGUGUCACCUAUACUGUCAGUAAACAAUUAGGUGCAUAUCUGAAGCACACAAACAUCAAAAUCAUUCUACAAAAAACAGACACAAAUCUCUAUGAUUCAUCGGUUCCAAAUAUGGCCUAAAAUGCUUGAUUGGAUACUCUCUAGGGAAAUAUUGCAACCUGCAGAAAUAAAAAAGACUAACACACAGCAAGAUUCUUUUCCAUAUAGUAGUCCAGAGUUUAUUAAUAAAAACAUAAAAUAAAAGACAAACACGUUUUGUUUCUGUUCAUGAUCAGUACUUUGCGUUUAACAUAUUCCAGCAAUCAGGGACAUAGUUUCAUGUUCGCUGGAAAACAAAGUUGUUGAGAACCUGAUCCACGCUUCUAUUAGUCAAUUGCAGGUGCAGCGUAGAGGUCGCUCUCAGAGUCUGGGAGAACAUGACGUUUCAGGUUUUUAUAUAUUUGGCUUUGGAUGUGGUGUUGUCUGCACUUUCCUUGUGUAACCCAGACUAUUAUAAUAUUGUGCUCUUGUGUUUCAUAAUGUCAUAUGGUAAUUAAAGUAAGGUUAUGAUCACCAACAAACAAACUGUGCGCAGCAUUAAAAUAUGCUGCAGAACUUUAGGGGAAAAGAUAGAGAAAUUAUUGCUGCAGAAAUUUCGAAAAAAAAAUAUAUAAAUAAUAUGCUGAGAUGUCCUUCCUAUCUGAACAUUAUCCGAGCGAUUGGUAUCGACCAUUCUUCCUUUGAAACUGUGAGCAGACUCAUUCUUAGUAGUGGUUAUUGGCACGCUCCAUAUUUCCUUUUUGACUAAAAUCCUGUGGCGCACACCUCUUUGAACAAAUCAACCUAACUUGUGUUGACCGACUCUGUAUCUAAUUUCGCAACAUUUAAAUUUUUUCGAGACUCUAAGCAAUCCGAGUACCCACUGGCAUCAGAAGAAUAACAUACGAUGAAAUUCUAGCUAGCAUUGGCAUGAAACAUCCUAAUUACUGAUGCAGUCCGCAGAGCAGGAGCAAGGAAGAAUAAGAUACGACGAAAUUUUAGCUAAGACAGCGCUAACAUUAGAAUGAACAUUGAAAUUGCUGCUGCGGUCUUCAGAGCAGGAGCAGGAACCGGCGCUGCUGAAGCAUGGGAAACUCAGAGAGCAGAGAUCAGGGGGACGGAGGGGAGGAACAGGCCCGCAUGUACGUACAUGGUUGUUUUUCUUCAUGGCGGUGGCCUCGCUGCGCUUGUCGAGGUUGGCCGUGAAGCGGAAGCGGCGCUUGGGGUUCUUGACGACGCCGACGAGCUUGCGCCAUCGUCCCAGCGCCUCUUCCGACGAGUGCUUGGCCUGCACGGCCCCGAAGUUCUCCUUGAGGUAGCUCUCCAUCUCUCUCGGCUCCGGCUGCCGGAUUCGAAUUCCCUCUCCCACCAACCCAACCCUGCCGCGGCCGCGUGCGUAAUAUACUCACGAGGGCGCGUGGGGGGUGGGGAGGGGGCUCUCGCUCUCCUCUCUCUCUCUCUCUCUCUCUCUCUCUCAGCUCAACCGCGUGGGCGUGGGGCCGCGCCGUUGACGCGUAAGGACGUGACGGCGACUUGUGGCGUGGGCAAGCACAUUGCCGGAAGUUGCGUCGCGCACGCUGGGCUGGCCGGGGGUGGGAGGAAGGGAAGGUGCGCGGUGGUUUGCUAGGAUCCGAGCCGGACAAGAGGAGGAAAGUUUGGAGGGAGGGAUGGAGAGGAGACGGAGAAGCAAGGACCAAAGGAGGCUGCUUUGCUUUCCCCGACCUGCGAAAAAGCGAGCGAGUGAGAGUGACUGACCACCCCGUCGCCGUGUUUAUUUUUUUGGACAACUCCGUCCCCGUGGUUGGACACGCCGAGUUCUGGGCAUUUUCGUGCAUGCUGGGCCGGGCCGAGAACGACACCACCUUUUUGGCGAAAGUCCAACUCAGUUCUCGAGUAAUUUCGGCACAAGAAAAUGUUACGUGUAACGAUGAUGAGUUUAUCAUUCGAGAUUUCGAGUUGUUAACAUAACAUAACAUAAACGUUUGUUGUUUGACGUGCUUGACAUAACUAGGAUGACAAGAAGACGAGGUCGAUUGAUUGAUUGGUUUACUCGAGGCAGGAAGCGAGGAGAAUCAAACAGGACAUGGGCCCUUUUUUUUUUUUUUUGCAGAAACGCUUGUGCUACAGAACAUUGGUCCCACGAUCCUCGCACUCGACAGGAUGAUUGAACGAGGGACUGAACAAUUCGAAGCGGAAUGGCAAUUAGCAACAGAGCAAGCGACAAAUGGAGAUGGAGUUGCUUCAGAUCUCAGGCCUCGAUAGGCGCCGCGUUUUGAGAGUCACGGCACGGUGGUGUGGUCCAACAACGACGGAACGGAACGACGUGCUACCAAGUCACUGCAUAGGAAAAUACCGUACGUAUAUUCUAUGCGGUGAAGAAGAUAGUUCCUGCGAGGUGCGGCCCAUUAUCGGGACGGAGACGGACCACGGGCGCGGCGAGUGCAUGCAGAUGGUAAGACGCCAACAACCCAAAAAAAAAACGUUCAAAUUUCGAGGUCACAAAUCAAGGGACGCGAGGGCGAGGAGAGGUGGCUUUUGUGCGCGCGCGUGUUGUUUGUUUUCUUAUUAUUUCCUUCUUCAAAGACCGAGGACGAAGAGGCAAAACUUCCUUGCAUCACCAACUUUUGCUGCCCAUCAAGUCACCCGCCUGUCCCCAUUUCAGCAAGUAAGGCCUUGUUUACUUCCCAGAAAAUUUUGCAAAAAUUUUCACAUUCUCCGUCAUAUCGAAUCUUUGGACGCAUGUAUGGAGUAUUAAAUAUAGACGAAAAUAAAAACUAAUUGCACAGUUUGGUCGAAAUUGACGAGACGAAUCUUUUGAGUCUAGUUAGUUCAUGAUUGGACAAUAUUUGUCAAAUACAAACGAAAGUGCUACAGUGUCCAUUUCUCAAAAUUUUUCGGAACUAAACAAGGCCUAAAAACAUCAUCGCAUGCUCAGGUUGCCUAUGCAUCCUGGAGAUACAAUUAACAGUUAGUUGAUCGUAAUCUUUUUUUAUUCAUUAGUUUAUUGUAAUCUUAUCAACUUGAAUAGCAGAGAGCACCUCGCUUCGGUGGUGUUUAACAAGACUGUGUUCAUCUAGAGCACCGGCUCCAUCGAAAAAAGCCAUAAGAAAAUAAGACGAUGGAAGAAUCUAGAUAGACUAUUGUAUCUUAUUUAAUUUAUAUUUUUUAUAUAAUUUGGGGAUGUAUUAUGCCGAGUUUUAUUAUAAUUAUUCCUUCCCUUCACCAAAAAAAAAGGAGUAGUAGAGAGCACUUUAGAAAGUGAUAGAGUACCAGUUAAAGAUAUGCUGUCAUAAUUUUGUCGUUUUACAGAAAUCCAUAAUAUUAACAAAAAUUGUCUUCUUCGUUCCUUCCCUUAGAACUUGAGGUGGCCUCAAUGCCUCAAACGUUUUUACGCCUGUCCCCAGCAAGAUCUGGGUUGUUCUCACAAAGAAUAUUGAACACUCCCUUCCCUUCGGAAAAAAGCGCAGAGAGCACUUAAGAAGGUGAUGGAGUAUCAGUUAAAAAUGUGCUGUCAUAAUUAUAUCGGAACUCAUGUUUUACACAAAUCCAUAAAUUUAACAAAAUUUUUCUUCUUUGUUCCUUCACUUAGAACUUGAGGUAGGUUCUAUGCCUGUCCCCAGCAAGAUCUGACUUGUUCCCAUGAAGAACGUUGAACACUAUGUUCAGCAGCUGCAACAAAACUGCUCAGGCCAAACUUAACAAACAAUGUGGCGGUAUCAGUUAAAAAUCUGCUGUGAUAAUUAUGUCGGAACUCUCAGUUAAAAAUCCAUAAAAUUAAGGACGAAAAAAUUGUCUUCUUCGUUCCUUUCCUUAGAAUUUGAGGUGGUCUCGUAACUGUUCUACGUCUGUUCCCAGCAGGACCUUUGUUCUUGCGAAGAAUGUUCCCAAUAAGAAUUAGGUUGUUCUCAUGAAGAAUGUUGAACACUCCGUACAACAGCUGUAACAAAUGUGCUCAAGACCGAACUUGACAAACAAUAAGCUACGCAGCGCUGUAGUGAUUUGGGCCUUGUUUAGUUCAAAAAAAUUUACAAAAUAGACACUAUAGCACUUUCGUUUGUAUUUGACAAAUAUUGUCCGAUUAUGGAUUAAUUAGGUUCAAAAGAUUCGUCUCGUAAAUUACAAGUAAUCUGUGUAAUUAGUUAUUUUUUAUCUAUAUUUAAUGUUCGUAUAUGUUGCAAGAUUCUAUGUGAGAAAUCUAAAAAAAUUUACAAUUUUUUUCGAAAAAUAAACAGUGCCUUGGUUUUGUCCCCCGCAGCAGGCCAAACGGGUAGCGGUAGAUACUACGCUGUGGCAUUUGACGGCUAAAGAAAGAGGCGACGGUGGCCGAAGGAGGGAACGAAUUUUGGUGUAAAGAAAACUAAGGUCUUGUUUACUUCCACUUAAAAAUCUAAAAAUUUUAAAGAUUCAUCGUUACAUCGAAUCUUUAGACGCAUAUAUAGAGUAUUAAAUAUAGAUAAAAACAAAACUAAAUUUACAAUUUGGUUGGAAUUUACGAGAUGAUGUUAGAUGAGGUGGCAAGACAAGACGGUUUCGAAGUCAAGUCAAGGGACGGGAGGGCGAGGAGGCUUUUGUGUGUGUGUGUGUGAUGAGUCAUGAGUGUGUGUGCGCGCGCCCGUUGUUUUUUUUUUCCCUCUUCAAAGACCGAGGACGAAGAGGAACUUGCGACGCGUCUUCUACGCGGUAGCCGGUAGGGAAAAGGCCUGAGACCGUGGGACGGAGGAGGACCAGCGUACUAGGCGUGUAGGCCAGUGGGACUCACACGGUCGGCGGUUUAGCCGGCGCCUUCAGAAUUGAGACGGUAAAUUCAUGGACGGUAAAUACAUGGCUCGAUUUUGAGUGUGAUGAUUGAACGUCUUUGUAAAUUUGAGGCUAUGAUUGUCGUGUCAGCUUGAGAAUUUGAAGAUUGCAGUGUUGUGGUGUUGUUGCCUGGACAAUUAACACUGAAUUUUACAAUCGGCUGAAAGGCCGAAUUCUGCAUUGCUGAGAUACAGUUCAGUUUUGACAGUGUAUUUUUCCUGAGAAGUUCAGGAGUUUUCAGGUUUGGUGAUUUUCAUGGUUUUGGAGGCAGGUGAUUGCAUUGUGACGCUAGUCAAUACUGAUGGAUUAGUCGGAUUUGAGUGUUGUUUUCCGGAUUUGCAGUGCUGCUCUGAGAAGUUCAGGCUAGACCUUUGUUCUUUCUGAAAUGGAAUGUGUGCUCCCUUGUAUUAAUCGCUAACAGUUGGCAAAGUAAAAUGGAUCAUUUCCAUGAUGCAAUUGCAUCAUUGGCUUGGCAAAAACUGAAAAGACAGGAAUGCACAUGCAACUUCUUAAGCUUAUAUCAUGACCAACAAACAAAAACUGAGUGCAUGCGCCACUACUUCAGUUCCAAACCACGUCGACAUAAACAAAUUAAGUUUGAGGUUACAUCGAUGUCACAUGGAAAAAGGGAGUGAGAUACUGAAAUGUUGUUGUUGAUACUCAUUAUAUAAUACAGUAUACACUACACUGAGACUUCAAUGUAUGCAGACGGCAAAAUUCAGUGUGGCAAAAUGCUUGAGGACUGAACAUUACAGAAUGGCCAAGUGUUCCCAGUCGCUCUCACUCGACUAAGAGCACAGGUUGCCCAAAACCAAAAGUAUUUGACCGAAACCUAGUAAAAAUAUCAUCAGUUAUGGGUCCCUGAAAAUUACUGAACAUUGCAUAUCCAGAGGGCAUUACAUUUCAUUGUAAAACAUUAUGUUGCCAUUGCCAAUACUGAACAAUCCAUUCCAGGUAACAUUGUAUAUCCAGAAGCAUUACAUUGGAGAUUCCAAGAUCAUUGCCAUUAUUAGUACUUCCUCCGUUCGAAUUUGUAACUUGUUAUGUCUUUUUGAGAUAGUUAGCUUUUGCUACGCAACUAAAUAUACAUACUCUGCAGUCUGCACAGAUGUAUGAAGAUCCUUGGAUGCUGGCAGGAGGGGUUUCCCAAAGUUACUUGGGCCUGCCGCUAUCAAAAGAGAAGCUCAAGCUCUCUCUUUUGCUCCCGUCAUCAGUAAGACUGACUGGCACCUCUUUGGUUGGCAAGCGUCUCUACUCAAUUACCAAGGGUGCUGGUGCUACUAAACAUGGUCCAUAAUCCAUAUACAAUACAACUAAUCACGAUUCGUGCGGCUAGGAAUUCUCAAAGCCAUGGAUGACAAACGACAGGCAUUCAUGUGGAGUCAUGACACAAAGACAUCAGCGCACAAUGGUUAGUCAAUUGGAAGCAGUGAUGCUGGCCACAGUGAGUACCAGGAGUACGUGUCACCAUGGCAUGGCUACAGGCUACUGCUGAAAAGGAGCCAUCGGUAAACGGGAGGACAUGAAAGCGGGCUGAAGGACUGCAGACGGAAGACGGGCCGCGCAUGAGCUCAAGGCCCAAACCAGCAUUGUGCGCCUCACCAGCUCAGAAUGGGCCCAAUCCACUCUAGUCUAGCCUAACUGAACAACAAAAUAAACAUGGGAUUUGCAAAAAAAAGAGGGAAAACAUGCAAAUUAAUACAAGUAAUUUUAGUUAGUUGUAUGGACCGUCCCCAAAAAAUGUAACUCAAAGUCAUUUUAGGUUAAGUGUCUAAAGUUGGUCCAAAUAUAAUAGUAAAAAUAUUAAUAUUCAUGAUACCAAAUAAGUAUAUUAUAAAAAAUAUGUUUCAUGGCAAAUCUAAUGGUACCUAUCUAGUACGAUUAAUAUUAUGAAUUUUGUUAAAGACUUGGGAUACUUUAAUAUAGCAUUUUUCUUAGAAUUGCAUGUUUUUUUUGGAACAGAAAGAGUAAGUAUAAACUUGUAUCUAUAUGUAUACUUAUACUUAAUAAUAAAGUGGCAAAAUUUCUCUUCCCUUAAUGUUUUGUCCCACCCCAUCAUUCAUUUGGUCUUAUGUGAUCCUAAUGUUCUCUUCUACACAACCUUCUCCUACCCGGUUUCUCCUUUUCCCGGUCUCCUUUUUUUACUCUGCCCUCCCUAAUUUCAACAACACAACACAAAUCCAUUCAGAAAAAGAACAUAGAUCAGGCGAUCACGCGAACCACCAUGUAAUUUACAAGUAACAAUCUAUACAUAUGGUAUGCUGAAAAGGCCGAUCCAAAUGGCCAAAUGUUAUCUAGAAAAUGAUUUACAUUAUACUAACUCACAAGCGAUGGUUUGCCGUAAUGGUAUGGAAGUGUCCUUUGGUUCCAUGAAGUCUUGUGUUGGAUUCCUAACAUAGUUUUAUUUUAGGGUACUUUUUACCACGUCUUUGUGUUGUGCUGUUGAAAUUAGAGGAGAGAUACCUUUGUACUCGUGAAAUACCUUUGUACAGCUCUUUUGUAAUAUGGGGAUAAAAGCCCAAAUUCAAUAAAAUCAGGCGGGAAAAUACCCCCGUACUUGGGGAUAGCCUUGUUUCUACGAAUCUACGCCAUAUAGAAGCAUAGCCUUGUUUAUUUGUUGGUGUAAAAAGUUUUUGCGUACUGUAACACUUUCGUUUGUAUUUGAUAAUUAUUGUCCAAUCAUGGACUAAUUAGGCUUAAAAGAUUUGUCUCAUAAAUUAUAGAUAAACUGUGUAAUUAUUUUUUUUAUCUAUAUUUAAUGCUCAAUGUAUAUGAUAUAAGAUUCGAUGUGGCGGAGAAUCUUGAAAAGUUUUUGGAUUUUGGACAGAAGUAAACCACGAGAAAAUUGAUGGGAACUUUUUGCUGCCAAAAGAGCUGCUCUGUUUAGACUUCUUUCACAUGUUAAACCCAAUAAAUUUGCAAGGUCGUCUUAUAUCUUAGGCCUUGUUUAGCUCCUGAAAAAUUUUGCAAAAUUUUUCAGAUUCUCUGUCACAUCGAAUCUUUAGACGUAUGCAUGGAGUAUUAAAUAUAUAUAAAAAUUAAAACUAAUUGCACAGUUUAGUCGGAAUUGAUGUGACGAAUCUUUUAAGCCUAGUUAGUCUAUAAUUAGACAAUAUUUGUCAAAUACAAACGAAAGUGCUACUAUUCCUAUUUUGCAAAAAAUUUUGGAACUAAACAAGGCCUUACCAAUGUCGGUGACCGUGAGCGAGCCAUCGGCGUUUUUUUUUUUUUUUCUGGUCAAGAACCAAAGCUAUGCAUGGCCGCUGGCGCCGCAUCAUGUUCGGACUGUGCAGCUUCUCCCCGGCCGACCGUACUCUCCAACCUUCAGCUAGUUCCAGAGUUGACAGUACGUAGAGGCAGCCCGCGAAGAAAAGUCCAAGAUGCGUCAGCCCCGGCCGCUGUUUAUGUGGCAACUCGACGUCUCGAUCUGUCACAAGUGGACGGUAGGGACCGCCGUGCAAUAGGCCUCGCCACUGUGUGUGCGUGUGGUUCCCCGUCCAUCGCCGAGCCGAGCGCCUGGCUGUAGCGCGACCGCGACACUCGACGGGCUGCAGCUGACACGUCGGGCAGGCAAUGGCCAUGUUCCUUUCCUUUCCUUCCGGCCUUCCCCUUCCCCUUCCGGGCGGCCCGGGUCCCAUCUUAUCGCGCCGCGGAUUCCUUCACCUCCGAGAGCCGGGGCCCCGCGGCCGGGGGAUCGAGAAGAGAACCUGAUCGCCCGCCCCCGUCUCCCGCACCAAAUCGCCCGCCCAAAUCCCCUCGCGCUCCACGCACGCACGCAACGGAAUCCUCCUCCUCUUUCUCGCCUGUUCUCGGUCGCGGCUGGCUGGCUCCGUGCGCCCGCGGUGGACGACGACGGUGCCGUCCGCCACCAAACAACCGUCCAAAGAGGCUUCGUUUUCUUGUUCACGUGGGCGUGCGCCGGGGGACAAAAUCGCGAGCCCGUGUCCCAGCGUCCUCGUCGCCACUGGGCCACUGGACACUGGUGUGCGCGCGGGGUACCCAGGGAGGGAGGGGACGUUUUGUUCACGACCUCACGCGCGCGCUCACGAUUCUCAGCGCUAGCAGCACUAGCACUCGGACAAAGAUGGCGUCGUUUGGCUGCUAGCUGAAGUGGUAGCGAGUGUGGAGGACAUGCCGACUGGAAUCGGUGACGGCGGCCGGCACCGGCUGGGAGAGAUUAGAUUAGAUUAGACCAGUCUAACUCCAGCACUCCUCUGUGUGGAUAAGAAUAUGCAACUUGUUCGCCGGAGCCAAUGCUAACGGUCGGGGGAUCAUUUUUUUUUUGGCCACAGUCGCUGGUUAGUGGCGACAAAUGCUUAACAGCGGCGACAUACCAACCAUAUCAAAAGCAUCACGGAGAUCAGCACGUUAGCUCAGGGUGGGGCUCCCCGCGGCCCCCACGCACCCACUCUUGCGACGCACUGACGCACAUACUUCUACUAUUAUAUCCAUAUCCUACUAACGCUAAGCAUCCCAAAGACACUACACUGGCAUCAUCGCUCGGCAAAGGAUGCAUGAAUGAACCUAAGACAGCAGCACUCAACUUGAUGUAGAGUACACGUACUGAAAGUCUUUUAUUUUUUUAGAGAAAAAAAGGGAAAUGCAUAGCUUGGGAAGAAUUAAGAAAAUCAAGGCCAAUCGUCAGCGACAGACCGCAACGGCGUCAUCUUUGCUACACCGAUCGAAGCCAUUUCUAGCCUGUCCGUAGGCAUGUUAGGAUGCAGUUAGGUGGCACGGUCAACUUCAUUAUCAGCGAUAAAUAGGUGCGACGACAGGAAGAUGGCCCAUGCAUGACGUGGGAAACCAUCCGCCACGGCUUUUUCUCGGUUUGCUUCCCCUUCCCCCAGGAGUCCAGGACUUAUCCAAAAACCCAAUUAUGCACGUAACAUAAUGAUGCCAAUCAAACCAAUCCAGAACAUUAGCCGCUUAAUCAUAGUCAGAAGAUCCGCCGGGGCGCCAGCUGAUCCCUAUCUCAUUCUCAUAUCAUAGCCGUAAAUAAACUAGCAGCAGCAGUAAUAAAAAAAGUUACAGCCUCCUCUAGUCGUCCUGCUGCCGUUGCAGAUGGGACAAAGGCAACGGCGCCAGGCGAAGACGGGAACGAGCUCGUGCACCGCCUCGAGCACUCGCCACUCGCCACGUGUCGCCAGCAGGCCCACUUAUCUGUCCUUGGGUGGAAGGCAAGAUGCGGAGUACCAGUACUACUGCUCGGCUCCAGUAAAAAGUAAAAAAAGGAAAUCGGGUACCAGAACAAGUUGUACUACUACAGUCAUGGCGCGCACAGGCACAGCAAACGGCGCGACUCGCGCCAUUUUUUGAUUCUCUGCAUGGGCAGGGGUAAAUCGAGGCGGUAAAAAAAUACCGUUCACAAUCAGGCAGGCGGUAGGCGCUGCUAGUACCGGGCGAGCGCGCGGCGGAGCACCUGGGCGAGGAGGCCUGGGGCGCUGAGGUGCGGGAGGUGGCCCUCGGUCUGGAGGAACUCGACGGUGGUGCGGCCGCCGAGGUGGUCCCUGAGGUAGGCGGCGACGGAGGCCGGGACGGAGACGUCGCGGGUGGUCUGCACCACCACGCAGGGGGAGCGCACCAUGCCCAGCACGCCGCGGAGGUCGGUGUUGAAGACGGUGCGGCAGACGUGGAGGGAGAUGUCCGGCCGCAUGUUGAAGAGGGUGCGGCUGAACUCCUGCACCGCCGCGGGCACGUCCGCGCCCACCGCCAGCGGGGCGUACCCGACCGCCCACGCCGAGUAGUUGGCCGCCAUCGCGACGAACACCUGCUGGAUCUCCGGCAGCUCGAACCCGCCGUGGUAGUCAUUGUCGUUCAGGAACCUGGUGGCCCGGGCCGCCGGAAUGAAUUGAUUAAUCAAUCAUCACUCUUAAUUCUCAAUAAAAGAGGGAUGGCUCGCGGCUUUUCUUUUUUUUUUUCUCUCCGACCCGCCUCAAAUUAAACUCCACAGGGAUGGUUGAUUGAUGAAAUUGAACGAAUGAAUUGGAUCGGGCAUCACAGCAUGUGUGUAGAUAGAUGCAUGUAUACGGUACCUGGGCGAUGCGCCGAUGAGGACGAGCUUGGCGAAGAGCUCGGGGCGGCGGAUGGACGCGAGGAUCCCGAUCAUGGCGGAGACGGAGUGUCCGACGAAGGCGCAUCGCGGGAUGCGGAGCGCGUCGAGUAUGGCGAGGAGGUCGUCGACGUACGAGUCGAGCGUGUCGUAGCGUCGGAAGUCGAAGUGCUCCGGGUUGACGCUGCCGGCGCAGACGAGGUCGUAGAGCACCACGCGGUGGUCGCGGGUGAGGUACGGGAGCACGCGGCUCCACGCCGACUGGUCCGUCCCGAACCCGUGGGACAGCACCACGACGCGGUCGCCGGUGCCCACGACCCGCACGUUGAGGAUCUGCAGCAGCUUGGCGCCGCUCGGCCCGCCGGCGCCGGCGCCGCUGCCCGCCGCCGCCGCGCCGCCCCCGACCAUCGCGGCGUCGGAGCUGCUGGACGACGCCGGCGCCGCGGAGCUGCCGCUGCCGCUGGUGGGGCUUGGUGGGUGCGUGGACCGAAGCAUGAGUGAGACCAGGACGGGUGGGGGGACGGACUACGGGGAAGCAGAGGCGUCGCCCGGGUCGGUCUUAUAUAGCGGCUGGAGCAGAGGCCAUGGGCUGCCCCUGCCCUGCUUCUCUCUUCUCUCCCUCUCUGAGAGCAGAGCAAGCUUUCCUCCGUCCUCCUCCCUUUUGAUCUCCGGCUGGCUCUCCCUCUCCGCGUGCACCCUGCUUUAUUCCUCCAUCUCUCUCCCCCUCCUCUUGGGUUUGGUGCGGGAGGGAGCUGCAAAUUGGAUGACGAGAAGUUUUUGGUUGUGCCAGCGAGGAGCAGAAGCCUUUGUUUGUUUGUUUGGAUGCCCAAUUAUCCAGACCACAGCAGCAAACAGUAGUAGAAAAAAAAAAGGAGACGCGCCAAUAAUUCUGUGAUUUUUUCCUCACAAAGAGCUGGUUUUGUAUGUUGCCGUGGCUGUUGGCUGCAGGGUAAGAUACUCCCUCCAUCUUAUUCCAAAAAUCUUGAAAAGUCAAAGAAUUUAAAGUUUAAUUAAAAUUUACAUAAUAACAUUUAUUAUUCCAACUAAGUAUUAUUAAAUUUUUUUAUUAAUUAUAUUUUAUAUACCUAUUUAAUGUUAUAAAUCUUUUCUUUAUAAUUCUCUCCAUAAUUUUAGUUAAACUUAAAAUGCUUUAACUCUCCAAGAUUCUUGGAAUGUCUUAUAAUUUAGAAUGAAAGGAGUACAACUCAAGUACGUACUCUCUACACAAGUGUAGCACCCCGUUCUAGUGUAUAGAUGGCCCGUGUCGAUCGAGCUAGGAUUGUGGUAUAAAGAGAUAGGGCUCUUGCUAUGGCAUCUCCUACUCCACUCUAAAGAUGCUAAAGACGGUAAUGAGGACCCAUGACCCAACGGGGAUUUACUCUAUUAGAAUCUUUAAAUUGAGGAAAACUUUCACCCAACGGGUAUCUCUAAACGGGGGAAAACCUUCGCCCAACGGGUACACGGGUACGGAAUGUUUCGACCCAUUUGUCCAUGGGUUUAUCCAGCCGGGCGCGGGUUUGGAAAAUUUUCUUACCCACAACCGCAACAGGUACAGGGAUUUUAAUGGGGCUGCAUUUUGCUGGUGAGUCCGGGUCUAGGAUACCAAUACCCGGUGGGGAUUUACCCAUUGCCAUCGGCCAACACCCUUUGUGUUGUUUACUGGCAAGUGGCAAGUUGCUGUGAUGGAAUGGAGUCAAGCCAAGCCGCGCACAAAACGGAAAAGCGCGCGGUUUUACCCAAUUAAUUAACUGAGCUCGUAUUGGCCCACGGACGCACGCACGGCCGCGACGGCAGGAUGCGUGAAUCCCAUGGCGCCGCGACCCAUUGGACGAGAGCUCCGCCAAUCGGAUUGGUCAUGUCGUGACGUGGGGACGUGUGGUGACAAAGGUCGCUGACGACCAGGCGCAGACUCCAGUGGAUAGACACAAGAAUUUUCUACGACGGCACACAGCACACCCUAUCGUUCCGUGCCGCAUGGUCCUAUGUUGCGCACCAAAAUGACAUAAAAAAGUAGUAAGAAAUUUCGCAAACAAUAGUGUUCACAUGCUUCAUUCUCGAUCGAGCCGGUCGUUGCCUGGCUAUAUAUAUAUAUGUUGGUAGAUUGGUAGUUGUAAAUAUUAGGAUAGACACAACCAUCUGCCAAGAUAUUCUCCUUUUGUAAACAUAUACUUAUACUCCUAGCUACUAGAAAAGUGAUGAAAUUUUCACAGACAUGAGCUCAAGACACGCUCAAGUGCCUAGCUAUGCAGUAUGCUACUAGUAGAUAUAUGUUAGUACUUCUCAGCUAGUGUUUAGGAUCAGCACAAAUAAUGAUACCCAUACCCCACGCGAUCCUAUCUGGCUCCUGUUACAGAUCUGUUUGCUUUGCUCAACAUGAGAUGCACGAACGGUCCACAUCCAGCGCAGGAUAGAUAGCACCUAGUACUAUCUCGGUAUCGGCCACUGCGAAAAUAAACUCCCUGUGCAUGCCCGGUGCUAAACCAGCGCAGGAUAGAUAGCACCUAGUACUAUCGCGAGCCACGUGAAACCAAGCCCACGUCGCCGUCCGUCCGUCGACGCGCCGGGGCCCGGUGGCCUUGCAUUGGCUUCCGAGAUCGAGUGGCGUCCUGCGUACGUCCUACUAUAUGGCAACACCGCAACAGCCGAGCCCCGAGCGGCUCCACACCCCCACCAGGCCACCACCACCGAUCCACACACAAAAUACUUCGUGCUUCUCCGAGCCGUGCCGUGCCGUGUGUAGCUCCAUCAGCCUCGCUAGCAGCAAGUUUUGCUGACGCGCGCGCGCUCUCCGGCAAGGUCCGGGGCCAAUCGAUCCGACAACCAGACACGGUUCCUCCUCGCUACGGGCCAGACUUUUUGGCCACCGUCACCGUGGACGAUCCCUACCCGAUCAUACGCGUCGUGUUGCGUUUGAGCUUGUCCAUAUUCAUCCCUAUCUUUUAGCUUCUCGAUCGCCCGGCCUGAGGUCGUCUGAUCGCAGCCUAAUACUAAUAUAGGAGUAAUUCAGAAAGGGCGGCUCAAGUAGUGUAACCCUGUUUUUAUUAUAUUAUAGCGUGUCUGAAGUCUGAAAAAGCAUGUAGAGGCAUCGAUCGUCCGAUCCAUCUCGUACAAAGCACGUACCCCGUACUGCAAAUAUAUGGUAGUUCUGCACCUGAACGUAUCUGCACAAGAUUGUAUAAUGUCGCCACCGGAAUUUUACUCUUUCCAUGGAUUGGACUUGCGGAGAUACUAUUCCUGCCGUUUCACUAGUGCAUGAGAGCUUUAAGCGGAUUUACACCUCCGGCCACACCCCUCGGCGCCGACCGAAUCCGAACAAACAAAGACAUGAUACCGCAACGGCCCUUGUAUUGUAAUGAAUGAUCGUAUCGUACACCACAUGCAUGCAUGAUAUACUCCUGGGCCUACAGUCCUAGAAGCUUUCUAUCUGUACAUAUAUAUAUAUACCUGCUGAAAGCUACUGGUGGAUAUAUAUAUCGACGAAAUGGUUUUGAAAAGAAUGAAUUCCAUUAUAAUAUACAUACUCCUAUAUAUGUUCACAGUCACACACAAAAAAAAACAUACAUACUCCAAGUUAGGAACAAUACAUUAUCCAUUGGUCUGCUUUUUUGUCUAGUAGUACUAGUAUAAACAACACAUUAGCAUGCGUGUAUUGAUUGUGACCACCAUUUACAUAUUGAUACAGUAUAUGAACCCUUGCUUUGCAAGGUGCAGGGCAUCCAUGAUUUGGUUUGGGAGACAGAGGUCAGGGCCAUGGUAUGUGUGAGCAACUUUGGAUGGUGGGUGAAUAAUUGGGCACCACACCAUGCAUGGCCUCAUGCAAUGCUGCCUUCUUAGCUGCAUGCCAUCACUAAUUGACGUCACAAUGCUUAUGUCAAAAGAUGUUUAUAUGCACUCCCGAUCAGGGACGGAGCUAGGAAGUUGAUGUUUUUUUAAUGUUAGGGGGACCAACAGCAUUGAUUUUUUAAAAUUUAUUUGAAGUGAAACAAUUUAGUGGAAAAUUCAGGCUCAUAGUGAGGUUUGGCCCCUGCACCCCCUGUCUCUGCCCCUGCUUCCAAUAAAUACUUUGGUAUCUGAUGGCAUGUACUAUAUGGAUAGAGAAACGGUGUUAUGCUCCUCUUGUUUAUACAGCCCAUUUCUGAGUACAAUCCCCUCCUCAAGGAGGGAAACUGUAAGAAAUUCUUAAAGUAAGUUGAAACACAAGGGCUGCCACUGCCAGUAAAUCAUGUUAACCAUCUCAAAAAUGGUCAGUCAGACUCAGACAGAAUAAAUAUGAGGGGGAGGGGGCGGGCGGCUACCAGUCAAAUAAAUGACAGGAAAUAUUGCGGACGUACUUGAGUUAUUUUAUCUGAAAGGAAAUUUCUGACGAUAGUGACUCAACAUCACUGAAUGAACAAUAAAAUACUUUGGUUCUUGCACAUCUAACGAACUUCCUUCCACCUAAAUAUGGUCCUACGAGGCCAUGACAUCGUUAUUAUCCAGGAGAGCAACAAUUUGAUUUUUUUUUUGGCAAUGGGCGGAUUUAUUUUAGUAUUUAGUAACAGAGACUAUUACCACAUAUAUAAAUUGGAUAGAGAAUAAUUUCAGAGUAAAAAUCUUGCAUCCACAAAUUGCCCCAUCUAUCCCAUCUCUCUCAUUGAAGACAACUGCUACUGGAAGGUACGCCAAUCGCCAACAAAGAAGAAAAACACAAAGAAGAGUGUGCUAAGGAUAAGAUAAGAUUCAUUUUAAAACCUUUCUUAGCUGAUGUUACCUAACUUGAUUCUUUCUUAGCUGAUGUUACCAUCUACUGCUUCCAGAGUCCAAUUUGCUCCGCUCCUUCUGAUGAAAAUCUGUACAGCACUACAACUCAUGACUUUACAGCUCUGUCUUGCUGGCACUUUUUGUUACGAAGCAUUUCUAGAUCCAUUUUUUUUAAAAAAAAACUAUACACAAGUUUGUAGCAUCUCUGGUUAUAGAGGUUUUAGGUCCAGUUUCUCUAAAAAACUGGACAAACUCUUUGUUUUUAUUUUGUUCUUCUAAUAUAUAUUGCGGUUAAGUUUUUGUCGUCCUUUCUAAAAACACCAUGGUAAAAAGCUAUGAAUCUGAAUAGCUAUAUUCUGUAACUUUCACAUUUGAAUUCUUUAAAAAAAGAUCAACUGUGGGUAUAAGUAUAAAUUGCCCUUUUUUGCUCCCAUGCUUAUGUAUGUCCGCACAAGUUCACCAUCAAGGUAUAUAAAAUUCAAGGCACACCAAAGGUGACAAAAAAUGAAGCACCAGACUACGCUAGUAGGCUGUUGAUUAGUUGCUCUGGUUGGUGAGGUGUCAUCAUUAACGACAUCCUUAUCACGAAACCAUCAUAAGAAAAUAAUUUUCUUCUUCCUUUUUGCUCUUACAUUUCGGUGAUUAUCUAUGUCCACGUUAGGAGAUUUAAGUGAGCCCCGGGGCCCUCAGCUCCGUCUGUGGCCACGGCGCCAAUGUGUUUGGCCUCACCCUUAGGCUAGUCUCGUCAGAGAGUUUUAUCAUGUUAUAUAGAAUAAAAUUAAAUAUGAAUGAAACACUCAUUCUUAAUAUAAAGUUUUAUUCUAUAAUUUUAUAGACAUUUAAUUUUAUGACUCAUAGAUAGUUGCUAAUCGUGCCAUAUGAAACUUGUUUCUUCUCUCUUUUCUUAAACAUUGUCACAUCAUAAAAAAUGCUUACGUAGUAGCUUAUUACAUUCAACAAAAAUUAUGAUGAAAUUCCCACUGGAACUAAAAUUAUAGCCAUUUAGGAAUAGCUGACUCAGAUUGUAUCUGCAUGGAAUGUUGUCCACAAGUGAUGGAUAGCAUCACGAACCGAACUUAACUCAGAUCUCUUGUGGUGGAACCUACCAUAUCAAUCUUUAAAAUAUGUCCUUCGAAGGUGCUCGUAAGUGUAGAGUUUGUGUACAUAUAUUCAUACGUGCGUGUUAUGGGCAUCUAUGUUAUACUAUUUAUUUUUUUUAAAAAAAAUAAAAGGUUGCUGAUUAUUUGAAUUUCAUCUCUCUAUUGUUUUUAAAGGAAAAAAAUCGUUAUCUAUUGAUCCCAUUUGGGGAGUUAUGCCACAAAUAAGUGUUCUUUCUAUCUUGACAGUACUGAACCAUCCUUGUGCAUAUUUGCAUAUGAAACACUAGCAUUGGUGCAUAAAAGAAUAUGCUGGAACAAAAGAUUGUUGCUAAAGUUUUUUGUGUGCAUUGCAGUGUUACAUUGCAGGCUCUUAUGCCGAGUGGUAACAUGUUCAUGCCAAUGUUCAGAAAGAUACGGUUUCCAAAAAAAAAAAAGUUCAGCCAGAUACGUUAUUCUCAGACUUCAGCUAGAGUAUGUUUCAGACUUCAGCUAAUAAUUUUAUUUCUAACUAUACUAGCAAAUAAAGGUAAAUAUGCAGUGUACAUAUGGCAUCCGGAAGUUAUUAAGGUGUAGUAAUUCAGUUUGCUUCUUCUCCCACUCACGAUUUUUUACCCCCACAAAGUUGUGAAGCCUUUAAAAACCAUUCUGGCACCGUACCGUCACCGUCGCUAAAUCGUUGGGAAAUACGGGCAGCGCUCCGUGUCCACACCAUUCCGCGUGGCCUCGUCCCCCACCGAGCAAAGUGACGAGGCUACCUCGGCGUAGUAGGGGGACCGAGCCCCAAUCGCGGCAUCUCGUGGAGUCUUUGCCAUCGCGCAUCCCAUCAGGUCGAACUGCCCGGCGCAAGGACGGGAAGAAUUGAUGGGACGCGGAUGGCGGGCGACUGCCGGGCCAAUACACCGCACCGGAAGAUGAAGAUGGUCGGUCGGCAGAUGGAGGAUCGGCUCAAUGGCGCGACGCCAUUUGUGCGACUAAUGCUUCACCACACGGUCCAUUCCUCCUUGCCGGUGGCUAAUAAUUGUAACUAACAGAAGUACAUGCAUGCAUCUGUUCUUCCCCUUUGGAUAUGGAUGUCAAGUACUUCAAAUUUAAGAGAAUGAAAUUGACAUGACGCAACUGGGAUCAAGUAGCGAUCCAAAACAAAUAGGUCACGUAGGCCCCUAAUGCUCCUUUUUUUUUGCUAAUAAAAAAUUGGUUCCCAAUCUUCCGUGCGAGGAUUUGAGUGUUGGUUGAGGGCCCCCCAAGAAUGGCAUGCGAACGCAAGGAUGCGUAUGCCUGCGUGCUACUAUAUAAUUUAGAGCAUUGCAGCGGUGGUGAUCGCGUGGUGCGUGCAACACGGGAUAUGGUCAGCUUUACCUUUCGCGCUGGAGCUCUCCGGUUAGUGCGAGAAGUCUAUAGUGCUGACUAGGAGUGACAGUGCGUCGCCACACGUGGCCCAAUGCUAACUGGAGGCCGAGCUUUGCACGUACUAGUGCCGGUUGGAGGAGCACAAAGUCAGCAGCAAGCCAUGAAAAAGGGUAUAGAGCCUCCAGCAAGCCCUAGCCCUUUUUCUCUCUGCAUGCAUCCUCAUCCUGUGAGAGGAGAUGGUGAUUGGAAUGGAGCUCAACCUCAUGAUGGCUGCAGGACAGAGCCUGGAACUAACAAAUCACGCACCAGAUCUUGAUAGCGCCAAAGGAAAGGCUGGGGGGGGAUGAAAGAUCCCGAAAUAAAGAUAGGAUUGGGUUGAGCAUGGAAAUACAAAUACUUGGGGGUCAACUUGUUACUUGUAUGUUAGUGUUGACCUACAAAUCUGCUCUCUUUUUUAGUGGGAAAUCAUGGCACUUGCAUGUUACACACACAGGCUGAUGCGACUUGCCUGCAACCAUUUUUGUUCUUCAGUAUAAAGAAACUUCAACAACCCGUUUUUAACCGUCAAGGCUUCUAAAAAAUAAAUAAAUAAAAAGCCCACAAUGCAAACAGGAGGUUCAUAUUACACAGGUCACAGCACGCUUUGAGAUUUCAAGUACACACAGAAUGACUCUUGAACCAAAAAAGUUUGAAAUGCAACCACCAACCAGAAAAAGGCAACCAGAACCUUUGAAAUGCAACCAAAGUGCAUCAUGCACGUUUCUUGCAUUGCGUGGGGACACAUCAAAUCAUGAACGAGCAGGACCACAAUUGAUGGCAGAACUAUACGAGGAUAAUAUGCACGGGUUUGCAAUCAGAUAACCUUAGCAAAAGAAUUUACCAUAACCAGAUGCUGCAGAGCACAGUGGGGCUAGGGGCGCAUACUGUCUACACCCAUGUGGAUCAGGGUCAAGUGUCCAGUCAUGGACAGAGAGUUGGAUAACAUAUCGUGGGAAUCUGAUUCAUCCCGGUGGCCUAGCAAGCCUUUUUAUCCAAUGAAAUGAUAGUGGCUACUGUAUGCGUGUGUGCGCCAGCUUUUGGUCCCUCUCUCGGCUAUCUUGUUGCCGCAUCCACCUAAUUCCUCCGCAGGCCCCCCACCCCCACCAUGGUUCCCUAUCCCUUCUUCCUAUCACUUCAGAUAUUCUCUUGUGGCCGUGAAUUGACACCGACCACGACUUCGUCUAGGAGCAUCGAUUAAGCGCGCCUCAAGUCGGCAGCUUUGGCUGGAGCUGUGGUGUUAAUAAUUUGCAGAGUAUUAUUAAUUCUGUUUUCGGAUAUAGCUUGGUAACCAUACAAGACCAUCCCUAAUACGUCUACAAGCAAUUGACCUACACCAAACAAAUCCCUGAUAUACGCCGGUCCCUGCUGCAGCAUGAGCCAGCAAAUGCAAAUUUCCUAGCCACGGCAAUAAAAAUUCAACUAGAGCUUGUUCCAAACACAUGAAUGCACUUUCCAUUCUACUCCCUCCAUCCCAAAAAGAAUAUAAAUCUAAAUUUUUGAUAACUCAAACAUUCUCAAGUUUGACUAGAUUUCUAAAAAUAGUAUCAACAUUUGUCUCUCCAAUUAGAUUUAUUACAAAAAAUAUUCCACAAUCUAAUCAUACAUGAAUACUUAUCACGCAUAAUAAAUAUUAGUACUUUUGUAUAUAACUGGUCAAAUUUAAAUUCGUUUGACUCCUCUAACUCAAAAAGUGAGAUUUACAUUCUCUUUGGGACGGAGAGAGUAAAAGACUUUUGUGGGUCUGUGAAACUGUGAAUAGAAACUGCAAAAAGAAAACAGGCAAAACAGAGGUAGGGGGCUAGAUUCUGACUUCUGAGUGAUAAAUAUCAUUCUGGAUUGCAUUAGAAGCAGGUGGAACCAGCAGAACUUCACCAGGACACUAGGUAAUUCUCUUUUGUCAGUUGUGAUAUACUCAAGUUUUAGCAUUACAAUGUUUUAAUCAGUAAAUCUUAUAAGGUAGCCAAACACCACUAGUCAUAACCUUCCUAUUAUUGUUACUGUUGUUAAGUACCAGGAAAAGGAAUUAUAUUGAGGUGAUCCGGCUUCAAUAUCACUUUAAUCAAGUGUAAGCACGCAUGUCAUACAUUCCCCUGAAAUUAAAUGUCAACAUCUGCUUCAUAUUACCAGGUUGAUUUGCAGAAUAGCACUGGGCAGCUAUGGAUCUUAUGGAUUGCCUUGGUCCUUCCACAUGUGAAGUUGAUUUCACAAACCUUAAAUCUGUGAGUAGAGAAAACAGAAUCAAUUAGUUUGUUUGGCUUGGAUUCACAUUCUAAUCUAUAAGGUUUGACCGGAAACCCUUACUAGCCACCAUGUCUCCUUGAUCAAAAGUCAGUGGGCAGCCAUUAAGCCAAAAUUAGUUUACCCAAAACACAAGAUCGUCCAGAAGAUGGUACUCCAUAGAUUUUCUAUCCAGCCAUGAUGGGGGAAACGCCAGUUGUUCAAAAAUAUAGAACAGGCUGGCUUAGAUCUUGCCCUGAUACUGGAAGUGUAAUUUAUAGUCACGCACCAGAUCAGCAAGAGUGGUUCGGCAUGGGCCCUCUGGAAAGACAAAGGAAAAAAAAAAGAGUUAUCUAAGAGGUUGGGUGUUCAGAAGUAAAAAUUUUCGAGCAGGUUAAUAAGGGUUACGGACCACCCAGGUAUGUGUGGAGCUGUUGAAAAUCACUUUCCUCGCAUAUAUCAAUCAGGGAAUAUACACCAGGUCUCAGCGCCUCAUCAAUUUCUCUGCCAUGUCAGAAGAGCAAGUCUGCUGAAACAAAAGCACAUAAUGAACAGCUUGACUUGAAAUCUUAAGUAGAACAUACCGUGUUAUCCCUGUCUGAAAAGAACCCUGCCCAGAAAACAUGGAAAUAUAACCAGCAAGAAAGUGCAUGGCAUGUUUUCCUAGGGUUUCUCUCUGCUGGCGCAUCUGCAUCGGCCACACAAUAGGAGAAAAGUAUAUUAGUUUUUGUAGGUACAUCAAACAUAAAUAUGCAUGCCUCAGUUGCAUUGGCAUUUCUUUGUUGUGUCAUUAAUUUUGACUUAGCCAAACUCUUGUCACAGCAAAUAUCUUGGUAGUCAGUACAAAGCCUACUAUUAGUUUUGCUCCACGGUUUUCAGUCAAAAAAAAAACCUAUUAUUACCAUCAUUUUCCGGGAAGAUAGCUUAACGAUGCCAAAAUAUUUCAUCAGAAACAGGAUACAGCAGACCACACAGAAACACAGAGUCCAACCUUAAGGCCAGACAUGUCACACUAUCAAAGUAAUGUUUAUAUCAUUUCAAAUUAAAAAACAUAACCAUCACUAACCUCUUCAUAGAUCCUUCUGAAAAAGGAAGCGCAUUUUAGUGCCUCCUCCAUAUUCCAGGCAAAAUAUCCAGCCAUGUUAACCAUCUUUGAAUCAGUGGACUCCAAACAACUGAGCAGUAUGCUUACUGAAUCCUCCAGGAGUGCCACACAAUGCCCAAUCUCACUACACGGAAAGGAGGGGGGAGUUAUGAUAUGGAGACCGAAUGCAAAGAACACAAAAUCACAGAGAAGAAGAAGAGAGUCAAAGUCUCUACCGUUGUUGGUGCCGAAGAGUAGUGCAUAAUAAUUUGCAACAUGCAGCAUAGAUAUCAACUGAAAAUUGUCUAUCAAGAAUAUAUUCAACAUGAUCUGCAUGGUGACCUACACUUUGGUUGCAAUAUUUUGCUAGAAGAUGUUUAAACCCUUUGAAGAGUGUCAGAGGAACAUGCAGGCACUGGGAAACAUGGGAUGCAUCAAUUUGAAAAGAAUGCCUUCCCACAAAUGAAGUGAUAACCUCCACACACAUUAGAACAGCAGCUCCAGCAUCUGGAUGGAACACAGUACAAUGAGGCGGCAGCUUCCGAGUGUAGAAAAUAUGUGGAGUCUGAAGGUGCAGUACAAUGUUGAAUAAAGCACCAACUAGGCCAGGGACAGUUCUCUUAAAAACACGCUUUUUUCCUGCAAUAUGGGUUGAAGAAUAGUCAAAAUUCAUCUUUUCUCAAACCAGGCUUUCCAAUCAUGUAAACCCCACAAACAUAGAAGCAACAGACAAUAAAUGUUUGCUCCUUCACACACUAAUACUCAUCAUCGUAUAAGAAUUUUAGAAGUUUAGAUCAAGGUUCCUAAACAGCAUCAACUAGUUCAUGUAAUGAUAUGCUAAAAUCUGCAUAGGCCAGUUAGAAAAGCAGUAAAUUGUGGAACGUCUGGUACUGAUUAUUGACAGGCACCAGCAUUAGGCACCAGAAUAUCAAGUGAGUACCAAAAUAUAAAUGGAAGUGUGGAUCAAACAUUUUUCCACUGCACUACGACAUAUUCAUGUAUAUGAAAACGUGAUGUUGAUUAGAGGACAUAUACAAUUUCGUCCAUACAAUCUGAAUCCAUUUUUAAUGCCGCUGCUCAAGCCUAAAGUUUUACUGGCACAAAUUUUACGCUAACAUGUAUUUGCAAGGGGAGCACUCGACAGCUUGGCAUAGGAACAUAUAGCUAUGAAGCAAGAACCAACUGCUAAUCUAUAUAUCUUAUAUUUUCAAACUCCACUACAAGUUCUAUCUCAACAUGCAAGCCAUCCACAUCAUUUCUCAUUUACUAUCCACAUCAUCUCCCAGUGAUGCCAUGUCAUUCCACUAACUUUCAACCUAUCAACGCAAGCCAUCCACAUCACGUCCACUAAGUGCAGUUACUACUUUCAAUAUAUAAAAAAUAUACAACAUUCAUAUAAUGUUAUCUGUUUUGCCAUUUCAUCAUCUUAUAAGUCGAUCCUAAUUAUUUUAGUUUUUUUACUGAAUUCUUUCGUUGUCAUGCCCAAUUUUGACUAGAAUUGAUGCAAGAACAUGUAGGUCUAAUAACUAAUACAUGCAACGCUUUUAUUUUUAAUAAAGUCUCGCAGCAACAUGUGGAGUAUGCUUCUAGUAUAACUAAUAGAAAAAUCUGGCCACUAACCUGGUACAAAAUCAAGAAUUAGAUAGAGGCAGUCGAUCCCAGCAGCAACAUCAGAAGAAACUGUCCCACCAUCAGGAUUUCCAGUGUAAACUUCGUAUAUUGAAUGACUGCACUGAUUCACUCCAACCAAUGCCCUUUCAAUUACUUGUAGAGCUGCAUUUAGAUGUGUGUUUGAUGCAAUAUUGACAAAUUUUCCAAGUACCAGUCGAAGCCUUGAUUUCAAUGAAUUUAAUCUAUUCUGCAUAUCAAUGAAAUCUUUUGGAAAAGCAUAACCAGAUGCAUUCUGUAAUUGCAGUGUUUUCGUGCUUGAGCCAAUCUCAUGAGUAGGAAGAGUUGCAUUCUUCCGUUGAAGUAAGAUGCAUUUUCCAAUAGCCCUCAAUAGGGCACUUACUAUCUGAGUAUACAAUUCUAUUGAGAUAUUGAGCUCAGGCAAUGUAAAUGCACUUCCUAAGACUUCAAGAUAUCUUAAUACACCAUCAAUCCAUACAAGACAAGACAUGUGGGGCCAGCUAGACAAAUCUGCAACUUUCUGUAGAGUGAUGAAAGCUGUCCCAAGCAUGGUACCCAAUGAAAGCUGUUUGACGGGGCUGCAAGUCUGCCUAGAAACAUCACUUGGAAAGGAUAGGUAACCAUGCAGCUUAACAAUAGCAGCAGAUAUAUUGUAUACCUCUCUCAAAGUGAAUGAUAUGAGUGGGCAUUCGCCUUUCAACAGGUUUUCCAGAAGAACAUUUUCCAUAUACUGUAUCUUAGACAGAUCAACUCCACGACUUUCACACUUGGUUAAUUCAUCCAUGACUGCUUCAAUAUUCAGAAAACCAUUCACACAAUCCAGCUCUUGUGGAAGACGAACAGAAACUAAACCUCUAGAGGCAGAAUCCUUGUUAUCCAUAAACAAGACAUGAACGCAAAUAUCUACAAAGGCCCCAAACUUAGAAAUACAACUGCUAAAUCUUGAACAAUACUGAAGUAACAUUUUCUUGUCCUCUGAGCUGGCUAUUGGAUGAUCGUUGAAUGCACUUUCUAGUGCUGAAUUAAGUCCCUGCAAGAAUCCGCCUAUGCAAGACAUGGUGCAUGACAAUCUUUUCCAGCAUACAACGUUACGGCAGUCUUCUAAUUUGAUAACACACUUCCCGUCCUUUAUGGUAACAGGUAUCCCGGUUGCAGUCUUCUGUAACAGUUCGGCCAUAUUUUUGACACCCUCCAAGGCUGAUAAAUCUACUAUAUCAAAUGUCUGAUCAUUAUAGUCUGAAGUCUCCCUUUCAACAGGGCUACCAUCCAGGGAAGAUUCAAUUUGUUUCUUUAAAUCAAACAAGUAAACUGAUGAAUUCACACUAGCUAGUGUAGAAAAUAAUUCUGAUGUCUUAUCUAACAAGGAGAACAUCAACCUAUUCACCUCAUCAGUAAACUCGUCAAAUAUCUUAUGUGACGAACCAACAAUUUCCUGAACAGAUCUCAAAAACCAAACCAGGGAAUAUGAGUUACCAUUUUUCUCUGAAAAGGCCAAGUAUUGCUUUGCCUCUGGGCACUCUUUCCCGAAUUUUAAGAUGAGAUUUAUCAGAGCCCUACGACAACAUAUAAACAAACGCAGUAACUUUAUGGGAUUGCAGGAUUCACAACGAAGACCUAGCAAUUUAAGUAGCAGCAAUCUGCAAGGAGAGGAAACAAUUAAUGGGCAGCAAAAGAUAAACCAAAUGGUCAAUAUUUCAGAUAUUAAACACGCACAUUGACACCUUUUCCAUUAUUCUUUGGCAAAUAACAUUUAUCACAUGAAAAGUUGAGCUUGAUUUACUGAUUACAGUGGAUGAAUAGAAACUAGAGAUUGUCAAUAAAAUCAAACAUCAAACUUAAUGUUUGUGUUACAAAAAUUUUGGUAUGUCAUGAAAGCAGUCAACACACAAAAGAAAGAGGGAAAGGAGUGGCUAUGACACAGAAGACAUGCACAAGGGGAUAAAUAAAUCCUCACUUUUGCCCUUCCCUUGAUAGAAAAGCAAGUCAGAGCAGAAGAAUUCAAGAAAUUCAAGAGCAGAGGUUUUGCUGUGCUUUGUUGAUCCUAAGGCAUUGCAUCGGAAUGCUAUUGCCACCUUUCCCCAUCGCCUAACGAUUAAGGAAUUCAAGAAACCUGUAGCAAUUCAUGUUCCGUUUUUCAUAAUAAGCACAGCAAAACCUCUUUCCAUUGGAGCGAAAAGAGCGCCUUUAUUUUUUAUAUUCUCACUGCUAGCCAUUAAGUCAUCUUCCUAUUUGACUUGAGCCCACCCUUUUUAACUAGAGAUAAUGAGUUAAUGACAGCCAAGGUUACAAAAGGUGCUAGGCGCUCUUUAGGAAGUACUCCACUCAGUUGGCAGGUAAAAGAAUAAAACAUACAAUUUCUAUCUAACCCUACCUCGGCUAGAGGGCAUAUUACAAGGCAAUAUGAGGCUUUGCCAAGUGCAGAUAAGAACAUAAGCAGACCUACCUUUACUAGUGAUACAGGGCGUACCAGAAGUGGGGGUGUUGAAGCUGAACUCAGUGUAAACAUCAAAGAAAGGUGAUGACCUAACCAGUAGUUCGAAAGCGCAAAAGUGGGAUGAACAAAGAUAGAAAGGUUUUGCUGGUGAAGAUUUGUAUUGUAUAUGCACUCAAAACUUUUCCUGAUCCGGUUUAAAUGGUUGGGUUCAGUGCACUUCCCAAUAGAAGAUUCUCGACUCGUUUCACUUUCUUUCUUUUAGUCUCGCUCUUGUUCUAAAGUCCAGAGGCGAGUGCAGAAGAGCACCUUGUUGAACACUGAUGGCAGCAUUAACCUUGUGUUUUUGUUGCCAUCAUCAAUAAACAUGGUGCUGAACAACACAAAAAGGAAACAGCAAACAGGUUGCUCUAAAAUAUUUGCCACUUUGACCAAAUUAGACAAUACUCCCUCCAUACCCAUAAAACAAGUCGUUUUGGACAAGGUUUGGGUCAAACAUUGGGAAUAUAAAUCAUGAAUAACUUUUAAGUUGUUGAGUUUGAAAAUAUGAAAACCAUAUGAAUAGAUUUGUCUUAAAAAAUACUUUCAUAAAAAUAUAUCUAUACCACCUUUUGAUAAAUAUUUUUAUAAAAACAAGAAGUCAAAGUUAAACUUUGGAGACCGUGCCAUUGUCCAAAACGACUUGUUUUAUGGGGUAUGGAGGGAGUAUGUGUAAACUCCAGUUUCUAUCAUAAGACCAAAAGCUAGUCAAAGUUAAAUAUUUAGUUAAUGAGCUGCAUAUAUAAAAGUAAACUAGGAGCUGAAAAAGUGCCAAGUAUCUGUAAAGAAAAAUUUCAGUUGAAAGAGCUUGAGAAUGUAUGGAGCAUUUUGUUUCUCGGGUGCAUAUAUGUCAUAAAAAAACUAACACCGGGCGUGGAACCAGUAUUUAUUUGUUAAGAUUUUUUCUAACUCUCCAUCAUUUUAAAGAAAAAAAUAAUGCAUGGAGCAUAUUAUGUUGUUGCCCCUACAGUGGUAUUUUAUAACUCAAAACCGCUCACAAAUACUUGAAUCUUUUGACUUUGCAUGGUCUUCAUGUGUGUCUUUGACCGUUAAUUUCUUCUAGAAUAUAAUCUUAAAAUCCUUCAUAUAUAAGAGAUUUUGCAAGUAUUUUGUGUACAAAUCGACACAUUUAACUUACACAACUCCAAACUAAAUAAUGUAAUAGUCAUUGAUGUUUGUAGUUUUUAAGGUUUGACUGAAUCUUUAGUAAACCACAAGUUUUUGUGACCUUGUAGAAGAAAGCAUAGGAAUCAAAGCUAGCACAAGUGAGCAAAGUCAUAAACUUGAUACAUGCCUUUCAAGAUGGAGAAUAUAGUUUAUAAGCUGUAUGAAUGCCUUGGAAUUCGCAUGAAAUCCAGGAACAGCACUGAAGAAAUUAAGGAAAUCCUCACAGAUCCAGUGUUUCUCUAUGCAAUGCGCAUGCGUAGUAGCAGAAACUGUACCAAUCAACUUCUCAUUUUCCAGGUUACUUAUUGUCUCCAUCAAAUCAGGUGAAGUGUCCAAAAGGGCAUUAUCUUCAUCAGAGUUGGUAACAAAAGACAACGAUUUCUUCAAAGCAUGACAAAAACUUGAUGCCAAAUUCUUCAAGAGUACCUAGAAAUAUUCAUUUCAAAUUUGAUCAAGUCAUUAGAAAAGGCAUGUGAAACACCCCUAGCUGUCAAAUAUAAAAUAAACACUGAUAAUCAAACAGUAGAUUCAAUAUUGCCAACAUACAUAGCAAUCUUUUCUUGGAAUAGAAGGAUUACAAUGAUAGAUACCUUUUGGUCAUAGAUAAAUGUAUCACAAAGGACCCCCACAGAAAUACUAUGCAAAGUCAUUUCUCUGUAUGAAGAUUGAGUGCCAUUAUUCUCCUCCUUAUCCAUGGAAGGUAUCUUUUGAGUAAAAGAAAACCUUAGCAAAUUAGAGAAGAAAAUCUUUAAAUCCUUCUUAGAGGCAUGAGAGUUCCAAAUGUCAAUGUUUUCACACAGAAAAUGCCAAGUGGCUAUAGGAAAAGAGACUUCAUCUAAGGAACAUAGACUCAAAUCCCAGGAACCACUAACUUCGUAAGACCCAAAAGGACCAUUUUCUCCUGAAGAUAAUAGCUUCACAUAUUUCAUCAUAAAACUUGUCAAUUUAGCAGCCUCAAGGCUGCAAGAUUCCUUUAAUAGUUGAGAGCUUCCUAUAUCCUUAUUAUCUAGUUGCCAAGCAUCAUCUUCAAGCAAAAAUUGAAGUGCCUUAAUCUGCCUGUUAAGAUCAUUGAGUCUCUGCAGAGCCAUCACAUGAAAGAUGUAAACAAGUGGAGCAAACGAAGCACAAUUUCUUGAGAGAGACUCUGAUAAACUCUCAAUAACAUCCAAAAGGGAGUUUGAAUUUUCAGCAAUCAAUGCAAAAUAACCCUUUCCGACAACAUUGGCUGGAUUGGUCCACUCCUUUCCUGAGCAUACAAUGAAUGGAUUCCCCAUUAACUUUGUUGCAUCUGUGGCUACAUCUGGAGGCAUGAGGCCAAUAGAUUGCUGAUACAAACUUCUACAUGAUAUAUAUAGGCGAAAGAAUAGGCAAAAAAUCCAGGAAAAACUUGGGAUCUUCUGCCGGUUGGCACGUAGUUUUUUAGAUAUAAAUUUUCCAAUAAUUGAGGAAAUGAAUCCAUUAAAAUUUUUUGAUUCGUUUCUGACCAAAUGACUGAAAUUUGGUCGGACUGCAUUUACCAACCUUUCAACAGAUUUUCCUACCAGUGUACUAUUUGAAGCAGUGACAGUUAUUGAGUCAAGAACACUAGCAUAUAUUUCAGACAAGUGCCUGCCAAGAAGUUCGGCUUUCUGACAAAAAAUAGACUUCCUGGCAAUGGACGGAUCUCCAAGUUUGUUUAAAUCAUCUUCCAAACUGCAAUCUGUCAUCCAUUUUAAUGUUUCUGUGAGAUCUGAUGUAAGCUCCUCUAUGCAUCGACUAGACUGCCCUUGAGGCAUCGACUUAAUUGAAGUACGAAUAGCACCCAUCAAUGUUUCAGAACUCAGCAAUGUUGUCAAUGAUUCCAAACAUUCCUGGGACGAUAAAGAAGCCACAGAAAAUGAGCCUUGUACUCCAUCAGGGCCAUCAACUCUGAAUGCUCUCACAGCAUCACACAGCUUGAAAAUCGAGCGGGAUACCUACAUUACAAACCAAAGAGAAAAAAUAAACACCAGACCAGGGUAUGGGAAUAGAAGAGCAUGCAAGCAGAAUGUAGAAAGGCACACAAAGUCCACCCAAACAUUGGGCAUGUUGUUACGCUUGUAUUAUCUUCUUAGACUCAUAUCUUAAUAUAAUGAUACACAGCUCUCCUGUGGGUUGGAGGCAAAAAAAAAAUGUCCACCCAAACAAAGAACAUUGCUGAUUUGCAAUCUUAUCAAAUAAUCAAGUGAGAAAUUACUGAAAGUAACAGCUGAAAAGUACAUAACCAACCUGACGAAGCUCACUGAAUGUGCAAAUCACUUGGGCUGCAAGGCUUGAAAUCUUUGAAGCAAGCAGGAAACAGGGUUUGAUGUCCUUGGAAGAUGUAUUAAUUGCAGACAAAGCAAAAACCAUUAACCACAAUUUCAUAAGGUCAUCUCCCAGAACUUUGUACUCGAUUUCUAGAAAACUGCCAACUGCAGAAAUAAUCUCUGCAAACAUUAAAGGUACUAUCUUCUUAAUGCUUACAUCUUCUAGAUGCACAGCAGACAUCCAGAAUUUGUACAUCUUUUCAGAUAUUGAGAUCAAGACAGAGUAAAUAUCUUGCAGAAAGUUGAAGUAAGAUCCUUCCAAUGUGUCCUCUGUAGGAACAUAGAUCUUCUCUUCAAUAACUGUUAUCAGCAUCACAUUAAUGGAUUUCAGCAUGCAAUGGACCUCUACUAGCCUUGUCACCCCUAACUCAGAAAAAUCCUUUUGGGAAUACGAUUUACACUCUAACACCAUGGGUUCCAUAAACUUAAUAAACACUUCAAAAAGGGAUUCUCUAUGUUGUUGUGGUUCUUCAGAACCCUCAUUGCUUUUGUGCAGCCGAUAAGCUGUUCCACUCAGUGCUACAGUUCUUUGAUUUCUAGCUCUCCUGACAAACAAUUGAAGCAAGUAACCAAACCCAGCCAGCAAUACAGCCUUGUUUUCCGUUUUUAUUCCUUUGAAUCGCUGAAAUAGAUGUCUAUGGUAGCUUCCUUUGAUAUCCUUGGCAGAAGAAGAUUUAUUCAAACUGCUGAGACCGAAAUAUCCACUAAGAUGUUGGGGAUGAAACAGUCCAUUUGACAAGACAUCUUCAACAAUUUUCAACAUUGCUCCUGAUUGCUUGUGCUUACUGGAAUUUGCUUGUGAAUUAAGUAAAACUAACAAUUCCAACAAUGGCCCUAGAACCUUAUCAACAAAAGCAUGGAAAAUAUUCUUCGGAUUUGCGUAAAAUCUCAGAAAGCUUGAGAAUUGCCCAAGGAGGCAAUAUGCAAGUUUCUGAAGAACAGGGCAGAAAUCGUCCUCGUUUGCUGAAACCUUCUGGGCAAGAUUGAUAACCUCAAUAGCACAUGAGGCCCAUAAAUCUACACCUGCAUUGAAGAAAGCUCUUGUGUUGGAGGAGAAAAGCAAUGACAUACAGUCAAACACUUGUUCAAAGAGCUCAAUAGAUUCAUUGUCAGCAUGUGACCUGUUGCUAUCAACUCUUGCCAAACCAUGACUUGCAACACGACUAAGUGAUUUAAGUAAGUUCAGAGAUAUUGAAAUGGAUGGCUUCUUUUCAACACAAACUCUCAAAAUUGCCCAACAUCUACUAUCCAAUGCUGGAUCAAAAGUCUGUAGCAUCUUUUUACUAUUCUCAGGGAAAUUUAAGAUAGUCUGCACCCAGUUUCCGAUAAAUGACACCAGGCGCAAUAGCUGAAUGCUGUGCACCUUAUGACCGAGGCUCGAGUCAUUUGGCAGUGUGGUUAGAAAUUCAACUGCUAGCUCAAUCUUUCUGCACGAAUAAACAUGUUGUUAUGAAGGUGAAGAUUACAAAUGAGAAGAUUAGAAUAAGGUUGAUCUAAACAGGAUUCAAACAAUUUAUUCCAGUAUCAGUUAAAUAGCACUAAAAUGUUUGGAAUCAGAGAGAUUCCAUAGGGUAUUCCUAGACAUAAUGUGUUGAAUUUGCCCAUCUUACUGCUUCUGACAUCACAGGAAGUAAUAAGAGAAAGUAUUAUUCGACAUAAAUCAAUGUGACUAUUGUGCAAAAUCAACAAAUAUGAAGCCAAGCUAAAAGCUGCUGACAACAAAAUUGUAUCUCAGGCGCAAGCCCCUCCUGUUUCUUCAAAAAAAAAUGUAUCUCAUUAAUCACAUUUGCACUUAACUAAGCAAAUCAUGUUGUGCAUUAUUUAUGGCAGUAAACAAGUAAAACGCAAUCCUCCAUAGUUGAGACGACUAAACCAGCAGACGAUGAAAGCGUCAUCACCGGAUAGACGAAAUUCCUAGUCACAGGGUUACACGAGCUAAAGUUCACCGAAACAGAAGCAUAAGGGUGACCUUUCGAGCGACAGCUCCUUGCUCUGGAGGGAGAGGACGAGGUCGAGGUGUUCCCACGCGCCCUUGGCGCCGCAGUCGCCGUCGAAGCGAAGUCUAGCGGACUUGAGCUCGCUCGUACCCUCCCCUUCGCAAGGCGGCGAUUGGCUCCGCCGCCGCUUCCUCGCUGCGCCGGGCCUCGCGGUCGCGGCAGCCGUCUCCAUGGCGAUGGCGUAGCGCAACAGCGGCAGUGGAAGCUAGGGUUCUGGGUUUUGAUUUCUCCGUGCUCGAAGACGCGCCGUGAAACCUUCUGCCGCGUCCGACCAGUCUAAAAGGCACGAAUCUUAAAGAUGGCUAACCAGACCGGCUCACGAGUCACGACCACGGCGUCUGAUGAGAUAUAGGCUUCGGCCCCGGCCCAACCCGGAGCACUCUUGGUCCUGAUUUCAGGUCCAGGGUUCCAGGGCCAGGCACAAGCUACAAACCCUAACCCAUCCGGAGCACAGGAAAUUUUGGAGGCUGAAGCGGAAGGGGAGAAGACGAUGACGACGAGGGAGCCGCACGAGGCGUCCCGGCGCGACGGGCGCGACCCGCACGGGAGACGCCCCCACUCCUCGUCCAGGUCGCGGAGGGACGAUCCCAGGUACCAAGCCACUGCACCCCCAUCGGAUUUCCGAUCUGACUGCGUUUUGGUAUAUGGAUUAGUAUGCUGGUUUUGGGGGGGGGGGGGGGGGGGGGGGCAUCGGCGAUUCUUUCUGGGCCUGCAGUUUCUUACGAGAUAGCAAUUUUUCUGAAUCUCUUUUCUAGCCCAAGGAGAAGAAGAGAUGACAGGAGGCGUGAAUCGGACAGGUCUCACUACAGAAGUCGAGAUGAAGAGUCUGCGGAGGUGGCUGACCAUGAUCAGAAGAGGGACAGAGAUACUGCACAGGGCGAUGAUCCUCCGAAUGCUGAGUCCAAGUCAGCGAGUGAUGUGAAGAAUGGCCCCUCCACCAGGCAUGAGAGAUCACCUAGGGGAACCAAACGAUUUUCUGAGUCGAGAGAGGCAUCGAGGCCUCGGUCUUUCUUUCAGGUUCUUGUCUUUUCUCAGUUUACUGUAUUAUACUAAAAGGGAAUGUCACCAAUAACUUCUGCUCUCUGUUUGAAUUCAAAUUGUUUCAUAGCUACAAUUAGUGUGCUUUGACUAUCACAGCCUGGAUACAUUUUGUGCUCGUGGUGUUACAGAGCUGUCUCUAUCAUGGAUAGCUGAACAGCAAGUAUUUUAUGGAGCUGUCACAUUAGAUAGCUGGCAGAUUUGUGCUAUUAGGCAGAUCCAUGGGUCAAUAUUUGCUGGUGGUCUGGAGCGCAAACCUCCCGGUUAUGACAGCCCUGGUCACUACUGCAAUUGUGUGGAGUUUUGUCUAUUAACAAAUACGGCUUUGAGCCUUUGAUAGUAGAGACAUUUAGUCUGCUCAAAACAUUGCAAGUAUUCCAUGUUGUUAUUCUGAAAAAUAUGAAUAUCUUCUAUAUAUUUAAUUUAUUCUCAGAACUCAGAUUUACGGUUAAGGACUUCUGAGUUUGUUAAGGGGCUCUGGAGUAAAGAUGAUUUUGUGAUAGACGUUAUUCCCUCCGUCCCUAAAUAGGUGUCGUUCUCGCUUACCGAGGAGUCUCACUUUUAACUGUGACCAAAUAUAUACAAGAAAAUAUUAAUAUUUAUAGUACAUAAUUAGUAUCAUUAGAUAGAUCGUCAAAUCUAUUUUUAAAAUAAACUUAUUUGGAGAUACAAAGGUUGCUAACAUUUUCUAUAAAUCUAGCGACACUUAUUUAGGGACAGAGGGAGUACCUGUUAAGAUUGUGGCAUGCUUUGUUUUUUUAUGGGUGUGCGCUAUUUGAAACGAUGGCCUUAGUAAAUUUGACUUUGGGACAUGAUAGUAUUAUUUCUUGCUGGUUUGAUGAGUGAUACAUCAGCUGCAUGUUUCGGUAUUUUAUAAGUACAUGCAAUUGCAUAGGUAAUUUAGUUUAUAUAGUUGAUGGUCAACUGUUCAAACUUGGAGAUUUUGUUUUGUGCCGUAUAGUUUCUAUGUGACUCUUGUUGGGUUUCAUUUUCAUUUAGCCAAUCCCGACAUGCUUGAGAUUAAAAGGCUUUGUCAUAUAAUCUCAUUUUAAAAUGGAUUUGUGUUAUCAUAUCUAGAAUGUAGAAACCGGCAUUUGAGACAAUCAGCUUAAAUUAGUACAAGCUUCACCCCCCCCCCCCCCCCAAUGUUUAGUUCAAAUAUUCAUUAGUUAUGCUCUGUUUGUGAUUAUGUGCGAAUCUGUUGUUGCAUUUUAGUGAUUUAAUUUCCUGAACUGCAGUUUUAUAGUGUACAGAUUAGUUAGAUUCAUGGACAUGGUUUGCCAGCUUUAGCUAACAGGACUAUACUUGUUUUAAUUAAUGGUUACAAGUAACAACUGUAACCUUCAUAUGCAGUGGGGAGGUAGGUUUCAGCAUAAAGAAUGUUAGGUCAUUGCUAAAUCAUAGAAAUUUUUUGUCCACUUGUCUUACAUAAAUAACAUAUUCCUCCUGAUGUAGUGGGACUUCUUUUAUGACACAUUGAUUCAAAUGCCCACUGUUUGUAACAAUGUUAGACUACCUGUGCUUCUAUGUACAGCACAAUGAGCGUGGAAGUGCUGGGCAAGGUGGUCGGCACUAUGACCGCCAGGCUAGUGGUGAGCUACCUUCUUAGUUCAUGCUUUGUGCACUUAUUUUAUGCUCCAUCCUCUAUCCAUGCUAAGUUAUUUAUUGUUUCUAAGACUAUGGAAGGCAAAGGGACCAUCUCUCUGAUAGAGAGAAACAGAAGACCGAGGGACACAGUUUGCAAGGAAAGGUUGAGCUGGACCAGCAAAAGAAGGAUGGUGAUUCAACAUGGAAGCAUGAUGGAUUUUUCCAAUUGGAGGAAGAAGCACCCCUUGCCAAGAAGAGGCCACCAUUUCAGGAGAUGAAGAUACAAGAAUCUGCUGCCACUGUAACAGAACCAGAUUCUAGAUCAAGGAAACUUGAUCAGCCUGGGCUAACUUCUGCAGUGAGAGAAGAAAGGAGAAAUUAUCAUGCACGAGGAUUCGGAAAUCAUCGACCCUUCCUAAGGCCAGACGAUCGAGGCUUCAGAAGGGGGUUUCCUGACCACAGGAGUGAUGGCCAGAGAAAUGGGUAUGAUUCAAGGGGAAGAUUUCCUGGUAGGGGAGGAAUGGACAGAGACAGGUUUAACAAUCCAUAUGGUGGGAGAAGCAACGUAGAGCAGGCUUCUGGUGAUCAAGAAGAAAAAUGGAAGCAUGACCUCUAUGAUCAGACAAACAGGAGCCCACCUCCAAAGACUGAGGAAGAGCAGAUAGCAAAAGUUGAAGCGCUGUUGGCACUGUAGCUAUCUUCUCUACGUCUGGAGUUAUUUUUGUGUGAUGAUAGAUUAUCAUGUACUUGGUUUCAGUUGUGUUGAAUGCUGUCUUUUUUAUUAUAUAUAUUUUACAUAUCUAUGGGGAUUAAGACACCUUAUGAAGUAAUUCCAUUUGGACUAAUAAUAUUGUACUAGACUAUCAUGAGUUUCAUAACGUGAACCAUCAAGGAAAAGUACAAGACAAUCAUGAGUUUCGUAAGUAAACAAUUUCUCCUCGACUGCGUUUAGAGCUAAAUUGCUUUCAGUGUGUUAACCUCAUAUUGUAUAGUUUUAUAACUGUAACUUGCAGUCGAACUGUCUGGGCUAUUGUACACAAGCACUGUCCUAUACUUGAGCAUGCAAUCCCUAUGCAGAAAGCAUCACCUGAGUGCCUUGUGCAGAAAGCAUCACCUGACUGACAGUGUUCGAAGAAUAACAAGCACGUAUUUACAACAAUAACAAUGCGAAAACGAACAAACAGCUGGUGUCACCAGUGCUCAAGGACUUAAAAUACCUUGCUUAUGGAGUCAAAUUUUAAAGAUUCAACACUGUUGGCCCUUCCUAACAUUUCUUUAAAAAAAAACUCUGGCUCAGUCACUCCCUUUUCUCACUCAAGCUCACUAUCACAAUCUCAAAUCUAAGCCAAAAAAGUGAGUAGAGAAGGUGAGAUGGGAGCAAUGAAUGAGUUUGGCUCGAAAUAGGUUGCAAGAAAUGAGGUAUAAAUACUCCCACGCAGUCACUUUUUUCAGACAAAGCUACGUCGAAGUGCCAAGAUCUCGAUCGACAUAAAUAAAACCACUGUAAAUUUGAUAUUAGAAUUGGGUUUAGAAAUUUUUUGGAAUACUCAGCUCAGCUCAAUUCCAAUUAGACCUACAUUUCUUUUAUCCCAAUUACUCUCCAUUCUAAUUUAUAAGAUUAACUUUUCUACAUAUAUAGUUUUUGCUAUGUACGGACGAGCUACAGUUGGUGGCGACCUCGUCAUGGGAAUCUCCAAGUUGAGAGUUCGACUCCCCACACCUUGCAUGUGCAAUAACUGCCUUUUUUUGCAAUUAGGAUCAAGGGUUUUCUGUGAGAGUUUCCUCCCAGUGCAAAGUAAAGGCUGGAGCUUUUCUCGGCCUGUAUAAGAGCAGAAUGUUCGAGGGUCACUAUUGCCGUGUUUAGUUACCAAAUAUUUUGCAAAAUCACUACAGUAGGUGUUUUGUUGUUAUGUGACAAAUAUUGUCCAAUCAUAGACUAACUAGGCUCAAAAGAUUUGUCUCGUAUAUUUCGACCAAACUGUGCAAUUAGUUUUUAUUUUUAUUUAUAUUUAAUACUCCAUGCAUGCGUAUAAAGAUUCGAUGUGACGGAAAAUCUUGAAAAAUUUUGAGUUUUGGCGUGGAAGUAAACAAAGCCUAUAUCCCCAUGGGUCGAGUUUGUUUUCUCAACCUAUAUGAGUCAGCAGUAGGUGAAGCCUACAGAGCGAGAACUCAACGGCAAAACCCAGAGCUCACAGUGGAUGUUUGACUUCCUCUGUUAAAUUUUGUAAAAUGGUUAAUGUAGCACUUUUCGUUUGUAUUUUACAAUUAUUGUCCAAUAAUGAACUAACUAAGCUCAAAAAAAUUGUCUCGUAAAUUACAAACAAACUAUAUAAUUAGUUAAAUUAGUUAUUUUUUAUCUAUAUUUAAUAUUUUAUGUAUGUGUCACAAGAUUCGAUGUGACAGAAAAUCUUGAAAAAAAAAUUGUAAAAUUUUUUAAAACUAAACGGCGCCUUGGUGAAAGAGAGCUUUCCUUUCCUCUAGAAUCAGUACUCCCUUCCAAACAACAAUUUUCCUUUCCUAUCGACCAAACUCAUUCCUCCAUUCAGGACAGACAAUUCUCUAAUAGAGGGUGUGGACGGAGAAAUCAAAUCAUUCUAAUAAGAUGAUGCAUUAAAUUUGGUGAAAUGAGUUUAUAUUCCUUAGUAAAUUUAUCUAUUUCAUUCCUCAAACCAAACAAAAUAAGAAAAAAAAAUAGACAAACCCAUUCCUCAAAGCGAACACCCUAUAGACCUUUCCUCUGGACUCGAUUCUUCCACUUUUCCUUUGGUUUUACAGGCCCUAAAUGGACGUGUAGCCACAGGAAACGUGACAGCUAGAGUAAAAAAAGCAAACGUCGAGACAAUUCCAUUCAACAAAGCGAGCGAUUGGAGCACUGUUUUAACGUCACGUGUUAUACAACCAGACUCCAUGAGUUGCAGACUGGCCAGCUGGAGGCGAAAUUGUGAACCAACAAACAAAAAUGCAGCAGCCUCUAUUGCUCUUGCAUGGUAAAUAAAAAUGACUGGGAACUGCAUCCCGAAAUGGAACAUCCCGAAAAUUAAACAUGACCUCACAUUGAGUUGAGUUUGCUGCUCUCUUCUACGAUUAUAUAUAGAGAAAAAACUCACGGUAUCCUCAGCUCAGAUUGUCUUCCUGAGGAAGUAAUUCUUUUUCAUCAGUCAAAAAUUUGCAUGGUAUUAUUUCCAGAUAAGCACAAAAACAGUCUGGCAGGGGAGCGCUUGUGCGUGAAUUUAUAUGUCAAGCAGCAACCUCCUGGGGUCCUCGACCACAUCCUUGAUGCGCCGCAGGAAGAAGACAGCCUCUCUGCCGUCAAUCAGCCUGUGGUCGUAUGUCAGCGCGAGGUACAUCAUUGGCCUCGCGAGGAUGUCACCAUUCACAACCACAGGGCGUUGCACAAUGGAAUGCAUCCCCAGAAUUGCCGACUGCAAUUCACAUAGAUCACAUUUCAGAUCAAUAAACAUCUGCAUGUUACAAAAUGUGUCACUACUGAUAAAUGUGCAGCAGUUACCUGUGGGGGGUUGAUGAUAGGUGUGCUGAUGAGGCUUCCAUAGACACCACCAUUGGAGAUGGUAAAUGUUCCUCCUGCCAUGUCAUCAAUUGAGAGUGCCCCCUCAGUUGCCUUCUUUGCAAGGUUGUUUAUCCCUUUCUCAAUGUCAGCAAAGUUCAUGGUAUCAGCAUCCCGGAUAACAGGAACCACAAGGCCCUGAAAAAAACUCCAAUUAGUUAUAUACAUACAUAGUAAAUACUCCCUCAUCCCAGACUAUAGGCCAUUUUGGCCUUUUUUUGGUACAAGAAAGGAGACAGCAGUCACCAGAGUAGCAAGCAAGCAAUAUGGUACCUUGGAUGUGCCAACAGCAACACUGACGUCCACAUAGUCUCUGUAUAUGAUAUCGUCACCAUCAAUGACAGCAUUGACAAUCGGUUGGUUUUGAAGUGCCGAAACAGCAGCCUGCCAAAAUAAAUAGAAUUAGCCAGCCAUAUAAAUGUUCGGUGCAAAAACUUUGCAACACAGACUGGCAAGUACCUUGACAAAGCAAGACAUUAGGCCCAAUUUGACACCAUGCUUUGUGACAAAUUCAUCUUUAUAAUCAGAACGAAGUUUCAUCAAAUUGGUCCUGCAUCAUAAAAUCAUAAGAUAAAAAAAAACACCUAUACAGCUUUCAAGGAAUCAUAAUGGCAUUCCAAAAGAUAAUUAUUGAAGUCCACAUAUAAAAGAACAUAAAUAAGUUGAGCCGCACAACGACACACCAGAUAUUUGCCCAAUAAAUGAAAAGAUUUUCUUGUCAGUGUUACUGAAUAAAAAAAAUAAAUUUCUAUAAGCAUUCAUACAUAACAAUCAUAUAUAUUUUCAUCUAACAUAGGUUAGCGCAUGUUUGUUAAUUCAGGGUGAUAGGUAGGGACAAGUGAUCAAUAUAUUGCCAUAUAGCUCAACAGAUUACAUUCUUUAUUGCCUGAAUACAGGCCACAUCUUUGAACUGCUUAAAAUAUGGUAAGACAGAAACAGGUGUCACCAUUUUAUACAGUUGCGAUGACGGCAGGAGCACAAAUAUAAACUGAUCAAACAGAGAUCUACUGUAGCAAUCUACUGGAAGGAAUACAUGAGAACACUUACAUGUCAACUUCAUUAAAUGUAGUCAGCAUUGCAAAGGUGUUCUGAGAAUCCUUAAGCCGGUUUGCAAUACGCUUUCUGAGCCUUGGCAUCGGCACCUGCAAUAUCAUAGUAAAUGUCAGUUAAGCCAAGUGCUAUGUAUCUUGUUUACUGCAGUUUCUAUUUACUGUCCAGUAGUUAUCAGGUUCCUUGGCAACCAAGUUGGUCAUGGUGCCUUGGAAACCAAGUAGGUUAAGCAUCUACUUUUGCUAAAGAAUAUGCUGUAGUAGGUGGCUGUCCACUUAGGCUAUAUAAGCAGUGGCAGCACCCCUGUGUAACUAAGCCUGUAAUACUUAUCUUCAAUCCAAGCGGCUGUAUGCCAAGCUGCCCUCUGGGCUUUACCCCUAUCUGAUCUACGUGUGGCCAACAGUAAAAUAUGUGCAUGUCCUUCAACAACAUCUGAACUCUGUAAUUGGAUAAUAUUAUCCUUACCCUUCGCUCUCGUUCUUUUGGAGGGAGCUGUGGUUCUGAAGGGGACAUUUUUGAUGGUGCAGUUGGCUUUGGUGCUUGCAUCUUGGGAGGUUCAACUUUUGGGGCUUUUUCCUCUACCUUUGGUUUCUCUUCAACUUUAGGCGUUGAUGAUUCUUUUGGAGUUGCUUCCUCAGAUGGAGCAACAUGUGUUUCAGCAGGUUGAGCAGACUUGGAUAUGAUUGCAACUUUAGUGCCGGGAGUAACUGUGUCGCCUUCACUAGCAAUGAGCUGUAAACAACAGUCAGAAAUAGCAACACUUAGUAUGUGAACAGCUGUUGAUCCUGUUAACGAGCAGAUAAGCAUGGUAUAUAGUGUGUAUUCCUGACAUCUGCAGAGUAAAGGUAAAGCAUUGCCAUGAAAGUAGACUGGAAGCUCGGAAGGAGUAAAACAAUUCAAUUCACCUUUUCAAUAACACCAGCCUCAGGACUUGCAACAUCUAUAGUGACCUGGAACAAAAGGGAAAGUCAUGUGGUUAUGACCACUAGCAAAUAUGAAGUUCCACUAAUGUUCAAACAGAAGCCUCCAAUACCUUAUCAGUUUCAAUCUGUGCUAUGGGUUCAUCGGCCUCGACUCUGUCUCCAGGUUCUGUAUAUAAGAAAAAGAAAAUAUUAUCACAGGGAGAGGGAGAGAGAGAGAGAGAGAGAGAGAGAGAGAGAGGGAGCAUACUCUUCAGGAAGUUAGCAAGAGUUCCAUCAGUUACAGAUUCACCCAUGAAGGGCACAACAGCCUCAAACUUGUCUCCUACAUAGAACAAAAAACAGAACUUUAUAAACGCAUAACAAGGAACACAUUUGUCAAACACUAUCCGCCUCACAAUGCUAUUGUGGCUUACCGUUGUCUGAAGCAAAUGACCUACUCCAGACUUGGUAUAGAUAGGGAUUAGGUAAGUAACAGCUUUUUCUACAAAAUUCAAUAACAAUAUUACAAUAAUGUAGUACAUACAUAAAAAGAGAGACAGACGUAAAAAUAUUUGGCAUGAGGUUAGUAAUGACAUCUAUAUUCAUCAACUAGAGCAUGCUAUCUGAUAUUUACCUUGUCAGAUUUGAGCAUUGGGAAGUAGCUGGAAUCAAAGUUGGAGAAAAACGCAUGUAUUAUAGUCAAUAGUUGAGAUCAAAUACUGAAAAUAGGGCUAGUCAGAGUAAUAACCAGAAAGUUGACUGCUGUAGCUUCUGGCAUGUGUAGAACUCCUUUGGAGGCCUAGUGCCUGCAAGUAAAUCAGAACAGUGAGGAAGAGAAUUGAAGUGGAGGAUUACUGAAAUUAUACUAUUAUAGAAGCUUAUACUUUGUGUAUCAUUUGUGCAUUAGCAUUGCUACAGACAUGAAAUGGAAAUGGCAUAGAAAUUCCGAGAUUUCACAUAACCAAGAAGACUUAGUGCACUUAAUUAUAUAGCAAAAUAACAUGUGCAUCAAUAUUUUCACUUAAUUGUAUAGCAAAAUAACAUGUGCAUCAAUAUUUUCACUUAAUUAUAUAGCAAAAUAACAUGUGCAUAAGAAAAAUUCAUCUACCAGGGUCCAGGGGGGCUUGGCCCUCUUCAUCCCCACCCUCCCUCCGCCCCUAGCGGAGGCAGCUUCGCUGGUUCUAGUUGGCCUCCACAAGACAGCUGUUGGUCUACCAUCCACUACUAUUACCCUAAGAUUUUUCUGAGGUGGUCAAAGUGUUAAUGGAGGUGGGCAUGUGUCUGUCUCUACUUCCACGACAUUCUAAAUCCUAAUUUAUAGAGGCAGAAAUAAUAGCUGCCUCUAUUAAUAAAUUAGUUAAUUAAUUAAUUAUUAAUUAAUCAGCAAGCCUCAAUGUUUUCAGGUCGUCCUAUUAAUUGCGAUUAGUCGUCCUGGUCGGUCCCAAGUGUUCGAUUAGGAGGUCGAACUCGACCAGCUCGACCAGAAAGCUGAUCGUCCGAUUAGUCGACAACUAAUCGCGAUUAGUCGUCUGACCAGGUCAUGGACGACCAGUUUGGUUACUCUGUUUUUGGGCCUGUUUAACUGGGCUGGCAUGUGGGCUGCUGGGCUUGCAGCUUAGACUGUUAGAGUUAGUAUAGAUAGUAUAGAUAACUAGGGUAAAUGUUAGUUAUUAGCUAUUGCAGCAGUGCUGCUGUUAAGGUGUGUCAAGAUCAAAACUGCAUUAGUGUUGCUGCUUGCUAAUUAUGGUUUUCUUUGGUAUUCCAGGCUUCCAGCAGCAAGUCAGCAAAGAAAUGGAGUUUGGGACAUGAAUAUAGACCUCUGGACAGUGCAGAAAAGAGAGGAAAACAACUCCCACAAGUAAGUCACCAGCUAAACACUAAGGCCUCCUUUGGCAGUACAAAAUCCCGCCGGGUUCCCUGCAGAUUCCCUGGGCCAGGAAAACGCGGGGCAAGCUCCCCUGGGCCAAUUCCUCGCGCCGUUUGGAAACUCACGAAACACGGAAUGCAGCCCCAAUCCCUUUGUUUUCCACGAGGCAGGAAGCCACGAGUCAUCAGGCCGGGAGCGCUUCCCUGCCCGUUGUCUCGCGAGUGGCAAUCGCAACGUAUCGCGCGUCAUUUCUUCUCCCCGAUUCCACCUCGACUGAGACUGCCCAUUCCGCCGUCGUCACCAUGGAUCAUCUCCUAUGCCGUCACCUCCGCUGCGUCUCCUCUACCAGCAUGGCAACACCUCCGCCUCCGCAUGGUGAGUCUCAAACCUCCUCCUCCAUCCGCACCUCCCUGCAUCUGCUAGGGUUUCUUCUUCUCUCUGUUCCACUCACUGGCCCUUGUUAGAUCCAGAUUUGGACAGCAACCAGUUGUUUGUGUGUUUACUUGGAGGAACAAAGCAGCUGCAUGUCGAGAGAGCAAGGGAGGCGCGUUUUAGCGGUGGUGCUCAGCGGUGAGCAGGUGAAGCGGCAGCGUGGCAAAGCAGACUGUUGUUGUUGUUGCUAACUGAACUCGAGUUCAGUCAUAAUCUCACUCAGUUAGCUCUCUGAUCUUUUGAUUUCAUGUGUAAAUGAUUUAGUCAGCCUUAGCAAAAGUUAUUUGUGGUCCAGUGAGCCACUAUAUUGGUUUAAGGAUCAAAAUUGAAUUAUCAACUGUUUGUUAUAAGAUAUAAAGGUCCUAAGGUUUGGUAAAUUUGGUAUAGAAUUAAGAAUUCAAGAUUUAGCUUCCGAGUUAGCAAACUGUUGUCUCUUGGCAAAUUUGAAGGGCUUCAAAACUAUUGAUCCUGAUAUGUUAGUUAACAUGAACAAGGCCAUUUGAUAUACCAAGAUUGAUACUAUAGAUUUGUUCAAAAUUUCCAGAAAUGUUAUUCCUAAAACUGCUUUCACACUUAGCUUCCAAACUGAAUGUCAAAUUUGCUUUUAGAGUUGCAAGUAUAGGGUUCAUACUUGCAGUUUGUCAGUCAAAAUUUAACUCUGCCAUAUAAAAUUUCUUCCAAUCCUAUAUGCAUGUGGUCCGUACAACCUUAAGCAAAACUGCUCUAUUCCUGAUCUGUAUCUCUACCUUGUUAAAGCACAUAUAUGAAUUAGUCUUUGAACUGGUAGAUCAAGGAGCUCAAAGGUUACUUGCUAAAAAAUAUUUUUAGAUAUGAACUUCAUAGUUCAGAGCUAAGUUGCAGAGAUAUAUCAAACAACUUUCUUUAGCAUUUGUCAUGGGCAUAAAGAGGGGCGCCGUAGGGCGCAAGUGUCCUAGUUGGGCCUUAAGCCCAUUAGUGUUAAUUAGUGUCUCUCUUAGUUAUUUGUCUAUAGGAAUAGUACCAUAUUGUCUAGGCACAAGAGGUGUUAGUCCUAUGUACCUUUUAUAUUCAGCCCAUGGGACACAAUGGAAAAGCAAUGAAUUAUGAAGAAACAAUUCUAGUCUCCCUCAUUCUCUUAAGCUCUUGGCAAAGCAUAAGGCCUAGUUAUCCCAAGCUCUUGGCAAAGCAUAAGGCCUAGUUAUCUAUCUCCCAAAUAUCCACCGCGUUCAUAACAUCUGGUAUCUAGAGAGUCCAGCGAUCCUCCUCCAUCAGCCGGAUCCUCCAGCACCUUCGAUCCUCCAUCAGCCGAAUCCUCCAGCACUUCCGAUCCUCCAUCAGCCGUUUCCACAAAAAAAGAUACCAAUCCAGAUCGCCGCGUCGCCUACCUCAUCCAUCGUGCCGCGCCGCCAUAGCAACGCCACCAGCCACCGCUGCACCCCCAUCAGCACAGCCGCCGCGCCGUAGCCCCAUCACCACCAUCCACCGCCGCCACAAUCAUCGAUCCAGAUCCGCCACAACACACCGCCGCUGCCACGCUUUGCCUCGAUGGACUUCCCUAAAUUUGCGGGGAAAUCUGAUCCUGUGGGCUUCGUCAACCAGUGCGACUCCUACUUCCGCCGAGAGCGCAUCAUGGAGGAAGAAAAGGUAUGGCUGGUUUCCCGUAAUUUGGAAGAUGACGCCCGGGUUUGGUUCCUACAAGUCCAGCACGCUGAAGGCACCCCGGCGUGGCGUCGCUUCACCGAGCUCCUGCACCUGCGCUUCACAUCGCCCCCGUGCCCCGACCUGCUCCACCAUGUGUCUCCUGCUUCCAACGACACUUCCCGCAUCUUUGCUGAUAUAUUCACGCAGCUGGAUCGGAUCAAGGAGUUGCUCAACGCGAAGGAUAAGAAGGACCGUGAAUGCCGGGCGGCUGUACGUCUCCAGGCAGCAGCACGAAGACUCCUGGCACGUCGCCGAGCGCAGGCUCUUCGUGCCACAAAAGCAUCGAAGGAGCAAGCAACGGUGCGCCUCCAGGCAACAGUGCGAGGAAUGCUUGUCCGUCGCAUGGUGCGGCAGAUACGCGUGCUCCUCAGCUCGACGUUGUCAUACGUGUUCAUCCACUCGGACUCGCCGAUACGGCCUGCGGCUCCAAUUGCAGUGGAGGUCCAAGUAUGGGCGUUUCCAGUGCAGCGACCUCGCAUCCAGCAUCAGGCAUCAAAGGCUAUCUCAUUUAUCCUUGUGCCUGCCGUGGUGCUAGACACUUUCAGCAUAAGGGCCAGCUGCUUCACACUCCACACUUCAGCCUACAUGAAGCCAGCAGAGGCGCUCUUUCCAUGGGAUCCAGGUGGAUAUCCUUGUAUUUUAGUCUUCAAUAAAAAGGGGAAGCCGAGAUGUAAAAGGCUUAACCCUAUUUCGCUUCAGCUCUCCAGCUCGAGGACGAGCUGGGUCUCCAAGGGCGGGGGAGAUGUCAUGGGCAUAAAGAGGGGCGCCGUAGGGCGCAAGUGUCCUAGUUGGGCCUUAAGCCCAUUAGUGUUAAUUAGUGUCUCUCUUAGUUAUUUGUCUAUAGGAAUAGUACCAUAUUGUCUAGGCACAAGAGGUGUUAGUCCUAUGUACCUUUUAUAUUCAGCCCAUGGGACACAAUGGAAAAGCAAUGAAUUAUGAAGAAACAAUCUAGUCUCCCUCAUUCUCUUAAGCUCUUGGCAAAGCAUAAGGCCUAGUUAUCCCAAGCUCUUGGCAAAGCAUAAGGCCUAGUUAUCUAUCUCCCAAAUAUCCACCGCGUUCAUAACAGCAUUUUUGUUUGGUUCAAAUUAUUAUUAAUAUUAGAUCUUUGAUCAGCAAGGAGUACAUUAUUUGAUAGCGCCCGCCAUACAUAGUUCCAAUUUAGGGUGAACUAUUGACAUAAGUUCAUAAAUAAAAUUUCUUUACAAUGAACACCAAACCUUGAACAAUUUAACUAUUUUUAGCUUCGCAAAUUGCAAGUAACUUUUACAUCUUCUCAAAAUAUUGAAAUUUAAACAUCACAUAAAAUUGGAUUUUCACCAAAUGUUUAUCGGAGCUUUAUUUUAAGCUGGACCACAUCUUAUAGUCAAUAACUUUUGUUUCGGAAAUUUGCAAAGUAUUUAAGACAAACUUAUUUUGUUGUCCUCCAAAUAUGGUCAAAACAUCAUGAUUACAUACAAAGCAAAAAGAAUUACUGACUAUGCUGUAGUUUGAAACCCAGAAGCCGCCGCUGCCAUCUACCUACUGUAAUCUAAUAUGCCACAUGUGUCCUGAUCCCUGUGUCAAGCUACACCGACCGACCAUCUUCAAGUGCUGACUGAAGAAGGUGUUCCUCCUAGAUAGAAGGCAGCAAGCGUCCAGGAGUUGGAGCAGCCAUCGAUGCCCAAGAGAGCAGCGUGUCCAAUGAUGAGGCCUCUGUGUCGAGCAGAGGUGGUUUGAUAAGCAGACGUUUCUCCUUUCCAUCUAAUUUCUAUUAACAAUUCCUUGAUUUUAUAAUGAUAACCUUCUAUUUAGAUUAGCAUCCAGAUAGCAACUCAGACAUUAUAAUCAACCCAUUGAUAAACAUUCAGUCUGACAUUCUUGCUAUAUCUUGUUGUGUAAGUAAUUCAGCAAAAUUCUUUUCCAUUGAGCUUUUCUGAAAACCAUCUAAGGCUUAGGAACCUGGAACUUUUGAAUUGCAAUGUGCGAUAGCUUAAAUCAUCAUGGUUUUUAAGGACAUUGACUGUUGUGUGGUUGCACUUGGUUUUCCUCUGAAUUCUGAAAGUAAAAGUCAAGUACACAAAUACAGAGGAUGUUGCAAGCUAAUUCUAGUUCUAUAUGCCUGUGAUUAGAAUGUUAGUUCUGAGCAUUCUCAAUUUAGGAUUUCCAUUCAAUAUAUGGUUAUCAUGAUAUGAUUUUGCAGCAUUACUAUUAUGUAGUCUCUACUCUAAUUUUUACUCAAUGUAUCUGCAGGAGUUUAACAGAGAAAUAAGGUUUACAUCAAGACUUUGAUCCAAAGAAAUCAUCUGCAAGAUUGAGGAAGCUGCAAAAGUGUCAAGUUCUUAAUUAGUUAAUGGUUAUUGCAGAUAGUCUCAGUUCAUAUCAUAUUUUAACUAUCUAUGUAUUUGAAUAGAGAGACAUGUGAUAUAUUUUAUCCAGUACAAUUUUCAUAAAGUACAGGCAAAUGUUGUCAUAUAUUUUUGUUGGUUAAAUUUAAGUUUUGCGGUCUUCAGGUUUUGGUUUCAGAAAGAAUCUAACGUUCUCAUUUGGACAGCAUGCUUAGUUUGAAUGUGACAGGUUUUUUUAUUUUUUGAGCUAUUUGUUAUAUCCUUGAAUUGCUACCCCUUGUUUAGCAUUUUUUUAUGUUACUCACUUUCCUAUUCACUUGCAUUUUAUGUUUUUAUUAAACAUAUGUAUCAUCGGAUGAUCCUUCAUGUAUACAUAUUGCUGGUUUGUCCAAGUCAACAGUUAUAAACCAACACCCUGGGAAAGCUUCCAAAUAGCAAUGGGGAAGUUACCCCAUGCGGGGAUAUCCCCCCAGCAGGUGGACGGGGAUUGCCUUGUCCAAAAAAUUCCCUCCCACCUGAUCAUUUCCCUGGGUUAAUCACCCUGUGGCUGCCAAAGUAGCCCUAAUGCAGUAUUUAUGCUUCCUUUAUUGUGUAUAAUAUAGUAUACAUAUAGAGGUAUAUAUAUAGGUAUAUGUCCUGAUAUACAUGGACGACGUCUGGUCGGUCCCAGGUCGAUCAGGUUCGACCAGCCGACCUGAAAACAUUGGCGAGCCUAUCAAUGCGGCAUGCUGAGCCCAUCCACGAGGCCCUUCGAGCCCAUCUACACGCUGCCACCGCUGCUCGCCCAAUCCGUGCGCUAUCACCGCUCCUUGUCAGAUCCACACACGUCGCAGCCCGGUCCUAGAUGUCAGCCACAAGCCCAGAUGCCGCCCUUGAUCUGUGUCAGCCGUCGCGAGCCUCAUGCCGCCGCCGCUGCUGGAGGGGCUCGGCCCGAGACCCCGCACUACCGCUGAUGGAGCGUCGUGGUCCGCGCAAGCCCUGCCAACAGAGCAUGGUGGGCUCUGCGCGAGCACUACAGCCUAUGAGAGAGAAAGGAUGGAGGUGUGGCGUGUGUGAGGGACGGGAGUGAAGGGGCCAGCAAUGGCAUGCCUUAUAGAGUUAUAGUUAGGGUUUGCUAAGGGAGCUAGAUUGGGCCAAAUGGAUUUGACACAAUAAACCGCAGUGGCCAUGCCAGCCAGCCCCAGAUUCCCUUCCUGGGCAAACCCAAUCCUAACCCUAAAGCUAACUAAUAAACCGGGGCUGCAGCCAAAUAGAAACAGGACAACACGGAUCUGAGGCUUAAACGCGACCAAAGAAAUUUGGCAAUCAGUCAAAUGGAAUUCAAGCAAUCCAGCAGGUGGACAAUUCAGGUGAUUGGGUCCAACUAAAUUAGCAUGCCCCAUUAAUUCCACAGAUCCGUAAUUCCUGGGGCCAAUACAACAGCCGUGGUGUUCAGGUCAGGUCAGGUCGCCUAUCUCGACAAACCCUAACCAGUCGAGCCCGAAUAACAAGGAGGAGGAGGCUGGAGGAGGAGAUUCCUUACCUCGGUAGGUGCGGAGCUGCUGAGGAUUUGCCUUGCCUGAAGACACCGCUGCUGCUCCAGGGGCUGCCGGAGCCGGAGCCGGAGCGAGCGGGCAGCAGACCGGAGCAUCGCCGCCGACGCCAUAGGCGAAUGGUGUGGGAGGCGCGGAGGUGGUGCGGGACGGGGGAGUGCGAGACGAGCGAGUCUCUCGUGGUUAUAUGCGGUCGUGCCUCGUGCGAGCGAAUUUCCAACGUGGCUCGCUGACGGGUGGACCAUAGGUUCUGGGCGCGUGAGCCAACAGGCCCAACACCGCGCGCCCGGGCGUCGGGGUGCGGCCGUGCGGCAUUGUAUUUUCACUGGCCAGUGGACCAUGGGGCGCAUAGACCCACGGGCCGUGAGGACGGGUGUGCAACUGCAAGCAAGGCGUGCGUGGUCUCGACGUUUGUUCGGGCUAGUGGAACGGGCUUGGGGCGAGUGGAACCAUGCCAAUUUUCCUUUCAUCUUUUUUUUCCUUCGACUCAUUGGUUUCAUUUGGGUUUUAGGUCUUGUUUGAAUCUAAAGUUAUUAAUCCUUUUUAACUUCUGUGGUACAAACAAUUAAAAUGUGUAAUCACUUGCAGUGUUUACGUCGUAUAGUGCUAAUAAAUGAUUGAAUUUUUCUAACGCAAGAUCUGAAGAAUGAGUCCCUUUUGGACAAUAUAUUGAUAUAAACACCUGCAGGAUCGAGGUGUUCAAACAUGCACGCCAUCGUCCUUGAUGGUGCCCCUUCAUGCUUUUGGUUCAAUACUGCAGAAUGAGUUUUUAGCUAUUUUCAUUGUUCCGUAAAUGCAUUGUUAUGGAAAUUUAGGGGCAUUAUUGAUCCUAAUUUUAUCUGUUAUACACUUUUUUGGGUUAGAUUCGAAUCCUUGGACUUGCCUUCUUCUUGACACCGAGGAAGUUCAAACUGUAGCCAUGGUUGUCUUGCAUGUGGCAUGCAAUCAGGUUUAAUGCAAUUUUGAAACACCACUCUUACAGCCAUCUAUAAGAGCAUCUCCUAGAGUCUUUGCAAAUCUCACUCUCUACAUUUAGAGAACCAUUUCUAUAAAAAUCACUUUCUAUAUUUCUUCACUCUCCAACAGCUUUUCUAUUCUCGUGGGCACUCUAGAGAGCCGUUCUCGUCUUCUAUUUUAGGCUAGAGAAAAAUCUGAAAUAAAAGAUGGCUUUGCAUAACCAUUUACACAAACUGUUGAAGGAUAAUUUUUCACCAAAAUAUAUAUUCCUAGUAUUUAGGAAGAAUUUAUAUAGUCUUUUGGAGUUGCUCUAAUACCUUUUUUCUUAAUAUAUUGGUGCAACUGACCUAUUUUGUUGGUGAGAAGUGAUGCUGUUGCAUAAGCUAGGCUACCAAUAUGUAUGGUUACAUGAUAUACUAUCUUUAUGUGCUACUCAAAGUAUCUUUUAUUUUACAUAGUGUCAUUGAUCUAAAAUGCCAAAACACGUGGCAGAGAAAAAUUACAGCAUGUGUUAACCAUUUGGAUUUUGUGAUAGUUUCUGAAUUUUAUUUGCAGCCAAAGAUGUAUGCACAAAGUUGUGGGUGAUUCUGAGCAUUUCCCUACUUGAAAAAAGUUUGCUUAUGAGAUCUAUAUAAUUGAAACUGCAUAUGCAAGUAAUCGUGUAUAUUUCUUUUUGACUCUACCAGCUAUCAAGUAGAGUGAAGAAUCAUGUCUUUUUAUUUUUAGUAGUGUGCUGAAAGCCAAUGUGGACGAUUUAUUGUGAGGCUUUUAGUAGUAGAGAUUUAUAUUAUCUUCUAUGGGCAAUCAGAAAACAUGUAGGCCUUCUUUAGAUGCACAUAUAUCUACAUUAAACCAUAAGGGUUACGACUUACGAGGCGGGCAUUGCAACCGCCUUCAAUCAAUGCUCACGGUUAAUCCAUGAUCUAUGGAGGCGGUUGUUUUACCCGCCUCCAGAAAUCAAACAUGAAAAACAAAAAAAAACCAAUGGAUAGGCCCGACAAGCCCAUCCACGUCUCGCCGAGCCCAUCCAAGUAUUGCGCACCCCGACUAUCGGCUGGAUCUGUGCAUUUGUCACCAUCGUCGUCCCUGGAUCCGGUCGCACUGCCCUCGAUCUGCUGCCAGGGAUGCCACCACCAUCAAUCCGCAGCCGGAGGGCGAGCACGCCCUAGAUCCACCACCGGAGGAUGCCACCACCCUUGAUUUGCUACUCACGGAUGCCACCACCCUCGAUCCACCGUCGGAGGAUAGGCACGCCUAGGAUCCGCCACCAAUGAGCGUGCCUACCCUAUCCACCAUCGGGGAGCGCCACAAACCUCCUCGCGCGUGGAUCUCGUCGACCUUCGCCUCCUCGCACCGGAUCGCGCGAAGCCGCAGAAUUCCAAUCUCAUCAGGGCUGCGAGCUCGGUGGAUGCGCUGCUUGCUCCUGGUUGCGUCGCCGCCCUCGAGAACCGCACGGCACUGCUCCUCGAGGACUGUGUGUCGCCGCUCUAGGGCUAUGUGUCGUCGCCAUCAUGGAAGAGAAGGGAGCUGAGCGGACCAGAGGAGGUAGGAGGGAUGGAGGCGAGUGUACCAGAGAAGGGAGAGGGAGUGAGGCUAGCACACGACGAGGGAGAUGGAAGGGGGGAGUAAGGCCAACACACGGAGGGAAAGGUAGUGUGGCACCGAUACGAGUGAGCAAGGGUUAGGGAGUAGGCUUGAGGCUAAAAACCUUAAAAGGGUGUGUAUAUAUAUACAUGUUUUUGUAACUAGGCCUCUUGGGCUUUGCUUGGGCUCAGAUUUUAGGAGACAAGCCUUAUAUGGUGUCCGCCUUCGAAAAUCUAUUUGUGGAGGCGGUUAUACUAAAACGAUCGCCUCUGGUGGGCGUUGGCUAAUGGCAGCCCUCCCCCCCCAAAAAAACGAUCGCCUCCAGAAAUAUAAAUUUUUUUGAGACAGUUGUUUUAAAAAAGAUUGCCUCCAUAAAUCAAUUUUACGAGGCAGGUAAUAUAGUUCUCGUACACUUUAUGUUGAUCCAUUAUUUCUUUUUGGCUUCAGAUGUAUGGUAAUGGAGUCCAUUGUUACACAAGAUAGUGAACUGGUGUUAUCUAAUAUACUUAUGAUUUUGGUCAAGAAUCACGACAACCAGCGUGUUUGCCUUGCUGCUGGGAUAUAUUCGAUGGAUCAACAUAGGAUUUUGGUCAAGAAUCACGGCAAGUUGUAAUUCGUCGUGCCUUUUUAGAUAUGGCUUUAUCUAAAUAUGUUUCUCAAACACAUGUUCUUUGUUCAAAGUAUGUCUGGGUGUAUCAUGCUUAAAACCACACCGCAUGAAAUGAAGAUGACUUAAGAAUAUUUCAGAAUGUCUAGCUAAUGCUCAGAUAGACAAUCUCCUAAAUAGAAAAUCACUAUUACCCAAUAUAUAUCUCAGAAUAAACCCCACUAUCCAAUUCUUUUGACAUGCAAAGCAUCCACAUCAUCAUCCACUAGAGCAUCCCACUAAUUAUUUCUCUUGCCAUGCAAAGCGUCCACAUCAACAUCCACUAAAUCAUCCCACUAAUACAUUACCCCACCAUGCAAAGUGUUUACAUCAUUAUCCACUAAUAAAUUGAACUAACACAUAUCAUUAUCCUGUAUCUAUGUUAUUCACAUUAGCAAACCAUAUCAUUCUCUAACAUAUAUUUAGUUGUCUAUGUUAAAAUACUAAAAAUCAUCCACUAACAUAUAUUAGUCUACGAACGCCUUGCACCCGUCCUUGGCCAUCUCUGCCGUCUCCCCAAACCCGCCCAUCCCCUUCCCGCCGAUGGCGCAAACCCUAGGUAUAAUGAAGCCAAUACAUAAACAAUUCGGAGGUCGCAAACCCUAUGUUUAAAAGAUUCGUUUUGUAAAUUAUAAAUAAACUGUAUAAAUAGUCAUUUUUUAUUUAUAUUUAAUGCUUUAUGCAUAUGUCAUAAUAUUCGAUGUGAUAGAAAAUUUUAAAAAUUUUGCAAUUUUUUUGGAAAGUAAAACCAAGGUCUCUGACUUGCACGGUUCGUUCAAAGCCCUGUCAAAAACCCCACACCAGAGCCCCCACACGGCCACGCCACUCACUCCAGUACUCCCCACUCGAGCCGACGCAAUUUCGCACCCGAAGUUCCAAACCCCGCCGGCCGCCGCGUCCCUUCCACUUCCUCCUUACCCCAAUGGCGUCGUCAUCGAGGGCGACGUCGUCGCGCCGUUCCGUCUUCGACGCCGCCUACAUCCGCUCGGAGUUUUCUGCGGCUGGCAUCUCCGGCCACUUCAUCCCUCUCAUCUGGAAGUACGCCUCUUUACGCCAAAUCACAGGCGCAUGCCACAAUCCCCGCCCGCCCGUCUCCCUCCCUUUCUCCAAUUCCCAAGUUUUUUUUAUAUAUAUUUCUGUUUAACCUGAGGAGUGAUUCUCUCUGCGUGCGCAGGUACGUACUUCAGAACCCUAGGUGCAGCGACCUGGAUGGCGUCCCGUCGCUGCCGGCGGCCGCGUACGCGCUCCUCCGGCAGAAGUUCCGGCCGACCACGUCGACGCUAACCGCUGCCGCGGACUCCAAGGACCGCACCACGACCAAGCUCCUCAUCUCCCUGCAGGUAAUUUGCACAUUCACAAAUGUGGCAUGUGGCGUGCGAGUCCACUGGUGUUUGGGGAUUAUGCGAAAUUGGGAAUAUGUUGUAGUCUCCCCGGUUAUUUCGGUAGCUACUUUUGCAUUUGGUUCAUUGUCCGUGGACAUUAGAAAUUUUCUCUUGGUGAUGUGAGCUUAUGAAACAUAUGCUUGUUUGAUUACUCCGUCAGGAAUGGAAUGGUUGACACAUGCAUAAUUGAUUAGCCUCAUGGGCACUAUUUUAGGGAUUGAAUUCACCCUGAUUGUCUCUGAUAGAGUAGGCAUUAGAAAACAGUACUUUUGUUUCGUGUUUAUGUGGUUUUCCAAUGUUUGUGGAAGAUAAUAGCAUACCUUGAAAUACCUAAUCUGUGUAGUUUUAUGUUUUUUUUAAGAUCAAUUCAUCAUUAUUGUUGUCUUGGAUGUAAUAGAGCUGCAAUACAAAUAGGGAGCACCAAGAUACAGAUAUGCACUAUCUUGUACUAACUUCUACAGAUUCAACCUGCAGCACCUGAACCAUCCAGUUAUUGAAUAUUUAUAGCAAAGACAAGUAUAACUAACAAGCAGGACCUUUUGCCCCUCCUUCCGCGAAUAAAAAAGAAAAAAAGAGAGAAGUAUAACUUAAAUGCUUGACUUGUUCCUAAUAUUAACUCUACCAACUGUUGUGGAGGAGCAUUUAUUUUCUGUUGCUAUUUGGCUAGAUAGUAGGAGGUUCGAGUCAUCUUAAAAAAUGUACAGCUUAAGCCAUAUAUAUUUGAUAUUUCAUUCUCGUUAUUUGGAUUUUAUAUUUCACACUUGUAUCCUUUAGUUUCUUUGCCCUUUGGCUCUAUAUCUGUAGUUUUUCAGUCAUCUUCAAAAUGAAUAGAUAAAGAUAUAAUGGUUUCAGUCCUUAUAAUAUGUUAUAUGACUUAUGGUAGCAUCUUCUGUAUUAGAUAGCCUGUAACUUUGCGAUUUAAAUUCUACUCCCUUUUUUUUGCAUAGUGAACUCCUUACAGGUGGACAUCAUUUCUUGCAAGCUACAAUUCUAUUUCAGACCGCCUCCUUUUCUUUUUUAACUUGGCUGUUGUUUAUCUAAUUAUUUUAUGUCUGUGCAUUGAAGAAGUUUUUAACCACAAAUUUGCCAUUUUUUUGUUGUAAGAGUUUUUUCUUUUCAGAUUUUGUAUUUUUUAACAUUGAAGAACAACUUAUUGGACUUCAAAUUUGUGGUGUAGAAUGGAGAGUCUGUAGAGGCAGUGGUCAUGCGAUAUGACACACGACUGGGGAAGUAUGAUGGAAAGCCUCGGCCUGGUGGACUGCGCUCAACCCUUUGUGUGUCAUCACAGGUGAAUAUAUUUCUAUAUUGGAUGUCAGGUGCUCAAGUCUGGAUGAACUUGUUUCUAAUGGUUUAACACCUUUUACCAGAAGACCUGUUCAUAACUUAAUUCUCACCAGUGUGUUAUGAUUCUUGGUAAACUUGUUACUCUAUUGUUAUUUGGUGACUUUGGCUCGGUAGAUAGCCCAGCCGGGAACGAAUCCCAAGCAAUGAGACCAAGAGAAUGCAGAAUGUCUACUAAAGAGCUCUCUCAAGUCUUUCUUUCUACAAUACUAAACAGGUUGGGUGCAAGAUGGGCUGUAGAUUCUGUGCUACUGGAACAAUGGGCUUCAAAAGCAAUCUGUCUUCUGGAGAAAUUAUAGAGCAGCUGGUCCAUGCAUCCCGCUAUUCUCAGAUCCGAAAUGUUGUUUUCAUGGUAAUUUUCACUCAAGUAGUAGCAAUUGCCUGAAAUUUCUAUGUAAGAAAGAAAAAUUGUGGCAUUUGAAUGCGAUGAUUAUGCAUCUUUUGUGAUCCCUUGUAGUGUUGUUUUCAUCUUGAUUAUGCUGAUCAGAUUUAACUUGUUACUUGGUUUUGUCAUUGAUUCUGUGAACAAAUAAGCUCAGUAAGAUCCAUAUAUUGGAAAAUGACAUCCAUUACUUCAUUCUUUUGCCAACAAGUAUCACAUGCCAUCCUCACAUUAGAUUGUAUUCCUAACUUGACCAUUGUGACGAUACUGAGCAUUAUUACCCUGGUAGUUGUAUAUACUUUACAUUGGGGGCAAUUUACUUACAGACAAAAUGCUUCAUUUUGCAAGUAUCACCACUGCAGAAAUGGGAAAUUAUUCCUGCAAAGUUUACAUGAAUAGAAUGAAUGCCAGAAUUUUCUUAGCUAGUUUGCUUGAUUUAUGGAUUGAGCUGGCAAUAUGUUGAUCUGUUUUUCUUUUGCUGGUGAGUGGUGACAAUGGUUCUUGUACAAAUUCCUGCUGGUAUUACAGUUAUCCCUUGUUACCUAUAAUUCUCAAAAACUAGUGGUAUGCUGUUUGAGUUAGUUUCUAAAUUAUUAUAGGUUUAUUCUUUCAUGUUCAUGUUCUCUGGCACUUAUAGCUUAUGUGCUUUGCUGAUUCUUUGAUAUAGAAAUUAGAAACACUGCUUUGCUGAUUGCUAAAAAAUCGUGGGUCGCUAAAUGUUUGUGCAUGUUUAACUUUAAAAUUGCAAAUUAUUAUCUACAUAUGUGAACAUCCUUGGAACUGGGUGGUGUCAUGUCAUUAUUGAGAAGAACCAUGAUAAAUGAAUUCUAUUUGAUGUUUGUUAUAACAGUAUUAGUGUCCUCCAGAGGUUAGCGAGGUGUUAUUUAUAUGCAGGGAAUGGGGGAGCCGAUGAACAACUAUAAUGCUUUGGUUGAAGCAAUCGGAGUGUUUACAGGAUCUCCUUUCCAGCUUUCACCUAAGAGAAUUACUGUAUCUACUGUAAGCAUACUUAGUCACCUUUGCAUGUGAAAUCACAUUCUCAAGAUUUUUGUUGAAGCACUAUAUUUUGUUAGUAGUGAAAUAUUCUUAUAAACUAUAUGUUGUUUAGUGGCGGCUGUUACACUUCUGAAUGACCUAAUGAAUUUCUGCUGUGAUAAACCACACAAUGGUGAAUCCGUCAAAAGCUUUUUAUUUAAUUGUGCAAAUAUAACUUGAUAAAUUGUGUAGCAGGCCAGUUGUAUAUUCUUUGGAUGAACUGUUCUAUUCCCCCUUGUUGCUAGCAAGUAUAUCUUGUUUUAGCACUUGUAGGAUUUAAACGUUAACAUUUAUUAUAAAAUACAGUUAUUACAUAAGAUAUGUGGUCUGAUGCCAAACCUUUUUUUUCACUUACGUUAUUGCUGCUUCUAGGUUUAUAAUAGAAUUCAUUGUCAUGUUGUGUGGUAAAAACUUUUCUAUGCAUGUUAAUUUUAUUUAUAUGUUUGCUCAUUUAUCAAGCCAAAUUUUCCAUAUUAGCUUUGAAGCCAUGGUGUGUUUUGCCACUGUAUUUUUUGCUAAAAGUUUGUUUUAAGAUUGAACUUUUGAAUUAGAGAAGCUGAUAGAUUGAUUUUUCUUAAUAAUUACUGCAGGUCGGAAUCAUUCAUGGAAUCAACAAGUUCAAUGCAGAUCUUCCAAAGGUGAAUUUAGCUGUGUCAUUGCAUGCUCCUGACCAAGAUAUACGCUGUCAGAUAAUGCCUGCUGCACGUGCCUUUCCUUUAGUAAAGUUAAUGAACGCGCUGCAGUCCUAUCAAAAUGAGAGGUGAGAUUACAAUAACGCAUCUCUUACCAGUGUCAAAAUGUUAGCAUGGAGAUUUGAUUUCUGAUUACCCUUUCAUGUUUUAUCACAGCAAACAGACCAUCUUUAUUGAGUACAUUAUGCUUGAUGGAGUUAACGAUCAGGAGGAGCAUGCUCAUCAGCUUGGUAAACUGCUUGAAACGUUCAAAGCGGUGAGGCACUAUUACAUUACUUCAUUUUAUCAUUAUUACUUUGCUCUAGUUCCUUUGUAGUCACUUCUUUUUGCAAGAUGUCUAACGAGGCAGUUUUGUGUCGUUAACUUCUUGUGUUCAUUAUUCAAUCCAUUUUGUAUUGCCUCCACCAGUCUUACUUUUCCAUAUUUCCCUAUCUGUUUGCUUUUGACAAUUGCCAUUUCUGUUUAGUAAUCCUGGUACUCCAAAUUUCUUCUAGGUGUUUGUCGUCCACUCCUGUUUUUAUGUGUUUCAAAAUUUUUGCAAUAACUUACUAGUGUAAUUUUUGUACACUGAGCCUAUUAAUACCAAGUGAUGGUCAAGACAUAUGUAGGUAGCAGUACUUGUACAUUCACCUUUGUGUAUGGAAAUGGAGUGAUCAAUAUGUUCUCUAAACUACCAACAGGUUGUCAAUCUAAUACCAUUCAAUCCAAUUGGGUCAUUAAGCAAUUUCAAGACAAGCAGUGACCAAAAUGUGAAGAAGUUCCAAAAGGUUCUAAAAGGCAUCUACCACAUCAGAACCACUGUUCGCCAGCAGAUGGGUCAAGACAUAGCUGGUGCUUGUGGCCAGUUGGUGGUUAGCCUCCCAGAUGAAAGAUCAGCUGGUGGAGCAACCCUGUUGUCAGACAUCGAAGACCUUCGGAUCUGACCUCUCCCAAUUGUUACUUCUAUCUUCUCAAAACCAGAUCGUCUUACUAAUUAGCCUUACAUGAUAUGGUAACUAGUGCUAUAGUUUCAGUCAAGCUUUAAAACAUGGAGAUGUUUAGUUUGACCAUUGUUGUGUUUCCCUUUUGUUCUGGGAUGCACAAUUUUGCUGUAAACACAAUGGUGAAGACUCCUGCUCGUGUGGAUAGGUGGCCACUGAAACGGUUGGUAACUUGGUAUUGUAAAUGGGACAAUGUUAUCGCAACAAUGCCAUGGUCAGCUAUAAUGAUAUGGUAUCUUCUGUCUAAGACGACUUUCCUGUCAGAUCUCAACGAAUAUCUGAUGUUUUUCCUCUCUUAUUUGCAGCUUUUCAUUGCCAUUAGCAAGUUGGUCGGGUUGGAAUUGUGCCUUCGUUUUAUGCUUUAUUCAGAUUCCGUGUCGGUGGGCUGUAUGUAAUGGUGGUGGCAUGGGCUUGGUGCUGCUGCAGCGUGUUAUCUUUGAAAAUGUGAACCCAAUUGCUGGAAAUCAUGUGAGAUUGUCAGGAGCGGGACAAGGCGAAACAUAUGAGCUGUGUUGUUUGGUUCUUAUGCCCUCUUUAUAUCCACCUAGCUAACUAUUAGCUGUGUUAGCUGGGAAAAGGCAACUAAUAGCUUAUUGUCGAGAGAAAUCAGCUAAUAACUGCUAACUGUUAUCUAGGUGGUAGGUAAGACAUUAGCUGAUAUUAUUUGAGGAUCCAAACAUGUUUCUAGCUAAUUAUUAAUACUUUCUCUAUGUCACCUAUGGUUUAAAGACUAAGAACGCAUUUAAUUCUCUCGCAACAUUAGUACUAUUGUAUUAAUAUAUUUGAUAGAGCACGCCUUAUAUUAGAGCAAGUAUAAUUGCAGGCUGUAAGUCGGCUAAAUGCUGAGGUGGAGGAUAGAAGAGAGUAGAAGCGGGCUGUACAAUAGGCUCAGACAUAAGAACCAAGGAAGUUUAAGUUUGUGAAAGAGACAAGUGAGCCAUGUAUUAAUAGUGAUGAGGUAACCAUUAUAUGCUGCAAAGAAACCUUAGAGAUUGGCUAUAUUAUUAGUCUUGCUCUUAUAGGAUAUGAAAAAAAUGAUUAUGUGUUAUAUAUUAGGACGAAGGGAGUAGCUGACUAUUGGUCGUAGCACCCAAAUAGACUCUUAGUUCCAGUGCGCGCUGAUCAUCGCUUUCCACGUCUUUGCGUGAGGACUCGUUCCAGUGCGCGCUGUUCAUCGCUUUCCACGUCUUUGCGUGAUAAGUGCUUGCUGAGCCAGAACCAACAUUGGCAAAUUGGCUCUGGACUCUGGUGUUUGCUCAUGUAAUACAUUAUUGUUUACUAGCUAGGUGGUUUGUGCAACAAUGGAUGCUUGGUAGUUGGUACCUAUAACCUAUUUCAUUCAGUCUUUGAGAUGCAUGGUGUCUACGAUCAUUGCAGGAAACAAGUCGAGCCAGAAAUUGGGGAAAUCCCAGUCGCCUUGUGGCCAAGGCCAGAGCGAGCUCAGCGAAGAUGACGUGAAACAAUUUGUGGCCAAGGAGGUACUGUUAUUUUCUUGAGCUAGAAAAUGUUUGCUUCCUUUUGAAUUCACGUUCUGAUGCUGAAUCUGAACAUUAGCAAUGGAAUAGCAAUAGAACUCAUCAAAAUAAAUAAAGAAACAAAUACAUGCGUUUGUCCUCUUUUUUUCCCCAACCUUUUGACAGAGGGACCUUCUGCUCCAGGUGAUCUACUACAAGAAAGUCCGGGAAGUGACCUUCGUCGACAAGAUCUCCAAGGCCCCAUCGGGCAAGAUAUUGCGCAAGGAGCUAAGGAAACAGCUUCAGCAGCAGCAUCAAGUGGUGUGAUUAAAAAGAAAAAGAACCCGUGUAUCGUUCUACUUAUUCUAUGAUUUGUUUGGAUGUCGACAAAUGGAGGAAGAAUUUUAUCGGAGUCACAAAAGUUUUAUCUCUUGAUGCGUAAUGUAUUUAGCUAAAUGGUGAGGCAGGGAGGCUUGAUGGAAUGUAUAUGGAUAUUGGAUUUGCGAAGGUACACCAUAUUUGGGGUGCCUGCGUUUAGUGUAUCUGGUCUAGUUGGUGGUGGUGAUGGUGCCGUGAUGUGUCCACCUCAUAAUGUUCAUUUUCCUCUCACAUACAAUUUCCAUCAUUGUAGAUUAAAAUCUAAUACAUUUUGCUAUAUUUUUCAUUCUAUUAUUCAACAUAGCAUAUAACUGCCCCUGUUCACCCACGUUCAAAUCCUUCCCUUGAUUUAGCAUGGUCUUUUUUUUAGAUUUAUUCUAGGAUUUACAUGGUGUUUGCUUCAACCAGUGGUAAUGCAAAAUGGUAACUAAAUUAGGUUACAUUGCAUAAGGGUGGGCUCAAUCUUUUUUGAAAGGAACGGGCUGGGGAGCUACCCGCUAUAUUAAAUAGAAAAAACAGGUAUGAUACUAGAUGCAUAGCAAAAUAGAUGGACUACAAAAGUCAAAUCGACUUAUAAUUUAGAACGGAGUAUAUAAUUAACACAUGAACAAAAAUUCAAAAAGUGCGCAUGACCUAAUGGAUAAGGCAUCUGACUUCUAAUAAUAAGGCGAUUGUUCGUCGAGUCCCACUGGGUGUAAAUAUAUACUUCUUAUUAAAAAAUAUUUAUUUAAAUAAUAAUUUAUUUGAUUUUUUAAAAUGUACAACAUAACUAACUUUUUGUGUUGAAAAAAAACGUCGAAAACCUUUUGGCACUACACCUGCCGCUGGUAUUUAUUCCCUUUACUUUGCCAUUUGUGGAACCAAACAUCACCUGAUGGUUAACUGAUGGCCUGAAACUUAGGUUGUCAUCACAAGAUAAAACUCCGAAAGUUUGCUCUCAAUCACUCCCAGCCGAUCGAGUCAAUUGAGCUCACAAAGCCUGCGGUGUACUUUGAGGAGUUGUCGAGUGCAGCUAUCUUCGGGCGUGCAUGGACCACACAUGAGGUAUAUCACGUUACCCAGGGGCCUAAUAUAAAUAUCAUCCUCUUUGCGGAGCUGUUGCACCAAGGAACUUGCGUAGAGUGAAGCGUACCUAUAGAGAGAACAGCAUGAAACUCAUAGCAUAGCGGUAAAUAACAUUCCAGCAUCCUUUUAAAAAAAAAUAACAUUCCACCAUAAAUUAUCACAAUCAAGCACAAAAGUUAGCCCAAACUGGAAGUGUAAGAACUAUUCACCAAAUUAAGCCACAAUGCACCAUGAGGAGAACAAGCAAGAGUCAAAUGAACUCAUGGGUAGAGCAGAAAAUACUGUGGUUUGUGUUACUACACAACCAAAGGAAUGACCAGAUCCAUCAUUGUUUGGUGGUUCUAGCACAGUUGUGUAUAUGAAUCUGUUAUAUGUGGCAUUGAGUACCAAAUUAGGAAGAAUCAAGCUGCUAAGGUGGAGGCUGCGGCUCAGAAACCAGUAGGGUUGGCCUAUACAGCAGAUGAGGUUUGACUUCCUUAUCUGUUAUGUUCAGUUAGUUAUGUUCUGAGGCUUCGCUACUUGUCUUGUUCCGAAUAUGAGAUGAACCAUUAGGCAGACAGCUGGCUAUAUAUGAUUUUUUUUUCAAAACAGCUGGCUAUAUAUGAUAGCUGUCAUUACAAUCCAGGUCAAUCAAUAUUAUAAUGAUACGCAUGUGCAGCUCUCAUGCGUAUUCAAGAGAAAAAAGAAGCAAUUUCAUAUUACUAUAGGUUCAGCUAAUCAGCUAUACUUUUCAUAUUGGGACCACAACAUUGUGGUGUCCAACAGUAGGAGUACAGGACUGCAAGAUUUACAUUCAAAUGGACGCUGAAGACGCUCUGGACUACUGCAUCUCCACGUUCACUCCAUCCUACUGACCCCCCCUGUGGCGCAUAUGGGAGGUGCGUAACAAGUCUUCCGGUAUGCAACGUUUGUUGUGUCAGGUGAAUAAUCUCAGCCUUGUAACGACCUAGACAUCUGGUCUCAUCAGUUUGUAUCCUAAACAGGAGAAGGGAGCUAUCCGCUGUUGGAGAUGGUUCCUAAUAAGUGCCUGUAACUCCCAACGCUGGCAUGGGCUAACUUUGGCAGCUUGGCUUGGCCACAUUUUAGGAGUGCCACCCCACCCCCCACCCCACCACACCUCACUCAACCAUUUGAUACUAGGAACACAAAAACAGUUUCAAUAUAAUCAGAUUUUUUAUACCAAGAAAGUAUUCUCGAGCAAACUAAACUCCAUAGGACCAUAACAAAACUCUGUGCAGCAAAAGAUGCCAAACUACUAACUAGUCAUCAUUGGAUCCUCUUUUAAAAGUUUUUUAUGCCAAGAAAAAUACUAAAAUUCGUCAGUGAAGCUUAAAAAAAUAUAAUGACUCAUUCAUAUGCGACAUACCCAGCAUCAGAUCCCUCAGCCUUGAGCUCAAUUGCACAGAUAGUUCCUAAUGAGACCACUCUUUUCACAUUCGGUAGUGACGAUAACUGCUUAACAAGCGUGCCAUCCCACAACUGUAAAUUGAGAGUAAACCAUAUCAGUUAUCUUUUGAAGGGCAUAAUUACAUGCAUUAAUUGGCAAAAUAUAAUAUUAAGAGAAAGGACAUGCUCUUAUUCUCCUUCAAAUGAUAUUAUACUUGUAUAAUAAAUACGAUUCAGAUACAAGUGUUCUUUAAGAACUCCAUGGCUUCAAAAAAAUAAAUAUGUGUACUUAUGUAACGGCAGUAUAUCAUAUAUCAAAGAGGUAAGGACACUCAAAAGGAGUAUCACAGACCAUAGUUUGUCUAUCUUAGUUUGAGCUAUUCUAAAAUUCAUGUGAGUUACUCCCUCCAUAAUCUUUUCUAAGGCGUAUCCACGGGUUUUCAGAUACGAGGUGAAAGAUUAAUGAAACAAUGAACUCAGCGCGGCCACGUCGUUGCCACAGAUUGGUUCUGCCAACUGCAUGUAUAUGCAUGCAUACAUGCAACACUCCGCAGCCUGAUGGAAGCCAAAGGCAAGCACCUGAUGGGAUGAAUGCAUGCAAAACAAUGUUUGGAAUUUGAAGCGCAGCAGUAACUGCCAGACGCUUGGUCGGAUGCUGCUUUGAAUCUAUCGGAGGAUGCCUCGGUGCGUCGUCCAUGACUUACAUAACUUCAAAAAUGUAAAAUCUGCAUACGCCUAAGAAAAGAUUAAGGAGUACUUUAAAUAACCAGUUCUACCUACUCAAACAGCAUAUUUCAUUACCUCCUUGAGCUUCAUGUGGUCAGCAUCAAGGUUCAAAUUAGUGGAUGGAUCCCGGUACCACUGCAUAGCUUUUAGUGCUGCAGUACAGCCCAUGGCAUGAGCAGUGUAGGAAUGGCCAUGUAAAAGUGCCGUGAGCUGGACCAGGUAAAAGAUAGAAUCAGUGCUAAACUGUAACGAUGCAUUCUUUUGACAUAACAUAAACGAUCAUGCAUUCAUGCUUCAAGAUGGUUGAGACCAAUUAUGCAUUUACAUUCAAGAUGAUUACCUUAGAGUCACCUUCGAAGGAUUCAAAAACUUCCUCCGUUGCUAAGGUUGCAGCUAAUGGUACAAUUCCCCCAGUCAUCAAUUUCGCAUAGCAGGCGAUAUCAGGUAGACAACCAAGUAACUCUGAAGCAGACUGAAAGAGAAGUUAUCAAGAUUAUGAAAUACAGACAACAUAUCUAUUUAUCCUCUGAAAAGGUUAUGAGAUACAGACAACAUAUCUAUUUAUCCUCUGAAAAGGUAUUGUCAAGUAUUACCUCCACACCAAGACGCCAGAAUCCUGUAAAUACCUCAUCAAAUAUGACAGGUAUUUUUCGACUUCUACACUCACUGACAAGUACUCGCUGGAAAAGAGGAUCUAUCAUGAGCAUUCCACCUGCACCUUGUAUUACUACACAAAUAUGGGUUAAUGAGGUUGAAGCAGUAAAUGGCAUGGAAAAGUUCUGAGAUUUUGUCAGCUGUUAGUAUGAAAUGAUAGUAGACAUACUAAAGGCUAAAGAGCAAAAAAAUGGAAAUAUUCCCAAGAAGCUCAGAGUGAAACUUUAUUUACCUGGUUCUAUAAUUAGUGCUGCAAGAUGUUCAGAGCUACUUGAUAGAGAAAAUUCUGAUAGUUUCUGUUUUAUAUAGGACGAAUACAAAUCAGCAGCAAACGUUUUGUCCCUGGUCUUGCAAAAGACUUCAGCUUGUGAAGAAAAGCCUGCAUUUUGAAUCAAAGAACAAAUUAAAUAAACACCCAUAAGGAAUUAGAUCUGAUGUGUCAAAGACAAGAAACUGACAUGUAUCACCAUAUGUCUGAGGAUCAUGCUGCAUUGAUUGGGGCAAAGAAAUAUUGUAGACCUCACUUUUAGUAUACACAGUUGGAGGAUCUAGAAAAAGUCCCCGACCUGAAUACCUACAAAAGAAACCUCAUGUAAUUGAUCUCAGCUUUACUUAACGAUGCGAUAACCAACAGCAAGGUAGGAGGUUGUAAAAAAAAGGGGUGUGUCCGAGUCUUACUAAAUUUUCAAGAAAAAACUAGAAAAGAAAAUUCCUAUUAGGCUAUCAAAGAAAAGGCUGGUACAGAAAAGACCACAGUAGGCACAGAGAACCACUGAAGAGUAUAAACACCAAGACAAUCAGCAUAGUGAAGUGACAGAAAAGGUCACAGUUCCAAAACAGAACUCAAGAAGAGUAGAGAAGUCUAAAAAUAUUCAGUGUAGUAAAUACAGUGCUCAAAUUCAUUACCAUGGUUGCUGAAGAAAAGAUGUAUAAGCUGAUGGAGCUUGAGCUUCCAUAGCACCCAGAGUAUCACCAUGAUAGGAACCAUUUAGAGCAAGUACCUAGAGAGGAAUCAAUUGUUAAGAAUAUAUUAGGAUGCACAAAAUGGGCAUUUACAGUUAUUUAUACACAAUUUAUAUUAAUUUGUCCCCUGUAAAUACUAAAACAUAUACGAAAUAUAAUAUAAUUACUGAAAUAAACACAGGGUUAUGGUGAUCAACUGAGGUUGACGGUUGUGAAGAAAAAAAACAAAAAACAUCAUUCUCUUACUGUGAACUGUUUAGUAGUUCAGUCAAUAAUAAAGACAAGGAUGUUUAGUAUGGCCAUAACAUACCUUCAACUGAAUGUUUCUUUCAUUUCUAGUACUAUUUUCACUGCCAGACAUAAUUCCAUGAUCAAGACAAAAUUUACGAAAUGCCAUCUUCAGAGCAAUUUCAAUCGCAGUGGAUCCAUUGUCUGAAUAAUAGACUCGAGAAGCCCAACCUGAGAAAAAAGGGGAAGUUGUGACACAAAUAAACCAAUACAAAUAUGACAGGAACACGAAAAGAAGUAAUGCUAUCACCCACGUGGAUAGAGUUGCAAGAAACAAAUAAGAAAACAAAACCAUAACACAAAUAUUGAAAUAAAGGAAAAAAUAAUCAUAUUGUACAAGGUUAAACUAUUGAUAUGACUCAUAAAAGCAUGUCUCAUUUCACAUACACAUCAUUAUAAUUGUCUCAUUCCUUGAGGUAAACAUAACAAAUCAUCAGGCACAUAAGCUCUAGAUUUUUUUUUUCAACCCGAGAGAUAUCUCAUUUCCAUUAUGACAUAACGGAAAUACACAGCAUUCGAAGAGACAGACAGUAGACAGCGCUAAGACAGUAUCCAGAAACUUUGAGCCAAGCCCAAAACUAAGCUAAACAAAAGGCCAUCCUCCACCAGUUCCUAGCACAAAAAAGCGCAUCCAUCCCACAUUUGGGGAGCCAGAAGACUUCUGAACAAAAACCACUAACCCAUCAAGCCACACAAAACAGCCAGAGACAGCACCCAGAGCAAAAACAACAGCAACAGAUAGAGUCUAGACCGAGACCAACAGAUCCACCGGACACAAGUCUUACAUAAGCUCUAGAUAUAUCCAAGAAAAGGAAGAAAAUUUGGAAGGUGUGACAUAUUUCAAGCGCCAAGUCAAUUUUCAUAUUAAUAUGACAUCAAAUUCAUUAUAGAGUACCAUAGAGUUUGAAUUGAGCCAAUGCUGAGUGAAAGAAAAGCUAAAUUGACAAACCUUUACCAACUCCUCCAAGUAAAACUUCUGCAGAACGAAGAGCAGGCUCAUGAACAUUCUCUGGAAACAUCACAUGACCAUAUCUUGCAGCAGCAUAACCCAUAUCUCUUGCAAGUUCAAUCUAAUGAGUAAAGACAAGUUUAGGGCUUUAGGCUACAAAAUUGCCUGUCAAAAGUUCCAGUAUACAAGUUUAGGCUACAAAAAUUGCUUGUCAAAAGUUUAAAUACACAACUUUACCAAUAAAAAGUGUAAAAGGGAGUUCUUGUAGCAAAAUAAAUCACAUAUCCUGGAGAUGUGAGGAGAAAACCUGCAAGUUAGAAUCAGGCCCUUGAGUCCACCAACUUGCGCAUGCAUCAAAUUGAGGGACGAGCAUUUUGUCUUUAAUCUACAUCAAAGAUUUAGAGAAUUGAUAUUAAUGAUCACUUGAUCAGCCAACCUUGAUGCACAAUCAGAACUUCAUUACAAAUUUCUUUUGAAGAAAUAAUGAAGAGAAAAGAGCAGAACUAGAAAGUGAACAAACCUUGUACACAGAAAAAUUUUCACCACAACGCGAAUCAAUUACUGUAACAGAAUCUUGAGGAACAAGAUUGUGCUGAGUAAAAGGCCACCACAAUAAAUCCUUCGAUUUUCUUUGCAUGCUGUUUAACCUCUCUAUUCUUCUGGAAUGAAAUGAUUGCAGGGCAUCUUUAAGAGAAUUAAAAGCUGAGGAUGACUCAGAAAACCAAUCAGUCAGGUCAUCUGAAGGAUCUUCAGGAACUUGUGGCAAGGUAAGCACAUGUACCCUAAACAACAAAAUCAAUAGAGUUAGCAGAACAGCAGAACUAUUCAUUUAAUAAAAUAAAAGAAUUAAACGGAUGGUCGUGAAUAGAAACCUGUUUCUCAAGUAAGAAAGCAAGAAUUUGUCAUUUGAUAACUCACGAUCUUCCAAAAUAACUGCGCUCACAUCAUACCCUCUAAGCAACAAAGUUUCAUACGCAGACAAAGUGGAUGAAAUACCACCAAGGCGGCCAUCUCCAACAAGAAUAGCAGGUAACCUAAAAGGCCUGUCAAAAGUUGAAACAAAUCAAUAACAGCCAGAUAAAAGAUCAACUCAACAAAUAGACGUUUAAAAUGUUCAAGGCUUCAAGCUAACAGUUAACAUCAGAAGGUGAUUUAAGAGGUUAAGGCAUUUUGAUUUUUAAUCCAUCACUCGACCUAGCAGUUAUUUUACAUGCAAAACUUAAACUGUAAAAGAAUGGAAAGAAAUAAAGAGAAUAAUACGCAGAACAUCACAAGCUUUAUUCGACGAGUUCACAAGCUCAUAAACUACAAUUCAGGAAUCAUUAACUGCCAAUAGUAAGCUAGCCAGAUAAUAUCCAGAACAGGGGCGGAGCUAGCCUUUACCACCAGGGUCUGUAAUUGUUUACUGAGCUGCAAUAACAUGGAAUUGCUCCAGUGCAAGAACAAUUGAACAGUCAUUUGUUUAUCCUCACCUAAAGACAAAUCAGAAUCUGUGGAAGCAAGAGAAGGCCAGAGCAAAGACACAAAUAAUUUUUAUGUCCUUCAGGCGAUCUCAGUGACAACUGACAACAUGGGGAGGGAAACAAAGAAUAAGAUAUAGGGAUUCCUGGCAGCGAGUUUUAGGGAGUCAAGUUGCAUCAUACGACUUGAGAUAUUUGGAUAUAGCUAAAUUUUAGGCUUAUUUGAAAACAACUGUACAAUCUUGUAUUACCUCUUUGAAAAUAUUCAAAAUACAGCCUAGUAAACUUCAGAACAGUUGCUUGAAUGUCUCACAGAGACGUCUUAAUAAAAAAAAUGGUGUGAAUGGAUACAGCUGAUCCUGACCUAUGGGGCCCUUAGCGUCAAAAUCAACAACAUCCAGGGGGGCUUAUUUUAAAACUGAGAAUGAGUUAGACAAGGGGAUCUCUUAUCCUCAUUUUUAUAUAAAAUCGCUGCAGACACUUUAGCCAAGAUGGCAAACCUCGCACAAACCAAUAAUCUGAUCAAAGGGUUAGUCCCUGAAUAUAUUAAUAAUGGGGUGGCCAUUUUGCAAUAUGCUGAUACCACCAUUCUUUGCAUUCAAGAUGACUAAGAAAAAGCUGCUCAUUUGAACCUGCUCUUAUACAUGUAAAAAGUGAGGUGAUUCUGAUUAGCCAAGACAUGAACAAAAUGGUUGACUUCUCUAAUAUGUUUACCUAUGCAAUUGGUAAAUGGGCUAUCAAGUACCUUGGUGUCCCUGUCUCUGGAAACAGUUCACAUAUUGUUGACUGCCUUCCAAUUGAGAAAAAGAUGGUAAAGAGGCUAGAUGGAUGGCAGGGGAUCUCUCUAGCCUUAUCUUUGUGUGUGUGUGUGUGGAGGGGGGGGGGGGGGGGGGGGAGGGGGGAUCAUGCCUUUGUACGCCAUGUCUAUGUAUCUCCUACCCAUCUCUACCAUUAAAAAAGAUGGGCAAUACUAUACAAAGUUUUUUUUGGCAAGAAGGAAGGCUGAAAAAGAAAUAUCACCUAGUCAAAUGGGUAAAGGUAACGAAUCCCAAAGAAAAAGGAGGAUUGGGCACCAAAGAUCUGAGGAAAAUGAACAUUAAUUUGCUUUGUAAGUGGUGGCAUAAGGUGGAAAAUGGUAGCGGUAUUUGGCAUAAUAUUGUUCAAAGGAAAUAAAUGAAAUCUGGAGGUAUUUCCAAGCUGAAAAAAGCAAUAACAAUUCUCCUGUGUGGAAUGAUUUGCUUAAAGUAAAACAUAUCUACUUAAGAGGGAGAAUCAUGCUUGCGGGUAACGGGAAAACACAAGCUUCUAGCAUGAUAAGUGGUGUGGGAAGAUGUCCCUUAAGGACCAAGGUUAUAUGAGAUCAAUGAAGAGCAAUCUUGCUCAGUUGCAACUAUAAAAAUGAGAAAUUGGUGUCUAACUUUUAGGAGAUGGCUUUCGGAGGAUCCACAGAACCAUAUAUAGAUGCGAUGCUAAUAAUGAGAAGAAUAAGGCAAAAUGGGAUUGGGAAAAACCCAGAACUUUCUUGUUAAAUCAGCAUAUAAACAUUUAUGUCGAAAGGAUCAGGGACAAAACUUUAAACAUAUUUGGCAGGCCAAAAUCCCCCUAGAAUUUGGUAGUGUUCGGCUGCACUUGCUGUGGCUGAAGCUCUAUAACUAUGAUUUACUAUGAACUCAAGAAGCUGCAGCCACAGCCAGGAAAAGCUGCAGCGAGCACGCACAAAAUCUUUAUGAGGCUUCUGCUUCAAAACGCUAUCCUUACUAAGGAAAACCUCACAAAAACAAAUAGUAAAGGACGUCAAAUCUGUGCCUUUUUGUAUAGAAAAUGAAUCAGUGGAACAUCUCUUUUCUGGAUGCACGACGGCAAAAUACAUUUGGAGUCUGGACUCUGGAGUCUGAUUGCAUGUGCCCUUGGAGUCAGUUGCAGACCUUGUAAUAUUGAUCAGUUUUGGGUUUGGAUCAAGCUUAGCUUACCGAAUAGUAAACCUGUAUAUACAGUAGGGCUGGCAGCUCUUUGUUGGGCAAUAUGGUGCACAAGAAAUGUUGUUUGUUUUGAGGACAAAAGAAUCAAAUCUCCUACUGAGAUUAUCUGUAUGAUGUGCUCCUUUUUUUAUUAUUGGGCAGACUUGCAGAAGCCAGACAAGGAAAGGUAAAUGAAGCAAGGAGCGGAGAGCCUGAAGGCGAUGUUGCUCUACUUCCACAAGAAAGUAACGGAGGAAGACGACCAAGAUCACCGAUUCACCGGCAACUCAUCAUUCAUGGCGCUGGAUGAUUGUCUUCUGUAGUUGUCCUAUUUUCCAGCCUGCAUGCUGAUGGCAGUGCCCCUGGCCUGUAUCGGAAAAAAGUUUAAGUGGCCGUACUUGGAUUGGUAUUUGCUGGCGAACCUUGUUUGUUCUGUUGUCUUGCUUGAUGUGUUCGGUAGGGCCAGUGCCGGCUGAUCCCUCGGUGGUCAGAGGUAUGGGCGUGGGCAAGUUGUUGGCAGCAAGUUAUGUCUGCGAACUUGCAAACUUUGUAAUUCUAUUGCUUUGGUAAUGAAAUUCGGUUUCACAAUGUUGGAAAAAACAUUCACUAUUAUUUCCAAUUACUAGUGGAACGCCAGAAGAAGAGUGACAGGCCUAUUUUGAAGUGGGCAUGUCACAUGAAUCAUGAUAGACUCUGGCUAUGGACGGUCCUAUGGAAAUAUUCACCGAGCAUUGAUGGUCGUCAUUGAAAAGGCUUAGCGUUUAGUCCAUCAUCCCUUUGUUUGGUCUCGCUUUUUGAGAGCUAAAAGAACAGCAAGAGGCUGGAACUGAAAUAAGAAUGGGUUGUGUGCAAAACUCUUGCAGAGACCGGAAUGAAUUUCCUUUUUUUUCUAAAAAUUGAUAUGGUUGUACGGAAUGCCAUUUAUACUAUGAUUUCCAUACAGAAUUCUACUAAAUUAUGCUUCCAUUGAACUAUAUUUCAGAUAGAGUAUGUGCAAUGCAGCAUGCAGGACAUCAGAUCAAUUAUCACGAUACUGAAUUGCAAUGCACAAGCACAACCACCAUAGGCAACAAACAAAACCCAAAUGUCAUUUUGUUCAUUCUGUCCUAGACACAUCAUAUCCAAUUCAAUAAAAUCAAGCAAAAAAAUAAGCCAUGUGUAUGAAAUCAAUAGCCAAGCUGCAGGAGUGAAAGGCACGCGCACCGGUAGAGAUCGCACUGCAGAGUACCGGAAGCACCGGGGCUAGCAACGCCACCAGCAGUUUCCAGCACCUUCCACACCGCUCCACCCUCCCCCACGUUUUCCUCCAGCAGCCACUGUGCGACGCACUCCUUGACCUGAUCAUCCCCCACCGCCAUUCCUUCCCUCUCUGCUGCCAGGUGCGGCGACACCGGCUCCCGCCACGCGUACGCCGUGCAGCAAGCGAGCACCUUCGUCUGCUCCGCGGCACCCGCUCCGUAGGUUACCACCACCUUCUCCUGGCUCUCGUGGAGGGGCUCCGCCGCCUUGGUCUCCACGGCGGGUGACGGGAAGAGGGUGCGGCAUGAGGCGACGAGGCGGGUGGCUCGGGGGGAAGCGGAGGCGCGGAGCAGCGCGGGGGCCCUGCUGAAGACGAAUCGCGCGUCGGAGUCAACGGGGUAGCCAGUCUGAAGCGGCUUGAGGUAGGACACGGACGAGACGGAAGGGGACGGGGAGCAGAGGAGCGCGGCGGCGAGGCCCGCGGAGACGAGGGUCUUGCCGACGCCGGUGUUGGCGCCAAAAAUGGCGAAGGUUGGGGUGGAGAGGGGAACGGAGGAGGCGGUGCCAGAGGAGUGGAGGCGCCGGCGAGCGUGGUGGAGGAAGAGGCGGCCAAACAUGGCUGCGGAGGUGGGGUUUUGGACGGUGUGGAGGAGGUUUGGGCGUGGGCCGUGGCCGUUGGAGGAGGAGCGGGCGUGGAAUAGACGGCUAUCGAGGCAGGGGAUAUGGCAACGGGGCGGGUUCUGAUGGUAAUCUGGACCCGCCCCCGGAGCCCGACGGGGACCCGAAACCCGAGUUACAUCGAGCCAGCACCCAGCAGCUAAUGCACGGUCUCUCUGCUCACCCCGCCGUCGGAGUGGGUGCCGCCUACGCCGAGCACAGCUGAGCGCUCUGCCGGGGGACGCGAAGCCAUGGCGGAGGUGUUGGCCUGCUAUGGCGGCGUGGGCAACCCCAGUUUUAUACCAUGGGAUGAACUCAUUUCAUGUUUGUCAAGAGGUCCGGUUGAACCCAAUUUAACUUUUUUGUUUUGGUUACAAGGGUUGGAGAGGAAUACAUUUGACACCCGGGGACGGUGGAAAUCAUGACGAAGGGAGAGAGGAGACCACGACCGCAACGCCGUUAAUAUGGAGGCAUAUUUCCUUCUGGGUUUGACCCAAACCCACGUCCCAGUUGAACCAGCAAAUCAAACACAUAAUUAGAAUUUCUCAUGAGUUGGGCCUCAUAUUACAUAGGCUCCUCAAAUUCUGGGUCGCCCAUGGGCACCCACGGGAGAAGACCUGACCCGCCCGUUUCACGUCCCUAAACUCGAAAACCCGCGGGGCGAAAAGUAGACUCGCCCCUGCCGGGUCCAAAACCUAUCCUUAGGAGAAAUGCAGCAGACGAACGCCCGAACCCUAACACAUGACAAACCAUAGCGAACAUGAAGGCAAAAUACAGAGUCAACCUCCAACUUCCAAAGAAAAUAAAAGACCAUGCAAACCUGAUGGAAAGAGGAAUAAGAGAAUAUAGCACGGAGAGAUGUCGCGGCUGUUGCGAAAGGGAGCAGAUGCACGGAAAGAAGGCCCACAACAGCGGUGGUGUGGGAGCCAGGCAUAGGUCAUUGCCCACGGCUAACGUUUAGGGCGUGCCUGUGGCGAGCACGUAGGGCGACGGUGUGGGCGAUGAACGCAGAGGCGAAGGUAGGGACCCGAAGGUGGAGUCUGAGGUGGGCACACGUGGGGGCAAGUGCAAGGCCAGCUAUGCCAAAAAGCGCGUAGGUCGAUGGGCAUGGAGGUGGCGAUCGAGCCGAGCAUGCCAGAAUUUUUGAGAUAGGAAGUUUCUUUUUUUCGGGACGCAGGACGAAAGAGGAUAAAAAACGGUGUGCAUAUGGUAGAACUAUGUGGAGGCAGCAACACAGGUGAUUGUGGGCCAUAGAUGGUAGAUCUGGCAGCCGAGAAUUGAUGGUGACGUGACCUCACUUGGGGUCAGUAAAAUGGUGUACGAAAAUAAAGGUAAUAGUGGUAGAUUACUAGCGAACUGGUCAUCAGUUGGUUGAGUUUCCUGUGGUGGAAUCUGCUCACCCGGAUUUACGUCUCCAACUUGACACGAGUGCUUGUAUUUUACUGGAUUUAUUUCAGGAUUUAACGACGUUAUGCUUUCAAUGGUAGGCGACGUACCCAUCGACAACGAGGCGUCUGUGGUGACUUCAUCAACCUCGAGAUUUGCUGGUCUAACUUGGUUCUUCGGUGGUGCUCAUAGAGAUAGAGUGUGCGUGCGUUCGUUCGCAGAGAUGAGUGUGUAUUCGUGUUUACGAGUGGAACUGGAUCUUGGAAAAAAAAUGGUAAAUUACUACUACUUUGGAGGGCAGAAAUUGGAUUUGUGAACACCUUUCUGGAAACUUUAAGUAGGAUUUCAAAUAAAAUUCGAUUUUAUGAAUUAUUUAUCUCAGUUUAAAAUCAAAAUUUCAUCUCGGAAGUUGAAUGUUCAUUAUUAUCGUCGAAUCCUCGACCUAUAUAUUAUUAAAAUAAAAAAAGAAAACGAAUCCUUUGCACGGGGCAAUCGAGGACGCCGAAACGUGCAGUGCAGGCUGCAACUGAGCUGCCCCGAACUAAUCAACCAACCCCUCUCAGCGCCUGUCAUUUGUCGCGCCCCCCACACAGCUCCUCUUGGCGGCGCCCUGACCUGUCCUUUUUCCUCGCCUUCGAUCGGCGGCCGCCUCCCUCCACUUCCGUCCCGCCGCCGCCACCGCCGCCAUGAAGGGACCCGGCCUCUUCUCCGACAUCGGCAAGAAGGCCAAGGGUACUUCCUCCUACUCGUUUCCUCGCUAUCAUCGUCGUCAUCUCUCUAAUUGGCUCGGGUUUCCCCGGUUUGUGGUUUGGUGAUUUGCAGAUCUACUCACUAAGGACUACACGUACGACCAGAAGUUGACCAUCUCCACCGCCAGCGCCUCUGGAGUGGUAAGAUCCGAUCGCUCUCGUAUGAUUCCAUUUCCAUGCUGCCUGGUUCCUGUUCGCUUGUCCGUGCCCGCGAUGCCUGAUCUGGUUGUGGCUGUGUUCAGCGUCGCGAGGUCGUCGUGCGGUACGCACGCUGGCCGCUUAAUGUGCCUCGUUAGGUGUUUGUUACCUUACUACUUUUGAAUCUGCCUUACCAAUUUGCCUAAGAUUUCUGUGGUCGUUGUAUCUGUAGUUGUGUGUGUUGGUAUUUGAGGGCACAAUGUGUCUGGUGCUUGUUAACUGUGUGACUGAACGAUAGAAAAUGGUAAUUUGGCCAUUUUCUCGUAGAUUUAUGCAGUUGCUUGUUGAGUACUUAUCGAGUACUGCUCACACUGGAGACUUAGUAGUAAGCAGGUCUAUUUGACAUUCCGCUUUUGACCUUUCUUUCCGCUGGUACAUUGGUGGUCACAAUCUCAGCCUAUACUGUUUUGUGAAGUUGCAAAGGUUUAUGCGUCUGAAGAAAUGAGUUGGUUUUUGGCUUGCUUGUUUUAAAUUCUUUUGUUGUUCGUGCCUUAUUUCUGCGUAUCUGCCAGCCAUUCUGAUUACGUAAGGGCUAGUGUAGCUGCUUGUAUUCUAUAGAAGUUAUUAAGGUCAUUGUCGCGAAUUGGUUUCGGUAAGUUGCACUUUCAGCAUUACUACAAGACAAUCCUUUAGAAGAUUCUAUUGUAGCACAACCUAUCAUGAUUUCUCCUGUUGCUGCCUUCUGUUUUCAGUUUUUCACUGUGUUGGCAUAUUUACGUGACAUACUCUGUGUUACAUUCUUAUUUUAAUAAAUGUUUGAUAGUUCUACUUGCCAAAUUUCUCAUCUCUGUCAGUAUCUUAUCAAUAGCACAUAUAUCUGGUGUCACCAUGUUAUUGUUUUGAGCGUUGAUACCUGCCAGUUAAUGUAUCCAAUGAUGGGAAUUCAAAUUUGUGCAGUUACAUUUUCUUCCUGCUUUAAACCUGAUUUCAUUAGUUACUGUACUGAACGUAUGCAGUCAAGGAUUCCGUUCAGUGUCAUUUGAUUUACUAUUUUUUUUAUUUCACAAAAUGUGCUGUCACAGCUGUCUCCUAUCAUUUUGCCCAAAGAUAUAUAUAUUAUAAAUCCAUAAUUAUGUUCUUAUAAUUAGCUUAAGUUAUAUUUGGCAAAUUGCUGAAUCAGACACCCAAAACUCGGUUGGAUUCCAGCACCCAUAUUUGACAUGUCCAUACCAAUUUGUCUUUAUGCUCUAUGAUCAGUCUUACUAUAGCAACAUACCAUUCAUUGACUGAACUGAACUAUCACAAAAGCUGUCUUUACUUAAGCAUGGUAUAUUUAAUUAAAUUAAAGUGCAACUCGGUAAUUCAGUAAUAUACAAUAUAUUGUUGAAUUAAAUUGUCAAUUGGUAAUCAGGAGAUAGACAUACAUUAUUUUACUUAUCUUAAAUUUGAAAAGCUAAGACUAGAUGUACAUGCAACUGUGUGGAUUAUAAGUUCUCACCGCCCUAUAAGUCAUUGAAACCACAACAAUAAUGUUAUAGAGUAUUUGCAUUUUUGAAUGUACCAGCUAUGAUCUUGUGUACUCAGUUUGCCGUGUCAUAUCUCAAUAUCUCAUAUCAUCAUUUUGCUUCUUUCAUCAACGGUAAACUGAUAUAUUUAUAUAUCUUUUUCAUUUUAUGCUUCUGUAGCACUAUUUGGAAAUAUGUUCAUCAAAGUACCAUCCAAAUUUAGUAAAAAAAGAAAAUAAAUUCUGUUGUUAACUGCUAGAUGACAAUACUAGUGUAUUUUGUGUUGUUUGAGCUUAUUUUCUUUAUAUAUGCAUUGCCUCUUUAUGAACAUGCUUGUCAUGGCUAUUCCUUUUUUUUAGGGCCUUACUUCCACAGCUGUAAAGAAAGGAGGUCUUUAUUCUCUGGAUGUCAGUUCAGUUUACAAGUACAAGAAUACCACUGUUGAUGUUAAAGUGGACACAGAAUCAAAUGUCGGUGACAUGAAACACCUAAAUUUAUGCAUUCUCUUUGUAGCUUAUAGCUAGACAUAAACCUUUAGCACUUUUGUAUGAUUCCGGCAGAUCUCUACUACAUUGACUGUGUUGGACGCCUUGCCAUCCACAAAGCUUGUCACUUCUGUGAAGCUGCCCGACUACAAUUCUGGAAAGGUAUUUCCAUAUAAUGUCAAUUUAUGGUUGUUGAAUUAGAACAGGUCCUUGAGUGUAUGUGUUCUUCGUACCAGGUGGAGCUGCAAUACUUCCAUGAGAAUGCAACCUUUGCUACUGUUGUUGGCACAAAGCCGACUCCUGUGAUUGAUCUUUCUGGGACAGUAGGCGCUCAAGGAGUUGCAUUUGGUGCAGAAGCUGGGUAUGACACUGCUACAGGAAAAUUUACCAAGUACACUGCUGCAAUUGGUGUAACCAAGCCAGACUACCAUGCUGCAUUCAUUCUGUAAGUCCAUGCUUCACUGUGAUUUGAGUGUCUCUUGAGGUUGGCACGCAAGUAUUGAAUAUUGAUACAUCAGACCUACUUUUACAGGGCGGACAAAGGUGACACCAUUAAAGUGUCAGGUGUUUAUCACUUUGAUGAGAAACAGAAGGCCUCAGCUGUGGCUGAGCUAACCCGGAGGCUCUCAACAAAUCAGAAUACACUCACAGUCGGUGGACUGUACACAGUUGAUCCUCAGACAUCCGUGAAGGCAAGGCUCAACAACACUGGAACGCUUGCCGCGCUUCUUCAGCAUGAGCUUAAACCCAAGUCAGUCUUGACAAUCUCUGGUGAAUUCGACACCAAGGCCCUGGACAGACCCCCCAAGUUUGGCUUGGCGCUUGCACUGAAGCCCUGAUCAGAUCAUCCCAGAUUGGUGAAUUUUGAAUUCUUUGGUUGUUUCUGCAAAGCUGUAGCCAAUAAUUCGUUCCACGAACCUUUUCUGUUAAUCUGGCAAAUGUUUGGAGCACUGUGGUAAGGAUCCGGAUGGGUCGUCUACAGGAAUUUUACCUGUCUGCUUUUAUUGUUGAAAAGCAUCUGGCCGUUGGUAGAUGUACAUUGUGCUUGUUUCUUUAGCACCUAGGCCUCUCUGCCACUGUGUUACUGAGUAGCCGCUACGGUAAUCUUUUGCAUGCAGGAAUUGCAUGCUAAUUUUGUUCGGUGUUUGAUUUACCACUCACUAAGGUUUACCACGUGUUUGGAGCUCAUUUAUUCUGUGUAUGCAUACAUGGUGUUGGUUUGUUGACGCUCAUUUUUGUCAUUAUGCUCUUGAUUCUUUGUUGGGACUGGUUUCCUGUUUUAUGAACGAUUAGUUCGGGGUGGUAACUAGACGGGUAUCUUUAAGCAACGCGCUGAGUGCGUUUUCAUUUGCCAAUUUGUAAUUACUGGAGUUGCAAGAUGCAGCAAUCAGCAGAUGUGUCAAAAUGCUUGGGUUGGAUCGUUGUUUACAGAAUGUGUAGUACGAGUACGGUCGCCGUGCUGAGAGCUGGAACUGGAACUGGAUGUGAGAUGUGGUCUCUUUGAGAUUGAGCUGUGGACUGGACACGUCUAUGGCAGAUUAGAGGAUUAGUACAUAGCCCUUCCGAUUUUAAAUAUGAUGUUCAAGAUAGGUUAAUUAUUUUGAAGUAUGAUGUUCAGGAUAGGUUAAUUAUUUUGAAAUGAGCUAAUUGGUAUAUUCAAGAUCGAGGGAAAUACUCCAAAGCUUUGGUGGUUUGUUAUUUCUCUGUGGUCAACCUUAGAAAGCAUUUUGCCCUCGAUCGAUGAUGAAGGUAGCAAGAUUAGUCAUGUGGCGAGAAUACAGAGCGCGCGUGACAGGCUAGCAACCCGCCCCCCACCCGACUACGCACUUUUAUGCUCCGGUAGCCCGGUGCUUCAUCGGCGUAUGUCGAGAGGAGAGGCCACCCACUAACCCUGAAUCAAUCUUGAGGAGGCGGCUGGCUUUUGCAACUGCAAUGCUAGCUGUAGUAUUGUGAUUUGUGAACUACUGGGGUGGGGGUACGUCUCCUAGUGCCAACCACAUGAAUCCUUGGGGUCGCGCAUCUCGGCUGUAGCUUUCACGUGCCUCUCGAUUACAUUCUUUUAUUUGUACCUGUCGGAUGGAUUAUUGGUCGGGAUAUGGAUGGCAAUGGCAUGGUACACAAAACACGCAAUUCAAUUGCCAUUUGCCUAAGGGUGGCAUGGCAGAUGGCCAGAUGCAACCCUGCAAACCCCCUCGGCCCACCUGCGUUAUGGCCCUGUUUAGUUUCCUAAAUUUUUUUCAUCCAUCCCAUCAAAUCUUUGAACACAUGCAUAGAACACAGUUUGGUUAAAAAUCGCGAGACAAAUCUUUUAAACCUAGUUACUCAAUAAUUAGACUUAAGUGCUAUAUAUUAAUGAUAAAUUAAUUAUACUUAAUAGAUUUGUCUUUCAGUUUCCUAACGAGCUAUGUAAUUUAUUUUUUUAUUAAUUUAUAAAAAUCUCUCAAGACAUCCUUCCAACCCCUCCAAUUUUCAUCUCCAAAUAGGGCCAUAUAGCCGCUGCAGGCUGCCUCCGUCUCUCUCCACUCUCCACUCCGAGCCGCGCCUGACAACAACCCGCGCGCGGCCGCCGGCCGCAGCCCACCUCGGCAUCUCCACGCAUUUUUAUUUUCAUCAAUCAAUCAGGGAGCUGCCCGCAGCCCGCCGCGCCGUCGGCCCCGUAAAUCCAUAGCGCGAGCGUCCCGUCCUCCCCCACCCCCCAACGAUGCGCCGCUGCCGGCGCUCGUGAUCCAUGGCCUCACUCCCCGUUCCUCGCACGCUCCCGCGGGCCUCGCCAACGGUGGUGGGCGCCGCGAGGGGGAGGAGGGGGAGGGCCGCGGUGCGCGUGCGCACUGCCACCGCGGCAUUGGGCGGUGGGUGCUGCGGCGGCGGCGGAAUGGAGCAGCGCCACGGGGAGGCACCGCACAGCCCAGGUAAUUCCUCGAGUUCCUCGGCUGGGGUCAAUGUCAUGGUGAAGCUACCGUCAGGGUAAUGUGUCGGACGGGGCCGGGUGGCUGUACCUGUACGUGAGGUUAUCCCACUUGCUGCUUCUGCUUCACUACUAGAUUACUAGUCAAUAGUCAUCAGCCACUGCUGUUAACCUUUGGGUCCUGCUGAUCAUCCGAUAAGGAUGACGGAGACGUAGGUAACACGAACCUAUUGACUGGUAAUCUGACACGUUUGGUGAGAUACUGUUGAUGUAACUGCAAGUAAAUACGUGUGGAACUGGAUCUCGAACUGGAGUCAAUUGGACGCUUGACAGUGAUGUGUCUAGUCCUGUUCGCUUUAAGAAGGGCAGUGGGAAGGUUUGUAUUGCCAUUCUGAGUUUCUGACGCCUCACAUUCUGUUUUGAUGAUUGGUCCUGGUCACUUGGAGGGUUGUCAUCAAUAUCGUGGUGGUAGAUAAUCUGAUAACUCUGGAUAAUCUAGUUUCCCUGAAAACAUCUUAAUCGUUCACAGUGACCUAAUAGCAAUGCGCUCGACAGUGACAAGGAGUCUUAAUUGGUAAGUACAUGGGAGGGGUGGUGAUUUCAAAUAAACUUGAAAUGUGAUGACUAAAUGGCAUACAUCUUAUGAAUUGAAGAUAAAAGGUAGUGAAAACUUGUUAGUCCAUCGUCCACGAUUGCUGCAAAAAUGUUAUGAUAUAGGCAGGGGUGGAGACAGGGGGGCCAGGCCCCCCUAUGAAAGUGAAAUUUCCACUGAUUUUUUUAUUCAAAUAAACUUUGAAAAUUUAACACUUUUGCCCCCCCUAACAUUCAAAAAAUCAACUUCCUGGCUCCACCCCUGAAAAUAGGUAGGACAAACAAAGAAACCACUUUAGUUUAUGUGACUUUAGGAUCAUGGAUAAUUUUCCUUACAAGAACUUUUAUUUUUUCGCAGUUUCCUGUAAAAAGGAAUGUCAGAUGUAAAUCUGAAACUGUGAAGGAAACAUUUAUUAAGAAUAUGCAUCACGGUUAUAUUCUAUAAGUUAUGCUAUGCCAUUUUAUUUACUUUUUACUGUUGUGCAAAUGGAUUUGAUCAACAUGAGGAAUACAACUGCACCAACCAUUUACUGAUAUCUAUCAUCAUCAGUGAAGGAGAAGCCUGUAAUGUCAAACAUUGGGAAAUCAACUAAUAUUUUAUGGCAUAAUUGCCCGAUUGGACAAUCUGAUAGACAGAAGUUGCUGGGACAAAAAGGCUGUGUCGUGUGGAUAACAGGACUCAGUGGUUCAGGUAUGUAUUCAGUGGAUUAUUGCCUUGAUCUACUUGCUGGCUACAGCUUUUUUCUUUUUCUUUUGUUUUUUGAAUCCUUGGUCACUUACUCAGGUUUCUAUGAGGGAUUUCCUAUUAUUUUUAUCAAACAAAAGCAUCCAGGUGCUAUUGUUGCCACAAGUUUUCAGUUCAGUUUGGUAGGUUGCUUUAUGCUAGAAUGCAAGAUUUUAUUUUUCUCGAACCCCCCCCAAACACACACACAACAGCCUCAACAAGAAAUUUAAAACCCCGAUACAAGAGACCAAAACGACCCAUCUAAGAUGACUAGAGCCUUAGAACCAAAACAUAUCAAUGGCCUGCAGCACAGGGACCGAACAGAGCACCCUUUAUAUCAGAAACCCAUUGACAACCAGCAUUACCAUCCGCAACCAUGUGCUGCUUAAUAGCCCUCUUAGUAACUGUCUUGAGAAGGUUGAGCUAUUUCUUCUAUGUUUUUUCCACCCAACCAUCUAUCAGUCCAGUCCAGAACAUAGUAUAUCGGCCGUUUCCAACCUCAGACUCCACAGCCACCUUGAAGAGGGCUCGAGCGUUAUGUGGCACAUGAAUAGGCAAGCCGGCCCAAGGGCGAGAAGCAAUUAGUCAUUUAAUUUGAGUGUUCAGUCUCAACCAAUAUACUCAUGCAGGCUUAGAGUUUUUCCCAAUUAUUUUAAUGCAAGUCAUUUCCUCACCAUCUGAUAACAUAUCUGGUUAUGUUAAACUAAAUCAAGCUUUAGAUUUGAACUUCUGUACAAUCUAAACACUUCUUUUAUAAGCUUACUUGAGUUCAAUGCUGUAUUAGUUUUAUGUCUGCUCUAUAGGCAGCUGAAUGCUGUCAUCUUGAUGACUACAAAUCACUCAGAAUGUACUGUUGCCCUGUUGGCAAAUGAAUUUUUCACAAGCUGGUUUGCUGCCUAGUUAACGUCUUCACAAUAAGAACCAAAUCUGGCAUGCUUUGUGUAUUGACAUCAAUGCAGGAAAUAGUCCUGCGCUCUGUACUCUGAUGAUGCUUCUACUAGAUUAAUUUUCAAAUCGAAUUUUCUUAGUCUUUUAGUACUCCCUCUGCUACAAAGUGAUUGUGGAUAGUGUUAACAUAAUUACCUGUUGACCAUGUUUGCAAUGUUGUUCAUACAGACCAUGGUUUCUUUUCCUUCGCAUGUUGUUCUAAGUUAGCUCCUGAGUUGAUGACUGUUAUUUCAGAAUUUGCAUUCUUUCGAGAAUUUGCAUGUUGGUCUAAGUUACACUUCCUGGUGACUGUGUUUGGCUACCAUGAACCAAAGCUUGUGAUUUCUUCAUUCUCUAUCUAUAGAAGUACAGGACUCAUAAAUAUAUUAGCAUAAGGAAGCCAUCACAAUAACCUUCCAUCUUUUGUAUGCCAGGGAAAAGUACUCUUGCUUGUGCACUGAGUCAUGAGUUGCAUUAUAGAGGCCACAUCACGUAUGUACUUGAUGGUGACAACCUUAGACAUGGCCUCAAUCGAGAUUUAAGCUUUAAGGCAGAAGACCGUGCAGAAAAUAUACGAAGAGUUGGUAAGUUCUGAAAAAAAGAAGACAAUUCACUAGAAAUUCUUUCACUAUAGCUAAAUCUUUUGUGCAGGUGAAGUGGCAAAGCUUUUUGCCGAUGCUGGUAUCAUAUGCAUUGCUAGCUUGAUAUCUCCAUACAGGAGAGAUCGUGAUGCAUGCCGUGCUCUACUUCCAGAUUCUAACUUUAUUGAAGUAUGGUCACUUAUGAUUCUUUUAAGUUCUGUUAGUGUUAAUAAUCUAUCUAACUACAUGCAAGCUCUGUAGGUAUUUAUGGAUUUGCCCCUAAAAAUUUGUGAAGCUCGUGAUCCUAAAGGUCUGUACAAGCUUGCACGCACAGGAAAGAUUAAAGGUACAGUCACCCUUUGAACCUUUUCUAGACAUUCAAGUUUCCUCUAUGGGACACUCGAGGUGAAAGAAGUGACUUACAAGCAUUUCCAUUCGACAAACAGGUUUCACUGGAAUUGAUGAUCCAUACGAACCGCCAGUUAAUGGUGAGGUGAGCCUAAAGAGCAUGGCUUACUUCCUACAUGAUCACACCGUACAAUUUCUAGAACUGAAACUCUGAAAUAUAGUCUCCUCACUAUUGAUGUAGUGCUUCCGGACAUCAUUAUGCUGUGACUACUGAUGUUUAGCACAAACAAGCACUUCCUUUCUACGCUCUUAUUCCUUAUUGUUGAGAAAUAGAGCUAUAAGCAUUUUUUUAUUGUUUCCAUCACUAUCUCUAUGCUCCAGUGAUCCUCAUUCAAUGAAGAAUUAACAGCAUGUAACAAAGUUAAAAUUAGCAAUAGCUUGUAUUUUCCACUAUGGACUACUUAAAGCUGAUGCCUGAUGACAAUAACACUAAUUCCUAGUUAGCUAUGAGUUUAGUUCAUGCAAUUUGGGAAUGCCAUACAUACAUCUGGGUUCUGAUUAGCAGCUUUAGAAACGAAAGCAAUAUUUUCUUAUAUUUUAGAUAUGUUUUCCAUAUUAAGUUUGACUUGCUCAUUUCAUUUAAUAAAAAAAUAGCUAUGGUCACCAUUCAGCAGUCGACCAUAACCCUUUACCUCUAUUUCCCUAGAUAAAUGCAAAUUUAGCCAUUUGUUUUGAAAAGCUGGCUUGAUCUUUGUGCGGUCUUAUACAGAUAGUAAUUACGAUGAAAGAUGGGGAAUGCCCUUCACCCAAAGCAAUGGCGAAGCAAGUUCUAUCAUACCUUGAAGAGAACGGAUAUUUGCAAGCUUAGCACAUAUUUGAGAAUAUUGAUCUGAUUCUUGUGUGUCCAUUACUUGUGGACACAAUAUGAUCUGUUGGCCAUGAAUAAAAGGCAUCAACACAUAGCAAGUAACAGAGGCGCAGUUUGUUCAGAAACGGAAUACAGAUUCAUUCGUUUCAUUGUUGAUGAUAUUUGUUUCGUGUGUAUUGCGCUUACACAGCUGCCAUUCAUCUGCAUCAGCAAUUCAGAAUGCAUUCGGUUAACUCGCGUUAACUGUUCGUGUGAAUUGGUAGUUGUUCUGUGCUUGCUAAUUGGGUUUACUGUUGGCAAUGUAUUUGUUACAAGUAAAUGCAAAUAAAUUGUGUAAUUUGUAUAUCAGUUGUUUCCUCUUGGAAUAAAAACUGAGGAACAUUGUAACGCCUCCCAUUGAAUUCAUACCUUUUGGCUUAUGCUUUUUCUUUCUUUUUGCACACAGUAAGAUAUAUUCAAACUUUCUCAGUGACUGUUUUUUUUUUAGGAUUACUUCUCAGUGACUGUUAUAUUCAUAUCUUGAUUGAUCUUGUUGGUCUGUUUCCCCCUCCAUGGGCACACAAAUCAGCCAUCCUGAUCACAUCACGAGCUAAUAUUGAAAUCAUGAUCAUCCAAAGAGCCACACCACACAGCACUGAUACAGGGAGCCGCAAAGCAGCUGGAAAUGAACGACUGACAAUGAGGUGCCGGUGCCAAUACGGCCGACCAGCACCUGACCUUGGAAGCAACGACGCACUCCAUUGGACAGAAUUGCAACCAUUUCCACAGGGCUUAGGCAGCAUGAUUACCUGAAAGGCUGCAAGUUGCCUGUGCUGCUUUGGAUAGAUCGUCCCACUGGCCAGUGGGCUCCCCACUCACUCGCUACGCCGACUGGCUGCUGCAUGCUUCCUGUCGGCUUCGCGUCUGAGUCUAAGUCAUGGCAUACAUACUCUGAAGGUGAACUCCGGGUCCUGGGUUCUGACCACUUUUCUCCUAAUAGAUAGGGUCUAGGAGGAAGAAGCUAAUAAAACAAAAGGCGAGUCACAGAAAAACUUGGGUGAUGGAUGGUGAGGUUAGGGCAGAAUUCACUUUCACAUCACGGUCUUUUAUCUUUUAGGCCUGGUUUAGUUUACUCCAAAAAUCAAAAUCUUUUCAAGAUUCCUCGUCAGAUCAAAUCUUAUGGCACAUGCACAGAGCAUUAAAUAUAGAUGAAAACAAAAACUAAUUGUACAGUUUUUUUUUAAAAUCGCGAAACGAAUCUUUUAAGCCUAGUUACUCUAUGAUUGAACAAUAUUUGCCAAAUAAAAACGAAAAUGCUAUAAUGUCAAAAUUCAAAAUUUUUUUAUCUAGUAAGUCCGUGUGCAGCCCAAGUUACCUAACCAUAGCAUCAACACACGGAAACGACAGAGAAAAUCGUCCGCGGUCCGGCCUUCUUCUUCCUCCGCCCUUUGAGUGCAUGUGCAUGCAUGUAGGGCGUAGGCGACGGUGUAUGCGUCUGUCUACGGUCUGUGGAGUACGGAGAGAACGGGAGAAGUUUGCGGCGGUAAACAAUGCGGGGAGCUCACCCAGGUCAACUCCAUCGGGCGACGAACACGAACCAAACUGUCCCAGGCCGGCCGUCGAUGGCCGCCCGCCUCACGUUCCGCUGGUGCGGGGCGAUUUUGAUUCAGUCCAAGUCGGAGCAGGACAAAAAAACAGAACGGACGAGUUAAAUCAAAUCGAUUGACCUAGCCGAACCCCCUUUCUUUUUUUUCUGCUAUCUUUUUUUUCGCUCGAUCCGCACUAAUAACCGGCGAUUAAAUCAAAUCAGGCAUGCGCGCCGAGCUGACCACCUUCGCAUGUAUGUAGCCCGUGCAUCAAAAUAAUCCGGUCGCUAAUCACGCCAAGUGUUAGGUCAGGUGGACGCUGGUGGGUCGCUGGCUGGAAUAGUGGAACGAACGAGAGCUAGCAGCUGAACAGCACAGGGAGAAAAAAUUCCGAUAAGAACGUAGCUGGUGUACUGCUAGACGGCAUACGGUGUGAUUGUCCGAUGGUUAACCGUCCUUGGGCGUGUGUGGUUUGCGUCAGCAGAUCCGUGACGGCUUUAGCUGAGUACAAUGCUAUAUAUACCGGCAUACAGUCUUAUCGAUCAGGCCGGCGAUGAUUAGCCUGGCCAAUCACUAAACCUGAGCAGUCACUAGUCAUCGUGCUUAACGUCGUAAACCGUCCUGGCCAGGCGUGUGGUUCGCGUCAGUAGAUGCGUGAAGACUUGUGACAUGCGUAGAGAAAUCUGUCCGGAGCGUAGAGGUACGGUCAAUUCCAAGAAAUUUGGCAGGGUGGGUUUUUGGGCAGUGGCUCGCGGCCUGCCUGAGCUAGCUAGCCUGACCGAUCAAAUCAAAUCAAACCCAUGCACGCUAUUGCUCCGGUCUGGAUGGCUUGCCGGGUUCGACUUGGACCUCGCGCCACUUCGCCGGCCGGCGUACGCGUAGUACGCCUGCGCAGCGCAGCGACCCAUGCCGCCUCGAGCGAAAAUGCGUCCGUGGCCGGGGCAUUUCCACUACCUGCCGGUUGGUUCCGUUGGAAAGUCACGGGUCGGCCCCGUAGAUUUCCGGCCACAUUCGCUUGGGCGCUGAGCUGCCCACCUGCCGUGUGCCGUGUGCCCGCGGCCGCUCCCGUCCAACGCCGGCAUACCGAACAUAACGGCCACGGCCACGGAUGGAUGCGUCAUGCGUCCAUCCAAAAUCCCGAGCCGGCCGGACCCGGCCGCAGCUGUGUCGCGUGUCGUCACGUGCGCAAUGCGCGCGGGAGAAGUCAGCGGCGCGCGGUUGCGCAACCGCACGGGAUGAUGCCAACGGGGCCGGAAUUCCUCGCCCGCACGGAUCCGCUUGCCAAUUUGCAGGGGACAAGUGUCGGAGUAGGCUAUUCCGGACUUAGCAGCCGGGGUACGGGAACAUGGGUACGUUCCCCGUUCCGGGAACUUCGUCCCGAAACGUGGAACGGGAACAUCAUGGAACAUCGUUCCCAAAUGCGGUGGAACACGAAUCAUAUAUAGGAGCAAUCAUAGGAAUGUCUUUCUUUUCUUGCACGAAUGAAUAAGCACGCAAUAAGAAUUCAGACUAAUCACCUCUUAUGUUUAUCUUAGAUCAUUUGCAAUUCUAAAUGCAACCAACGACAAAACUUGCUUUCUCAACAAAAAAAAAACCUAUGACAAUAAUGAUGGUGUUUAUCUUGGAGCAUUUGCAAUCCUAAACGCAACCAACUAUACUACGUUGCACGUUUACGAUGCACGCCGGUAUUUACCUUGUAGGUUUGGCAUGAAGUUAUGAAAAGAGGUAGCAUUCUAGUCUCUUACUUCACAACAUAUCAUAUAACAUAAGAUUUACUCAAACCUUAAAAACCACUCCCUCUGUCCUUAUAAUUCCUAAAAUUAUCCUAAGUCAAAUUUGCAUUUUUUUAUAAAGCUAAUCUCCACUAUAAAUCUAUCUCAACAUGCAAGUCAUCCAUAUCAUCUCUCACCAACUAUCCACACCAUCUACACUAGUAGUCAUAUAACCCCACUAAUUUUCAACAUUUUAAUACAAGCUAUCCACAUCAUCUUCACUUGAUUUCAUUCAAAAUUCUUCACAAUCUCCACAACAACGCACAUGGUAUCUUCUAGUUUUGUUAUAUUUAACUGGAUUCAUAGAAAAAAGCACAAAUAUUUUUGUUACCAAAUAAACAUACUAUAAAAAUAUAGUUUAUGAUGUAUCUAAUGACACUAAUUUGGUCCCAUAAAUCUGGACGCUCUUUUAUGUAAAUUUAGCCAAACUUAAAAAGUUUGACUUCAGACAUCUUCAGAAAUUGAUUUAUUUAGAGAUUUGGAAGUACUAAAUGUUUUUGAUGAUUUAUAUAUAGUUUGUUGAAGAGUCCACAACAAAAAACAAACAAAUUCAAAAAUAACAAUAUAUAUCUAUAUAUGUUUGGUUGGAGCAUCCUAACACCCUUUCUUUAUCUAACAAUAUUUUUUUUAUAAACUAAUUUAUACACUUUAUAUCAAAACUUAACCCCAACUUGUAUCUGUAAGACAUGGUACUUAUUUAGCCAAGGUAUAUAUACAAUAGAAGUCGAGUGUGAUGUCAGUUGCGAGAUAUAGGAUUACUAUGUGAGUCAAAGAAAGAUUUUGGUCCAUGCUGAAUGAUAAACUCGAGACCAAGUGGGAAUAAGUAUGUUGCUUGGUUGGUUUGAGCAAUAGAACCGACUCUAAGGAGUAGAUUUGUGCUCUGGUUGUGCUAGUCUUGCCUGUGUCAGUUGAGGACCAUUCUACUAGCAGGCUUGCAUGGUUAGGUACUGAAAUCUGAAAGUACUAACAUACUAAGUCUUUACUUCAUGUGACUCAUGAAUCUGACAUCCCUCUCUACUGCCUAUUCUAAUUUAUCAUUUGCACGGCUAGUCUUGUGGUUGUAUACUGAGGGAACAUGAGCAGAGCUCACAAAUGGCAAUAUAUACCUUCAUACCAAGGGAGUACAUUGUGUAAUCAUGCUCACUCUCAACUAUUGCAGGUGUAAAUAUACCACCUGAAUCACAGGGAUCAAAGUUAGUGAACAUGACUCAAAUAUGCUAUAUCUUGUCUUAUCUUGGACUCGGAGUAAUAUCUCUUAGCAUUAUCUCUAUUUAAAAUUUAUAUUUAAGUACUUCGAACCUAUUUAAUUUUCUGUUGCAAGAUAGAAACUCUAAUUCUUUAAAUAACUUUUAUUUAGAACAACUCUAUGUGAUAAAUUAUUUCUAUCACAAAAUUAAAGGUGUAUCUUUUUUAAUAAAAAUACGUAAACACUAAUACAUGCAUCACACCCACCUGAAUAUAUAUAUAUAUAUAUAUAUAAUAAUAAUAAUAAUAAUAAUAAUAAUAAUAAUAAUAAUAAUAAUAAUAAUAAUAAUAAUAAUAAUAUACACCUUAUAACUUCAUAAGCACCUAUGAAAAAUAGAUCUAACAUACUCCAGAAUGAUGGAGUCAACAUAUAUCUUGUUAUCAAUAGAAAUGUUUUCUACCUCUAAAGAACAAAAAUGUGUCCAUGAAAUGUGCAAUUUUUGUUAUUCUUGUUUGAUACAAGACGUCAUAAAAACUCGAACGUUUGAGGUUGUUUAGGAAUGCUCGAUGAAGUAUUGAAUUGGCUUGUUUUAAGUAUGUUUAGUGUUGCAACGGGGCCCGAACUCUCGUCCGCACGGAUCCGCCACGGCAGCAGCCAAUUUGCAGGGGGCAAUGUUGGAGUAUGCUAUUCUGGAAAAGACAGGCCUGCCCAACCCAAUCAGGCUAAGCUUCUGUCAAUCACGUCCUAAUCGUCCUCGUAUUUCUGUUUCGUAGAAUGUAUACUGUGACAAGACUUUGUUGUCAACAAAAUAAAAGAAAACUGCGACGGACACAUCUUGAUUAAUACUAUUUUUUUUUGGCAACACCUGAUUAAUAUUAUUCACUGUAAACUUAGCUAGAGUUAAACUUGUUUGACUUGCACAAAUCCUAUAAUUAUUUUUUUGGACGGAGGGAAUAACUAUUUAUUUAUUUUAUUUAUAUUACAUUUUUGUGGUCAUAAAAUUAUGACCAUUGGAUGGCAUAUUUAAUUAUAUAAAUCUUAAAGUAUCAAAUUUUGUUUUGUAGUAGUUGAAAAUUGUUAAUCAAAAUAUUAAAAAUUGUUAAUCAAAUUACGGUCAAGGAUUUUGAAGUUUGAAUUUGAUAUAUGUGUGUGUGCGCGCCUUAUAAACUAGAUCAAAAGGCCACAAUGCACUGGCUGUUCGUAAGAUAUGACCAUGUCGUUUAACAUAAGAUUUACUCCCUCUCUCUUUUUUUUUGGGCAAGGAACAUAAGAUUUACUCAACUUUAAUAACUACAAAUAUCCAUUGAUUCCUAAAUUAGCUAGCUUAAAACAUCUAAGUUAUAUGUGUUAAUAUUAUAAAAUACUUCCUUUGUCUCUUUUAACUGUCAUUUUCAUUUUUCGAGAGGCCACAUACUUAACUUUAACCAAAGAAUAAAAGUAUUAAUAUUUAUGAUACAUAAUUAGUAUCAUUAGAUAAAUUGUCAGAUCUAUUUUUGUAAUAAACUCAUUUAAAGAUAUAUAAAUAUCUCUAAUAUUUUCUACAGGCAUAGUCUUAUUUAAUAAAGUUUGAUCAACACGUAUCAUAUAGCGAGAUUAUUAAAAAAAAAGGAUGGAGGAAGUAUGUGAACGGCCUCACAUGUCUGCCUAGGGGCAAUCUAAGGUUGCUUCAUGUCAAUUCUCUUGCUGAUUGCUGAUCUGCAAGCGAAUUGGCAAGUAAGCGGAUAGCAAGCAGCAAGGGAGUAUGAAAAACAAGCUUGACUCACUAAUCACAAGGCAUCAGAAUACGGAAACCUAUUCGUUUCUCCUACAGAGUCCAGACAGAGGCGCAGAACGCUACUGAUCCUAGCAUGAAACACAGAGUGUGCUGAAGGCGAUGGACGUCGCUGUUGCAUGGGCAAAUGCAGACAUCCACGCGCGCAUCAUGGCGCAAGCUCCAGAAAUGAUUCUUGACGAUAUCGCGCUGACCCCGCUGCGGUGUGGACGCGCUCCAGGGAUUUCGGCGCGGCCUCGGCCAACACCAAGAGAAAUGGGCAAGCAGCCGCACGCACGCAUUGCAUACUCUGCAUCUGUUGCUUCGCUGCACCCGAAGUCUGUCUGGACCUUAACGUGCACACCAGUAGCCUGUUAUUACUUAUUAGCCUGCUAUAUACUAGUAGUAUACUUAGGUACUACUCCUAGCAGUAACUAGCACUUAGCAGCGCAGCUUUCCAAGAGCUGGUGAUUGGCAAUGAACUAGCAUCACAAGCAAGAUGAAGUAGUUUUCUUAAUGCAUCUCGAUCGCUUUACCCCGUCGCCGAGUAACCAACCUCCCGGGAUGAACUCAAGCGCCUGCGCGGUCUUUGCCCUCACGGCACUCCGACGAGAACGAGAGCCGCUCGCUGCCAAGAGCGAGGAGGCCACGCACGCACGCACCCAUGCGGUGCCCCCCGUGGUGUGGCGUAGCGUACGGGGAGGCGCCGGACCGGUAGCUUGCGAAUGUUGGCUGACAACGCUCACCCCGUCGUCAGCAAACCGUCGUCGUUGCCACUUGCCGGGGUCAAACAGAAAGGCGUGAGCCGGCGGUUAGCAGGCAAGCUGCCGAGGCUAUCGACAACCUGCGACUGCGAGGCCGGCCGGGCAAGUGUGGAAACGAACGCAAGUCAACUAAAUUCGUUCAUUUUUUUAAAAUAAAUAAAUAAAUAAACGGAUUAUUCCUUACGUUCUUCGAUUAGAGCUCUCAACCUCAAAUCUGGCCCUUCACCCCUCAUUCCCUCAAGCGACUCGAAUAAUUGACUGUUUUAUUCUUGCUCCUGCGUCUCUCCAUGACGAUGUGCCACUCCUCACCGCCCCUUCUCCUUUCGUACCCUCGCUAGAGCGGCCAUCCAUCCAUAUAGUUCACCCCGAAAUUCAAAAAGUUUUCAAAAUUCUCCAUCACAUUGAAUCUUACGGCACAUGCAUGAAACAUUAAAUAUAGAUGAAAAUAAAAACUAAUUACACAGUUUGACUGUAAAUCGCGAGACAAAUCUUUUUGAUCCUAGUUAGUUUAUGAUUGGACAAUAUCUGUCAAAUAAAAACGAAAGUGCUACAAUAGCGAAAUUUAAAAUUUUCCCGGAACUAAACAAGGCCUUAGACAAGUACUGCAGCAAUGGAAGGAAUUGGGGAGCCCAGGCAAGGAGACGAGGCCAUCGGGUGAAAAAUAUAAGGAUAGAGGUGGGAAAUAAGUGACGAGUAUGUCCUACAACUAUCAAAUCAAAAAUAGAAACUCUGAUUUUGAGGGCACCUGCUAGAGUUGUUAUAAUAAUUUAUACAAAUAGGGAUGUACUUCAUCUGUUUUGUAAUAUAGUUCAUUCUUGCAUUCAAAAUUUAUAAAAUAUAAUACAUUCUAAAGGCAAAACCCAAUUUUAUAUUAAAUGUUUUCCAUUUAUCAGCCAAUUAUUAUUAAUCAAGUUGACGAUAAAGUGAAGGUACAUACAUCUUUUAUAUUCUCUUUUAAUUUGUCUUAUAAUUUCUAAAAUGUUCUAUAUUACACAAUAGAGGGAGUAUGUUCGGUUUUUUCGUCAAUCCGAUAAUUAAUGAACUAACGAACGAGGCCAUCCAAAAGUAGCAAGUGGAUAACUGCUUGAAUAACAACUGUACCAUCCAGAAGUAGCAAGUGAAUAGCAUGUGUUUAGGAAGCCUUUAUUAGCAGUUUUUUGUUUCCUUAGAAAUCUAAUUUAAGGAGGCUGAAAGCUCCUCCAAAUAGGUUUUCUUCUUCAAGUAGACAAAAACUUCAGUUCGUACUAAAAGUAGAGAAACUCCCUGAGAGCACCUUCCUAGUUUAAUUUUUUUCAGAAAACUUCACAAGGAGGAACUAAAGCACGUAGCAUAUACUUUCUCCAUUCCAAAUUAUAAUGCAUUACAAAAAUCUUGUAGACUCAAAACAUUUUAAGUUUAACCAAAAUUAUAGAAAAAAUUAUAAAGAUUUUAUGACAUUAAAUAGACAUACUAUGAAAAUAUAAUUAAUAAAGAAUCUAAUAAUACUUAGUUAGUAUAAUAAAUGUUAUGAUGUUAUGAAAUAAAUUUUGAUCAAACUUGAGAGAUUCUUGGAAUGUCCAUAAUUUACCUUGUUUAGUUCCAAAAAACUUUGCAAAAUAUGAAUAGUAUCACUUUCGUUUGUAUUUGAUAAAUAUUAUCCAAUCAUGUACUAACUAGACUCAAAAGAUUCGUCUCGUCAAUUCCGAUCAAACUGUGCAAUUAGUUUUUAUUUUCAUCUAUAUUUAAUACUUCAUGCAUGCGUCUAGAGAUUUGAUGUGACGGAGAAUCUGAAAAAUUUUGUAAAAUUUUUUGGAAACUAAACAAGGCCUAAGAUAGAGAGAGUAGUACUGAACCUUGUUUGGAUGAAUGAAACGAAACGAAACAAUGACGUCAGAAAUCCGUUAUACUUACUAUACCCGGUGGACCCGUCGCAGGAGGAGGUCCUCGUCAGUGGAGACGAGUGACGAAACGGGGUCAAAAAAGAAGCCGAGCGCACACACAGCAGCGCGGACCCGGCGGCCCCCGGCCGGACGCUAGAGCCGUAGCCCGUAGCGACUGGCCGGUACUUGGUUUGAAGGACCCCAUGCGCGCGCGCGCGAAAGGAAGGAAGGAAAUAAAACACACCACACGGCCCAAGACCCAUCGGCCGUUUGAACAUAACUAACUAACCAGCUGCAGCGGGAAGCGGGAACCAAGCAACUCCUAUUCCCCGCUAGCUAGGCCGCAAGCUACCCCGGCCGGCCGGCCGCGGUGGCGAGUAGUGGGGGAAGCUACCCAACAAACCUCUAUAAAUAGCCCAAGCAGAUGCUGCGGCAUGCACGGUGCAAUCAGCAGCUCGGCUCUUCAUCAGAGCUUAGCUAUAGCCUAGCAGCAGCAGCCUCCUCCUCCCUCUCUCUCCAGCAUCUCUCUCUGCCUCUUCAUUCGGCCAUCUCUCAGUACACAGAGAGAUAAGUGAGAGAGAUAUAUGGAAGAGAGGGGGGUUGCAGCAAUGGGGAGAGCCCAAGCCUUCUUGUUCCUGUCGCUGCUGUGGGUCGCCAUGCUGAGUGGUAAAUAAAGCUCGAUCGAACUAACUAGCCGCCAUUCGCUAGCUAGCUAGCUAGGCUCUUCUUCUUCUUCUUCAAUUCGUUCUAGCUUCAUUUUCUCGUUCAUCAGCUGAGUUCUGAGACAAUACGUAUUGGUUCUUCCUCUCAUCUCCUCUCCUCGCAGCUGCUCCUCGCGUGGUGCAAUCUCUUCCUUACGACUACUCGUCCAGCUCUGAGGUAUGCAUGCCGGUCGCCUAACUUCUUCUCUCCCUCUCUUCUACGGAGUGUAGCUAGCUAGCUAUAGCUCAUCGUCCAUCCAUACCUGUGACGUGUGCCCGGCUGCCGAACUUUGUUACCGUGCUGCAUGGAUCCACCAGAGCCCCACCAUCGUCAGCUUCCACAUCGCAUUGCGCAUGUCACGCAUCCUAUCCCUGCUGAGGGCUGCCGCUAUAUGCAUUUAUUUUUUAUUCUUUCAAAAACAAAAUCGUAGGAAAUAAAAAAAAAAGGAACUGUACCAUAUGCUGGCAGCAGUUUACUACUUGCACAUACGAGCGGUUGGUUAACACCGGCCGUCGUAAGUUGCCUGUCGCCGGCGGCGGCGGCGCGCGCGCGUGACAUGUAACUGACAGGUGACAUGCGUGUGCGUCGUGGGCCAUUUCGUGCACUAGCUGCGCACACAAAGAGAAUACUUGUCUAGCUUGCUGGUUUCCGAUCCCGUGGCUCAUUUGUGCCGGUCGGAGUCCACUGAUGAGGCACUCACAUCACUCACUAGCGACGGAUCGACGAGAUUUUGACAUGUUGCGUGUAUGUAGGCACGCGCACAGGUCACAGAUUAAAUGUUUAUUAGUGAUAAUAGAAUCAUCAUGCGAACUUUCUUUAAUUAGGCCCAGUCGAUCUAUUGGCCAUGUGAACACAGGACAGGAAGGUUACACUUCGUUCAUAAAUACAAGUGUGUCUAGCUUUUUGGUUCAUUUACUAGUAAUAUUUCAGGCGCAAUAGUCUACCCACGCUUUUGAUCGGGCAGCAUGCACAUCGAUCAUGGGUUGGUGCAGAUGGACCAAACAAGUAGGAGCAACAAGAAUUCACAGCCAUUCUGCCAAAUUUUCCCUCCUCGAUCGAACAGGAGCAAAUAUUUCCAACAAGAACAGAAUAAUAUAUAAGUUGGCCAGGUGCCUAACCACAGUGCCCAUCUCGUUUUUGAGUUCUUGACCCGGUCUGAUGUCAUGAACCGGCUCUGUAUUGUCAUCAGAUCAUCAUCAAAACGCACAUAGCUUCUGAAAAAAUUACUUGGAAAAGUUAGCCGAUACUCCCAAAUACUACUUAUAAAAGUAGAAUAUAGCAAUUUAGCAACCAAAAAACCAACCCACUGAUCGGUGUGCCGCAAUCAGAGCCCAAAUACAACUAACUUUGCUGACUACCAGACUGUUGUUUCUGACUUUCUGUGUGUCAACACAUCUUCAUUAUAUUCGUAUAUCGGCGUGUGCCUCAUGACAUGUCGACGCGGUCAAAACCAGAGCCCCUUUUCGCUUGAAUUUCUGGUGUGCACCAAGCAGGGGAGGGCGUGUGUACCCCCAGUGUCUGCCACACACCGGAUCAUGCUAUCAUGCAGACCGCCACUGAGGCUAGCUUAUUGGACAGAUCACUGAUCCCUCACCUGCAGCUUAAUUAACCUAUUCUGGUGUAAUUUGGUUGGUGAAGAUAUUUGGCUCGGUCUCAGGCUAAAAAAGAGGUUACUCGUGUGUGAAUCCGUCCGGCCGGUGCAGUAUAUAUAGGAAAGUCAGGGGCUUCCAAACAAAGGCCUAAAAGUGACUUGCUUUCAGUUAUUCUGCACACCACAGUUUGGUUUCACAGUCAGCCACCUCAAUUGUUUCUUGUGCCAAGUAGAACGUGGUUUCGUUUGUUAGUCCUAUGUUAGGCCGUCAGUUAGAUACGCGAUCACUUGGACUUUUGCAGGCGAGUCAAACACUAUAUAUGUAUACGGUAUAAUAUACCUGCCUCUACUUCUAAGUACUACAGUAGUUGACUUGUAGUCAAAUAAUUCAAAAGAAAAGUUGAAAUAGACCAAUAGCUAUAUUGGGGCUGCAAAUGAGUGACAGUGCACCAAACUAAAAUCUGGCAUGUGCGUAGUAGCAUCCUCUUACUUUAGUCCACGGUUAGUUACCGUACACAAACUUUUCAACGGCUUUUACUGGGAUCUUGACAGGCCCGGCACUUCGACAGUUACACUACAUACAUCUUUGGUAGGCUCAAUACUUUUCAUUUUCUCACCGCGCGCGGCCAUCUUUACGGAUGGUGAAAAAAAAAUGUAACGAUACUGUUAUACGGAAGGUGAAACUUGUGUUGACUUUUUUUUUUCUCGAUCGGGUGUUGACCUGAACACUCAUGCUGCGAAACGUGUGUGUGUGCAGUGCUUGCCGGAGCCGCUGGAGCCUCAGUACGGCGGCGGCAUCCUCCGGAACGCCAACUUCAGCGCUGGCCUCCAGGGCUGGUCGUCGUUCGGGUACGGCGCCGUCGAGGAAGGCUUGUCAGAGAGCGGCAACAGCUACGGCGUGGCGCGGAACCGGACCCGGCCGUACCAGAGCGUCAGCCAGAAGGUGUUCCUGCAGAACGACACGCACUACACUCUGUCAGGUCAGUGUGUGAGCUCCCGGCUUUCCUCCGGGGGAAAAAAAUUUCAAUCGCAGCGAUGAAUCAUCAGCUCAGCUUAUUGAGUUUGUGUUUUUUCUUCUGGUACUGGUAUAUGCAGCUUGGUUGCAGGUCAGCAAUGGUAGCGCCGAUAUCAGAGCCGUGGUGAAGACCAACGGCGAAUUCAUCCACGCCGGCGGCGUCGAAGCGCGGUCCGGCUGCUGGUCCAUUCUCAAAGGCGGCCUCACCGCCCCCGCCUCCGGCGCGGCAGAACUCUACUUCGAGGUAAACAAACCUGAUGCAUUUGCAUUGCAUGAUCGCUGCAAGAAGAGAAGCCGUUAGUGUCAGGCUAUAUAUGCUCUGUUCUUACAACUCACAAGAAGAGCUUGGAUGCAUGCAGAGCAACACGACGACGGUGGACAUCUGGGUGGACAACGUCUCGCUGCAGCCCUUCUCCCGCGAGGAGUGGGCGGCGCACCACCACGCGGCCAUCAAGUCGGCGCGCAAGAAGACGGUGCGGCUCCGCGCCAGGGACUCGUCGGGGAAGCCCGUGCCGGGCGCGCAGGUGCGCAUCGAGCACGUCCGGAGCGGCUUCCCGCUGGGGUCUGCCAUGAGCGCGGAGAUCCUGCAGAGCCCGGCGUACCAGCGGUGGUUCACGUCGCGGUUCACGGUGACCACGUUCGAGAACGAGAUGAAGUGGUACAGCACGGAGCGGGUGCAGGGGCGGGAGGACUACUCGGUCCCCGACGCGAUGCUGCGGUUCGCCAAGAGCCACGGCGUCGCGGUGCGCGGCCACAACGUGUUCUGGGACCAGCCGAGCCAGCAGCCGUCCUGGGUGCGGUCGCUGUCGUACCAGCAGCUCCAGCAGGCGACGGCGCGGCGGAUCAAGUCGGUGAUGUCGCGGUACGCCGGGCAGGUGAUCGCGUGGGACGUGGUGAACGAGAACCUCCACUUCAACUACUUCGAGGGCAAGUUCGGGUGGGACGCGUCGGCGGAGUUCUACCGCAAGGCGCACCAGCUGGACGCGCAGGCGCUCAUGUCCAUGAACGAGUACAACACGCUGGAGUGGCCCGGCGACCCGAUGGCAGGGCCGAGCAAGUACCUGGGCAAGCUGUUCCAGAUCAAGAAGUUCCCGGGCAACGCCAACGACGCCAGGAUGGCCAUCGGUCUGGAGGGCCACUUCUCCGUGCCCAGCAUCCCCUACAUCCGCGCGGCGCUGGACACCAUGUCCAAGGCCAACGCGCCCAUCUGGCUGACCGAGAUCGACGUCGCGCCGGGGCCCAACCAGGCGCACUACCUGGAGCAGAUACUCAGGGAGGUGUACGCGCACCCGGCCGUGCACGGCAUCAUCCUCUGGACGGCGCGCCACCCGCAGGGAUGCUACGUCAUGUGCCUCACCGACAGCAACUUCAGGAACCUACCCACGGGCGACGUCGUCGACAAGCUCAUCGCGGAGUGGAAGACGCACUCGCACGCCGGCGUGGCGGACGCCGACGGAUACUACGAGGCCGAGCUGUUCCACGGGGACUACAAGGUCACCGUCAGCCACCCGGUGGCCAACUCCACCGUGGUGCAGAGCCUGAGCGUCGACAGGGAGACCGACACCGAUAGCGAGUACACCAUACACGUCUAGCUGCUGCCUUAGCUAGCUCCUACAUAUAUACCUACGUAGCCUCCUUCCAAGUACUCCUACUAGCUAGGACUAGGAUAGGAGGGGAUUGAUAUACAUACGCAUACACGUGUGCAUGUGCAUGAUUGUGGGUCUAGAUUCUAGGGUAUUGUGGUUUGUGAUGUCGUCAGUCAGUCAGUCAGUCAUAUACACAUACAUAUAUAGGGCGCCCGAGAGAUAGAAUUCCUGGUGAGGCGAUCCAUGUGAUGUUCAUAUAAAACAAAAGGAGGAAUUCGAUUUGUUCUUCAAUAUACAUGCAUCCUCUAUAGCUUUAUCUCAUCCCUGUGCCUGUGGACACGAAUCGUAAAGAACAAACAUUACCAAUCUCACUACCUACUAGUACGACGCUAUUAAUUUUGCUAAAGGUAGCUUAAUAGAGAUGUGCCGUACGUGUCAUAUCAAAACUCAAACCAAGGCACGAGACACUCACACUAUUGAUACUUUUGAAAUCAUGUAGACCCUUAAUUUGGUUUUAGUAAUUAAUAAUGACAACAAGUUAUUUGUGACUUUCUUUUCUUGGCACUAAUUAUGAUAAAUAAAAGUAAGACUCCCUUUGUACUAUAAUAUAAAUGCAUUCUAGCAAUUUUAAGACAAAUUAAGAGAGAAACAUAAAAGACACAUGUACACUUAUUUAUUUUCUAAAUUACUCUCUUUUUCCUGCAAUACAAUUCAUUCUAGUAAUUUUAGGACAAAUUAAGAAAAAAAACAUAAAAAGACACUAUUACCCUCAUUUUUUUAAUCAGACGCUACCGUCAACGUGAUUGAUGGUAAUUGGUUGAUAAAUGAAAAGUAUUUAAUACAAAAUUGGUUUUCGUUCUCUAAAAUGUAUUAUAUUUGAGGACGAAUUUUGAAUGCUAGAAUGCACUAUAUUACAGGACGGAGGGAGUAGACACUAUCAUCAAUGUGAUUAAUGGUGAUUGGUUGAUCAAUAAAAGGUAUUUAACGUAAAAUUAGUUUUUAUCCUCUAGAAUACAUUAUAUUUGAGGACAAAUUUGAAUAUUAAAAUACACAAUAUUAUAGGAUGGAUGGAGUAUAUACAACAAUUAAAGUUUCAAAUGUUUGAACAAAACUUGUCCAAACACAAGUAGUAUUUAUAAUAAUGGAGGGAGUAGUAUUGUAGCAAUACAAAUAAGCUGAUGUAUGCAGUUGUUCCCAACAACGUGCAUUACCCUAAAUAGUGACCAAGUGGGUCUGGGCAUGCGUUACUUAGGAGUAAUGUUACCUACUAUAUGUGAAACGGCCUUCCUACUAUUUUUAUCCCACCUUAUUGCAUUUGCAUCUUGAAGAAGAGUUAGACCAAAUAUAGCUCUUUGGUCCCCCGUUGUUCUCUCUUCUAAAAGCUUUUUUUUGAACAUUUCUCUCUUCUAAAAGCUACUAUAUAAACAAAAGCCUUUCGAAGUAUACGGUGCGCAUCGUAGAGCGUCAAAAGAAAUAAUAAGAUGGUUUCCACAGGAAAGUUGGUCUUCAUCGUGUUGAUCGUGCUAUUUGAAGGUUAGUUCUUUCUAAUUAGAUUUAACUACGCAUUUUCUUUUUUCAAAUGUAAUAGCAAAUUUACUGACUCAAUCAAUAUGUAUAAGCAUAAAAAACAUAUUGUUUUUUUACAAUAUUACAUCAGCGGGAGAACUCUAAUUAAACUACUGACUCACAAUCGAGGGCUGUUCUGUAUGUGCAAGAUCAAAAUGCUGAAAUUUCUUGAUGCUGAAAUUUCAAAAAAAAAAAGGUUCUGAUGCUGUGAUGCAUAACCAUCUAUCCUCUCGACGCAGGAUCCUUGGUCACUUCAAAAAAGGGCUAUUCUUCAGAACAGCCAACAAAAACGACCGGUGGCUAUUCCCCCAAGGAAACAUCAGAAAAGGCAGACGUUUCCUCAACGAAAUCAUCAGGAACGGUCCCCUAUGACUACUCCGCAAACAUUGAGGUAAGCAGCACUUUUAUGCCCCUAGUAAAAACAUUCCCACACACCCUGUGAGUUGUGAAGUCGUCGUUUCCAUCAGCACUUAUAUGCCCUGCUCGACACCGUUGCUUGCAUUGCAGUGCAUCAAGGAGCCGGAGAAACCUCUGUAUGGAGGCGGCAUCAUCAGCGCCGCCGACUCCAGUGGCAAGAAGUGCCCUAUCAAGGGCUCCGUGCUCAAGGUCGACCUCAAGAAGGACUACCACUACGCACUCUCCGGUAAUCGGCACUCAUAUACAUUGUCCAAUUCACUCAUCCACGAGAUCGUCCUUGUGAUCAGUCGACCACCAGGCGUCGAGGACGAUGCAGCUAAUACUACCUCAAUGUUCUCCCAGUUUGGCUGAAGUUUUCCAAGGGCACCGGCGACAUCACUGCCAUAAUCGUGACGCCCGAUGGCAAGUUCAACACCGCCGGCGCGAUCGUGGCCAAGUCUGAGUGCUGGACCUUGCUCAAGGGUGGAGCCACCUCCUACGCCGAAGGCAAGAGCGAUCUCUUCUUCGAGGUAAUGUAAUACUCAGUUGGCAGGACAAUCUUUGCAAACUAUUAAUCAGUCCAACGAGACGUUACAAUAAUGAGUGCAGAGCAACUCCACCGCGGAGAUCAUGGCGGAGAGCAUAGCGCUGCAGGGAUUCAGCUUUGAAGAGUGGAACGCUCACCGCGAAGAAGUCGUCGCCAAGGUAAUGCGGGUUCUCCAGCCACCCAAUGCCAAAAAAUGGCAGUGGAACAUAAUUCCGAUUCCGAUUCCAAUGCAGGAACGCAAGAAGAAGGUGAAGAUCACGGUGGAGAGCGGCGGCAAGCCGUUGCCGGACGCGGAGCUGUCUGUGGUGUGGGUGGCCAAGGGGUUUCCCCUGGGCAACGCCAUGACCAAGGAGAUCCUGGACAUGCCCGAGUACGAGGAGUGGUUCACGAAGCGGUUCAAGUGGGCGACGAUGGAGAACGCGAUGAAGUGGUACAGCACGGAGUACAACGAGGGUGAGGAAGGGUUCGUGGUGGCGGACAAGAUGCUGGCGCUGGCGGAGAAGCACAACAUCUCGGUGCGCGGCCACAACGUGUUCUGGGACGACCAGAGCCACCAGAUGCCGUGGGUGAGCAAGCUCAGCGUGGACAAGCUCAGGGCCGCCGUGGCGAAGCACCUCAAGAGCGUCGUCUCCCGCUACGCCGGCAAGGUCAUCCACUGGGACGUGGUGAACGAGAACCUCCACUUCAGCUUCUUCGAGGAGAAGCUGGGCAAGGACGCGUCCGGGGAGAUCUUCAAGGAGGUGGCCAAGCUGGACCCUAAGCCCAUCCUGUUCAUGAACGAGUUCAACACGAUCGAGCAGCCCUGCGACAAGGCGCCGCUGCCGACCAAGUACCUGGCCAAGCUGAGGCAGAUCCAGUCGUACCCGGGCAACGAGGACCUCAAGUACGGCAUCGGCCUGGAGAGCCACUUCGCCAAGCCCAACAUCCCCUACAUGAGGGGCUCACUGGACACGCUGGCGGCGGCCAAGGUGCCCAUCUGGCUCACCGAGGUGGACGUCACCAAGGGGCCCAAGCAGGUGGAGUUCCUGGAGGAGGUGAUGAGGGAGGGGUUCGGCCACCCGGGCGUCAAGGGCAUCGUCAUGUGGGCGGCCUGGCACGCCAAGGGCUGCUACGUCAUGUGCCUCACCGACAACAACUUCAAGAACCUGCCGCAGGGGGACCUCGUCGACAGGCUCCUGGACGAGUGGAGGAAGGUGCCCGAGAAGCCCAUGACGGACAGCAAUGGUGUGUUCGAGGCCGAGCUCUUCCACGGCGAGUACCAGGUCACCGUCAAGCACGCGUCGCUCAAGGAGCCCAUCGUGCAGACGGUGGACCUCGACACCAAAUCGGAGGCCGCCAUAAAGGCCUAGCUAAUUAACUGCUUAAGAGUACUCCACGCAUCAUGUCGGUGUCGCUCACUGUAACAUUCCCAUUUGUAUGACGGUGUCGCUAACUUGUAACAUUCCAAUCUGUUUUUCUAUAUAAAUAUAUAUACAUAUGAUCUUUUUUAUUCCAAAAUCCAAAUAGUUGGCCUACAUUUCGUGAGGAGUUUCUUAGACUCAGUCACAUUACAGUGAGAUCAGAACAACAAAAUCGUCUUAUCAUUAAAUUAAAUAUAACAACUCAUUAAUUAAGAAUUAUGCACACAAAUUAUUGUUAUUGCGUACUUCAGCCUUAACAUAGUCUAAAAGGAAAAAAACAUAGUCAGACAUGCCGUUAUUUAUGUUUGUUUGUUUGUUGGACAAACUAGUCUAUCAAACUUCAUGUAGUAAAAAGUGUUGGCUAAGGUUUGUGCUACCUACAAAUGUGACAAAGAAUGGCAAGGAAAACAUUCAAUAUAAUUAAACAGAUAUAAACGCCAAAUUCUUUGGGUUUUAUCAAAACUUUAGCAAGGUUGAUUUGUGCAAACAUACUCUAAAAUAAGUAAUACAAUUCAUUAAUUUUAGCGCUGCAAGGUUUGUGCAACUAAGAUUGACAAGGUAAAGCGUGGAAGUGCUAAACAAAAGACAAACCUACAAAAGAUAGCAAUUCUCAACGCUCAGACUUGUAUGUCCAAACCUAUACCUUAAAGUUCAUCUGCAUGCGCAUGCCACCUACUAAAGUAAAGAGCACCUACACUCUUAUAUGUCCAAAUCAUCAUCUGGAUCUUCAUCUGAGUCAGGUUGCUCGUCAUCUGAAUCACGGAAGUAAUGUAUUUCACCCUUUGCAGUUCCAGAUUUGGGAGCUUUCAUUUCAUCCACAAGGGCCGGUGCGGUUAAAUUGGGGUCACGCUGAGCCUCAGGUAGGGACCGGCGACCAUCAUAUAUACGAAUUGGUUCACCAUUUCCUGAGAUAAAAUGUGGGAAAGUCAAGUUCCAGAUGCAAAGCACCUCCCAGAAUCAAAACACAACCUUAAACUGAUGCUACUUAGAAAUAACUUGGCUUCAUAAAAUUUACCUUGAUGUUCAAAAGGGAGAACAACAUUUGCCCUGUCACUGCGCUCUUUCUCUGACAGCUCAAGAUUGAACUGAACCUGUUGAACCAACUUAUCACAAUUUACAACAACGACUAAUAUUUAUAAAUGGGAGUAACAACUAACAUAAGUGGCACACAACAGUGUUUAAUUGUUCUAUAAUCUAGAGUGUAGAACUAACCUUAGGCACUAGACUUUGGUUCACUUCUAUACUCACAGAAGGAGCAGAAUCAAAUUUGAUAUCAUUGCCAUCAAUAUACAGGUCCUCAUACUGCACAGGUAGGGUUUGUACCAAAUAUCAACCAGCUUUCCUCAAUUGAAUUUAGAAGGAAAGAAAAAAUAAGAACACUGAAGCAACAGGGAGCCUUACAAGGUGCUUCACCCGUCCAUUUCGUCUUUUAAGGCGCACAAUAAAUUUUACUUUUGAAUAAUUUUGCUCAAGGAUAGACAUGUUUCCAGGACUCUCUCCACAAACAGGAUCCACAAGUGCUGGCUCCACACAAGCAACCAUAGUAGAAAGACAUUCAAAUGCUCGGGGCACCUUGGGCUCAUGAAGGUCUGAACGUAUCAUCCAAAAUAUUGAUGAUACUUGUUCUACAAUAGGACACAUAUAUAUUAAUGCACUUUUAGUGUUACUUGAAGGCAUUUAGAAGUCCAGAGUUUGAGAUAAGCAUGUACAAUGUUACAGAUCUAUACUCACACUAAAAGACAAAUAUGAUUCACAUCCCUGAAAAUAUUAUUACACUGCAAGAAAUUCAGUUUCAGCUGCUCAAGGUUACACUAACACUAUGAUAUGCAUUGAAGAUAGAACAAGCAGGGAUACCAUGGCUUCGAAGAUUACUAAGAAGGCCUGAAAUUGAUGGCACUGAAGCAUGCCUUAACAUGGAGCUAAUCUGAAAUAACAUAGAGGAUGUUUGGUGUUAAGCAUCAAAUGAAAGUUAAAUAUAUAAGAGCAAUGAGUCAAUGGACUUUCAUCUUUUCAAUAUUGGAUUAUAUAAAGAGAUAAUAUAGGUGUUUCCUUCAAACAGUAAACAAUGACAACUAAAACAAAAUAGUGGAAUACUUUGGAAUGAUGUCAUACUGCUCUAUUGUUGGUGAGAUAAUGAUUUGGCUGUUAGUUAGAGAUAUGCUAAUGAUAAUUCACCACAAUUACAACCUAUUGAACAGCAACUGAACUCCAAUAACAAAACCAUUGAAGUAUAAGAAUAUAUCUUCUGUUUAAUUAUGUCUCAUACAUAAUCCGAACUCCAGGUAUUGUUAAAUCAGUUCCAUACAUAAUUAAACAUGGGCGAUGAAACAAUCUUCAACAAAUGAUAUUAAGCUCAGUAGGAACCCAGUUUUGUCUAUGGGGGAAACAAAGUUACUAUACAUAAUCCGAAGUAUUGUUUCCACCCACAAAAAGGUCACAGAGAAGUAGUUAGUUCUUACUGAGUCAACAGCCACAGAAAAAUACUUUUUGCCUUCUCCUUCAAAAUCUGACAUCCAUAACGUAAGCAAGUUAGGAUUAGGGAAGAAACAAAGAGAUAUUAACAGGUCAAAUGUUCUAUGGUAGAUAAUACCUCCUCCAAGUUCAGUAGUGAAGGACAGCAAUUUUGUAACAUCCUUCACACUUCUAUAAACAGUAAUGUUCUCUUUGUUUGUUGAGAGCUUUGCACUGUUCCCUUGAUGCUGCUGGUUUUGAAUCUUCUGCUUCCAUCCAAGGGGGUCAGAAUAGCAAUCCAAUAUUCGAACACUGUUGAAUGCAUGCAAAAUUGUCAUCUACAUUUUAUCAAAAGGAAUGCAUUCUGCCUUACAGAUAGUGUGACAAAAGAGUGUCCAGAUGGCUUGAGCAUUUAACUCUUCAGAUGGCACGUCAAACUGCCAAAUCGGUAUAUCAACUUCAGAUUUAAAUUGAGAAGGAGAUUUUAUGAGCAUUUAUGAAUUUUAAGUUUAAAAUUUCUUUGCAUAGUGGCCCCACAGAUGUUUCUGGUAUUUGUGUUACCAACUAAUCCAAAGUCUGAUUUUGCACAAGCUGAGAUACCAAUAGUUAAAUUUGUGCUCAGCCAACCAAGACGAACAACGAAUCAAAAUUAGUGAUAUAUUUUAAGCAGGAAUGAAAAUGCAUAAGCUCCCACCCCAGAAAGUUGGUUAAUCUAAGAAUCUUCUUUGAUCUAUGCUUAGCAGCAGCUACAUUGGCAGUAGACCACCCUGGUACGAAAGAGGCUCUUGUUUAUCAAUUACUCCAUUUUUUUUUGCCAAUUCUGCACCAUCUUUUGCCAUUAAAAGAAAAAUCUGAAUAGAAACCCCAAAUUGGAGAUAAAUUCCAACAUCAAUGUCCAUGUCAGAGUAACAUUCCGUGUGUCUGAAAAAUAUUCACGGUUUUGGACCGUGCACAAACAAACAACUUCUAUUUAUCAGAAAUGGUUCUGUGAGAUCAUACCAUCGGUUCAAAGCAUUUGCGUCAAGGCCGCGACGCUGCAUGAAUUCCAGGUACACCUGCGGGCUCCGAUCAAAUGCCACAACAACCAGCCCCCUGCACCAUCAAAAGUUCACAACCAAGCUAAUUCACAUCAUCAGCCAAAUCUACGCAAAGCCUACGCACCAGGAGGCUAAGAGACUAACAAAACCUGGCCUGCGCCUUCCCUGCGGCGACCUGGGAGGCGAAUGCGGCCGCGAUGUGGAGCAUCGCGCCCGCCGCGAGCGAGCAGCACUGGAGCGAUCCCUCCACAGCCAGCGCCGGCGCGUGCUCUCCGUCGAGCCGUCCGUCCCGGAGGCACCUCACGACCGCCUCCGCCAUCCUCGCCGCCGCUUAGUGCCUAAACCCUAGCUCACACAAGAGCCCGAGACGGGUCGCCAAACUCCCGGGAGGCCGGAAGAGAGUACGCUGGACCCACCUGUCAGAGAGACACGGGACCCCUUACCCGUGUCGGAUACUCGGAUAUAGCCAGGCCGAACUCGUUUGACCCCACCUAGACCUCUUGUUAGUUGUUACCUCCUGCUCCGCUACUCCUCCCGUCUUCCGGCGGCCCCGGGGAAAGGAAGAGGGGAGAGGGGAGAUGAAGGCGUGCGCGAAGGCGGCGGGGGAGAGACUACCGCUGGUCCGUGCUCCGUCAACCAGUCAGCCUCUGGCUCGGAGGUAUUAUUAUCUCUCUCUGUCCUCUGGUCAAUUUUCCUUCGCUUGCUCCCUAAUCGUUCGAUGCCCUCGUUUCAUAAUCUUGAUAUGCUAUAAGCAUUAUCAGUUAUUUAACUACAUAUAUAUAUAGAAACAAAUUGACAUGUAGUAGGAGUGUAUCCAUCAAGCAUGACCUGUUCUAGUGCGCAUAAGCAUGCCACUGCCCGUGCCCAGUACAGGAGCCAGAGUAUUGUGUCACCGGGAUCAGGCGCUGGGCUUCACAGUCUAACAUACUGUAAUAUAUAUUUUUUGUUUCCUUAGAAGGGUGAUUUGAUCGUUUCACAAUUGAAAUCGGAAAGUUCAUCGGGUUGAGCUGGCUCUGACAAUUACAUUAGCUCUGCCACUGCCACAAAUUGGCGCGUUAGUAUCGUUACUGGGUUGCCAAACUUUAUUUAACAGUUAAAUUACUAUGGUAUGUUUUUAUGCUCCUUUGUAUGUGUGUGAGAAUGGAAAAUACAAAAUGCAUGAACAGUUGCAUUCCCUCCCAACUACCUGGAUACAAACCAUGUGAUGGCAAGUGAUUCUUUUGUAUUUGAACAUCACUGUAUCUGUAAAGUACCCACCAGUAGCAGCUAGCGCCGUCCCUGAGACUUUGGUGGCCUGGGGCAAAUCAAAGGUGGCCCUAAGACAAUUUUUUUUUGUGCCGAGUACAAAUCAAACUUUUAGCACACUGCACGAACAUGAAUCAUUAGUGAUAGGGAACUAAACCUGUUAUUUUUAAUAAAUAAAGAUAUUUCAUUGAGCUGUUUUCAAAUUCUCAGUCCAUUCUUCAAAUCCCUGUUCAUUUCGCUGAAAUUUGGCUUAUGCUGAUUUGUUGUGAGAGGAAAACGUUGUUCCUUAAGUAAUGCUGAGGAACAGGGCAUAGUUUUAGAUUCCAAAGGCAAAAGAAAGAAAAAAAUUCUUAACAAGUCUAUAAUUCAGGAUCUUUUUGAUAGAAUAUGUGACUAUGUGUAUCAAUUCAUUUGCUCGUAUCUUUCCACAUCAAGAUAAAUGCUUUAUACACAUGUUACUUACCACAUUAUAAUAUAAGAGAUGAAAGCAAGGAAUAAAUUCACAUGAAUUUGAUGUUUUGGUACACACUGAAGUCAUUAGUAUAUAUUAGAGCCUGUCUUGAGUACACAUUUGACUAUUUGAGUUUUCAGUGGUAACAGAGUCUAGGCUAGACAACAUUUCAGCAGAGAGCAAUGAAUGGAUAUCAUGAAUCAUGAUAUGAGAAGCUUAUAAGCAUUAAGAUAUGAGUUGAGGGGGGUUAGUGCUGGAACGCAAAAGGCUGCACCAUGGCCAAAGGUGCAGAAACAAAACAAUCCAAAUUAGUGUGCUUGUAUUUUGUAUUUGUAAACAAAUAAUACUAGCUCAGGUCCCAGUGGCCCCGCUUUCCCUGCCGUUGCGCUUGGGCACCUUGGCCUGGCAGUAGUACCUUUAUGCUGAUUGAGCUUCUUGUUACCCCCAUGAUACCGACUUCAUAUCAUUAUUAGUAUAGAUUGGGUCUGUUGAUUGAUAUUCUGUGUAUCUUUAGUCACGAGAAAAUUGGGAUUUUAGGUUUCUUGGUUUGCCAGUGAACUGUAGACACAAACAGUAUUGAAAAAUUGUGGGCAUGAUGAAUCUUCAUCCUCAGUUUCUAAAUUAUGUCACAUAUUGCUACUGAAAUAAAAUAUUCCAUGAAAAGUAUUUGCUUGAGAAUUAUGUUUUUCAUGGAGACUCUUUUUUAGUGCACUCUGCACUGGACAACUAUUUGUUUCUUUUAUCGGCAUUACUACAUGCAUGCUAACACGGUGACACAUUUCUAUGUUCAGCUUUGUUAAGGUAAGCAGAUUACCCUCUCAACAUGAGACGAAGUGUCAAGUAUCCUGCUCAGUUAGGGUGUCAGAAAACACAGCUCGCAGAAUAUAUGCCACAGCAGAAAACAUUUUCCCGGCAAUGAAAGAUCAUGUCUUGAAAGCAACUGAUGCAAUCAACAGAGGAGAAGUGAUUGCGGUGCCCACUGAUACCAUAUACGGGUUUGCGUGUGAUGCCUGGUUAGUGUUUUCUUCAUUCCCCUAGUCCCAUAGGAAUUUUAAUGCUUAUAUGCCUUGCCCUAUGUUAGGACAAAAUACAGUUAUACAGCAAUAUUCUGUAGCACAGUGAGUCCAAAGUUCCUUCAUAAUAAUUGCAGGAUCAAGUAAUGAGGAAUCUGUACCCAUAAAAUUUGGUGAGAGGAAACACACACAAACAUUUCAUAUAUCUCUUUUAGUUACUUUCUGAUUCUGCUUUUAUCCCCAACUAGAAAUUAGGACCGAUUCAUCCUUUCAAGUCUCAAGAUGAGAAUUUCAUUUAGGAGUUUCUUUGGCCGUGUUUCAUUUUUUGUAUUCUUUAUUUAUGUUUUGGUUUCUUAAAACACUCUUCAUGACAGCUCUGCGGGAGCAGUUAAUCGUAUUUAUGAGAUCAAAGGGCGUAUACAAACACGGCCUCUGGCAAUUUGUGUUGCUGAUGUCUCAGACAUAUCACGGUUUGCUUUAGUGGACCACUUGCCACAUGGCUUGCUUGAUAGUCUACUUCCUGGGCCUGUCACUGUUGUUCUAAAACGAGGUCAGUUACCACACUGUUUUUCUUAGUUUUAUGUAACAUCUGUCUUAAGCAGGCUGUGGUGUUGAUCAUAGUAUUCAUUUGUUUACAUUUAGGUGAAAACAGCAUAUUAGAGAGAUCACUUAAUCCUGGCUUGGAUAGCAUUGGAGUUCGUGUGCCGGAUCUGGAUUUCAUACGAUCCAUUGCUCGUGGCGCUGGAAGUGCACUUGCACUUACCAGCGCCAACUUAAGCGGACAGCCUAGUAGUGUCAGUGUCAAAGAUUUUGAGGGUUUAUGGCCACAUUGUUCAUGUGUCUUUGAUGGUGGAGUACUUCCUUCUGGGCGUGCUGGUUCAACAAUUGUUGAUCUAAUAACACCAGGAGUCUACAAGAUAUUGAGAGAUGGAAGGUAAGCGGUACUAGUCAUAUCAAUUCCUUAAAACUUUAAUGAAAUGCCCUCAUCAAAUUGAGCGAUGGAAGCAUGAAACUGUUUCUACCACAAUGUUUAGACUGAAUAAUCUUUGACACCAAGUGCAAAAUCGCAGCUCAAGGAAGGAAACAGCAGCUGUGCUUGGCAAGUUUGGCUUUGUUGAAGCUUCGUGACGACUUGGUGCUUUAAGAAAGUUGGCACGAUCAAAGAGUUGCUUUCUUAUCCAUAGCAUCUCCUGUUUAAUUAGUGAUGUAUAUCGGAGCUUUUUUUUUUUGCUGUUUGUGCUUUUCUUUUACAAUCUUCAAACGUACUGUUGUAAUGUGAAUGCGAUCUUGAGUAGAAUAGCAGAGUUCACAUUAUUUAAGCUGUGUAGAGUGUGACAUGGGUUUGUUUUUUAGCAAAUGAUGCAACUAGGUUGGGGACUUUGGAUGUGUUGUGGACGAAAAUUUGGCAUUUUUUGUGCCUGCGCUUUUCGCCCAAUUCUGCUUGUUGGCUUCUAGAUGACGUCAACUGUUUACAUAACUUACUAAAACGAACAGUGGUCAUAAUCGUGACUCGUGAGUUGAGAUGAUGACAUCUCAAAGAAUAAACUCUCUCUGGAAUUUCCUUAGGGAUAAUUAGGAGUUUUAUUUUUACUUUUGCUAGGGCGCUAAUGUUCUUUUGUUUUGUCACUAUUCGUUCUAGCUGAUUAUGGUUGAAAAAAUUAAUUGCUCCGAUGGAGAUCUUUGCAACACCGAACACAAAUGUUCUACCUAAUGAAGCAAAAGUCUAGCUCCAUAGUUAUAUGAGAGUACGUACAUGCCGUUGUUUGUGGUUUUCAGUUUACAGUCUUUGAACUUAUUCUUGUGACUUGAUGUUGAGUCGAAUAGCAGAAUGAUGUAGAUUUGUUUUGAUGCAAAUGAAGCAACCAGGCUGGGAACUCUUUAUGUUCUGUGCACACGACAGGAAAUGUAAGAGAAUCGGAGUUUUUCCUCGAGUCUCAUUUCAGUGAAAAAAAAAUGCAUUAUUAUAAGAAAAAUAAGCAUCAGAAUGGCGACAGAGGCAGUUAACGUUGACCUGAAGCCAAAGCCAAAGGGGGGAUGAUAAGCUUUAAGGAAAAAAAAAAGGAAAAGGGCGAUAAGCUGAAGCAUGGAACAUUUUACUUUGGAAUCUUGGAGAGUAGGAUUAAAAAUGGUCUUUUCCUUUGCUUUCCAUUGCAAUUUUCCAAGGUGAAAACUGAUGAUACACACGAAUGACUAAGCUUCUAUCUAAGCUUUCACAGUUCUGACGGGCAGCAGGUAAUUAACUGGUAAUGAUCCAGUGCCCUGACUGAAAUCUUACAUUACACCUAGCAACUGAAGAAUAAGAAUAGCCCGGCUGGUCUAGACCUGCAUGUCAAUGAAGUAGUGCUCACUGCCUGAGCCCAGCUCCACCUUGACGCUCCGGGAGAUGGAGCUGUUGAGCGCGGGGUGGCUGACGGUGACCUUGUACUCGCCGUGGACGAGGUCGGCCUCGAAGUAGCCCUGCGCGUCCGUGGCGCCGGCCCGCGGGCUCGCCCGCCACUCGGCGAUGAGGCGGUCCACGACGUCCCCCUGCGGCAGGUUCUUGAAGUUGUUGUCGGUGAGGCACAUGACGUAGCACCCCUGCGGCUGCCACGCCGACCAGAUGACGAUCCCCUGCACCGCCGGGUGCGCGUACGCCUCCCGCAGCACCUCCUCCAGGUGCUGCGCCUGCGACGGGCCUGGGGCGACGUCGACCUCGGUGAGCCAGACGGGGAUGCCGGCCUGCGCCAGUGUGUCGAGCGCGGCGCGCAUGUAGGGGAUGUUGGGCUUGGUGAAGUGGCCCUCGAGGCCGAUGGCCAUGCCGGCGCCGUUCUCCGGGUAGGCGGCGAUGAUCUGCUGCAGGCGCUGCAGGUACCUGGCCGGCAGCGCGGCCAUGUCUCCCGGCUGCUCCAGCGUGUUGUACUCGUUCAAGAACAUGAGCGCGGAGCCGGUGUCCAGCAGGCGCGCGGCGGCGUAGAAGGCGGUGGACGCGUCCCAGCCGAAGCGUCCCUCGUAGAAGUUGAAGUGCAGGUUCUCGUUGACCACGUCCCAGCCGAUGACCUGGCCGGCGUAGCGCGACAUGACGGAGCGGAUCCGCCGCGACGCCGCCGCCAGCAGCUGCGGGUAGGGAAGCGACUGCACCCACCCGGGCUGCUGGCUCGGCUGGUCCCAGAACACGUUGUGGCCGCGCACGGCGAUGCCGUUGGACUUGGCGAACGCCAUCAUGGCGUCCGGGACCGUGUAGUCCUCGCGCCCCGGCGCCGGCUCCGUGCUGUACCACUUCAUCUCGUUCUCGAAGGUGGCCACCGCGAAGCGGGACGCGAACCACGUCUGGUACGCCGAGUUGGUGAGAAUGUACCGGCUCACGGCCGCGCCCAGCGGGAAGUUGGUCCGGACCGCGUCCAGGGACACCGCCGCGCCUUCCAGCGGAUUCCCCGCGGAGUCCGUCGCCUGAAGCCUCACCGUCUUCUUGCGCGCCGCCACCACGGACUGGGCACGGUGCGCCGUCCACUCGUCCUUGGAGAAGGGCUUCAGCGACACGCUGUCCACCCACAGGUCCACCGUAGCGUUGCUCUGCAGGGACGGACACACGAUCAUGUGAAAUUUGCGAAGCCAACGAACUAAUGAAUCUUAUUACUGAAUCCUACCUCGAAGUAGAGCUCGGCCGGACCCGAAGACGCGGCGGUGAGGCCGCCCUUGAGCAUGGACCAGCAACCGGCCUUGGCGACGACGCCGCCGGCGUGGACGAAGUCACCGACGGUCUUGACGACGGCCCGCACGUCGGCGCUUGCGUCGCUGACCUGCAACCACGCUGUAACCAGCCGGGGCGACGACGGAGCUGAUCAGUAACAUUUCAGUCCCGAAAGGAAUCGGAAACCACACGCGGCGAGGGCGAUCCAUCGUUACCGGAGAGGGUGUAGUGCGUGUCGCCCUGCAGGUACACCUUCUGGCUGACGCUCUGGUACGCCCGCGUCCGGUUGAGCGCGACGGCGAACCCGUUGCCCGCCGCCGACUUGCUCUCCGCGAUGCUGCCGUAGCCAAAGGUGGACCAGCCCCGGAGGCCCGCGCUGAAGUCGGCGUUGCGGAGGAUGCCGCCGCCGUACUGCGGCUCCAGCGGCUCCGGCAGGCACUGCAGCACGCGACCAUCAUUACUUUUUUUUUUCGUUAAUUUGAUUUUAAUCGAUCAAUUUGAAUUUUGGCGGAUGCAGCUGUGCAAGUUUCCCAUCGGAAUCCUUAACGAAGGGAUGUUCCUUUGAUCUUGGCAAUAAGCAGAUGCUUUGCUUUGCUGGUAUAACUAGAAACAUGCAUGCGUGUACCUGAGAUUAUCAGACAAUCGAUCGCUCUAACGAUGGUUUUAGCUUACUUGUGCAGCAUGCCACGUGGACCAAAUCUUUUAAAUUUGGGGAAGUGUUGUAGUCUAAAAAAUGCUAGAUGACGUCGUUUGUGUUUUUUUGUCGAGCUUGGCGUGGCUUAUAUGACACGUAAACACACACACACUUGACAUCGACGGACACAGCUACGCCGGCGCCGGCGCCGCCGUCGUGCAUGGCACUGAAAAGCAUAUAACGUACGUACGGGAAAAUUAACAUAGGGGACGACGGGAAUUCCAUCUUAAGCAGUAUUAGCUCACAACGGGAACGAAUUGCGUGCGGUGGGGUGGAUUAUCGUGCAGCCCGUGACAAAAGGCAGCCAAUUGGCGGCAAUGAUUAUAUAUUAUUUUGCUAAACUAAGCUCGAAUGCCGGCCGGUGAAGCUUCUGCUGGACCACGAAUGUGUCCUGCCCAGAUGGGUUAUGGGCAGGUGAAACUGCGAAAGCAACAGGACACACACACACACACACAGGAGCGGAGCAGGGGACUUGCCUCGAUGCUUGCAGAGUAAUCGUAUGGGAGAGAUUUCACCAUGCAGCCUGCACAGACGGAGAACGAACCAGCAAAGUAAGCAGCAAUGUCAGUUAUAGUUACAGGCCAAGUUUCUCAGAGAAUGCAAUGGCAGAGCAGUGAGAGGAAUGAACCAGAGGCUUGGUCUACGAGUAACCUUACCUUGCAGGAGAGCAAUCCAUCCGAGCCAGAAGGCGAGUUUAUCCACCAGACCGUUAACUUUGGUCAUCUUAGCUUGUCUCAGCAGGCACCCACAAUCUGCAGCAAAUUAGCAUCAAUAACGCGCCUGUCUAGGCAAUAUGGCGGCGACAUGCAUGCUGGUAGUUCUAGAGAGCAACAGAGCUCUAGCAAUGGACAAUGGCGCAGCAUGCACAGUACCCCGCCUGCGUACAGAAGCCAGUGCAAGGUGGUUGUGCUGAGGCGGUGAAGAAGAAGAAGAAGAAGGCGAGGAAGAAGACGGCCGGCGGACCCAGCGGGGCCUGUUAGCUACUCCGAGGUUUGUUGUGCGAGCCUGUGCUCAGGUGAAGAGAGAGUGCAGUUCGGGACCACGGAAUGAGAGACAUGACCUUUGCGUGGCCUCCCCAAUCCCCAUUUAUAGGCGACGGCGGCGGGCGAACACCCCCGCGAGCGGCCCUGGGAUAUCCGUUGGCACUUGCUUGCCGGCCGCGGUCACCUACGCCCACGGGAGAGCUUCCCGCGAGGGCCACCCAAAGACAAAGAGUGAGUGCCCGCCCGGGCCUUUGACUUCAUUUGCCGCGGCGCGCACACACUUGCCGCCGCCCUCUGCGUAUUCUACUCGCAACUGUGGUGGCCGUGGCUCGGCAGACGGUACGAGAAAUUUUAUGGACCUGACCCUUUUAGCGUCACAUGUAUUGGCACCAGUGGCGGAUCUAGGAGGGGGGAUAAAGGGGAGCUAAAUAGUGAACAUUUAGAAUUAAAGAUAAAAAGAUUAAUAAUAUUUUAAGGCUACUUAAUACUAAUUUAAUGAACAAAUCAGACUUAUUUUGGAUCCGCCCGUGAUUGGCACGACGUUACAUGACAUUUUGGAUGUAGAAAACGUUAUCACGCUAGUAGUGUUCUGUCACGCCACUGAAAAUAGCGUGACAAGACAAAAAAAAUUAAAAAUUAUAACUCUUUAAUACAAUGUCAGAUAAAAAUGAAAUUUAUACGAAGACUGUAGCUCUUGAUGAGAUCUACAACUUUAUAGUUUUGAGUUUCUUUGUUUGAGAAUGUUAAGAUUCUAAAAAACAGUAUAAAAUUUCAGGAGCAUAAUAAUUGUGUACUAGUAGGUCUUGUCGGAUUAGAAAAAUAAUAUAUUUUUUUGUAUAUUGUCAAAUAAAAAUACUUUUUACAUUAAAGUUGUAAGCUCUACAACUUUGGAGUUUUCAGUUUUGACAUUUGAGAUCAUUAAGAUGCUCAAAAAUUAAUAUAAAAUUUUAGGAGCAUAAUAACCAUGUACUAGUGCUUAUCGUACUGUUGUCAAAUAAAGAUACUUUUUAUACCAAAGUUUUAAAAUGUAUUUUUGUAUGACAUCAAAUAAAAAAAUAUAUGAUUUUUCUAAAAAGAUAAGCUUGGUACAUGAUUAAUAUGCUCUUAAAUAUUAUUUUUUUAUCUUAACUAUCUCAAAUAAAAAACCUUAAAACUAAAAGGCACAGUUAAUCUCAUAGUUAGCUAUAACUUUAAUAUAAAAUGUAUCUUAUUUGGCACCGAGUAUGAAAAAGUAUAAUUUUAGUAAGGCGACAAGACCUAGCGCAUGAUUAAUAUGUUGCUAAAACUUUCUAUUAAUUUAUAGAGUAUGUUAAUGACCUCAAAUAUGAAAACUCAAAACUAUAAACUUAUAGAUAUCAUUAAGGACUACAACUUUGAUAUAAAAUAUAUCUUCAAUUGACAUCAUACAAAAAUGAAAUUAUUUUUGUAAUGCGACAACUAGUAUGUGAUUAUUAUGCUGCUGAAAUUUAUAUUAUUUUUUUAGUAUCUUAACGAUCUCAAAUGUAAAAGUAAAAAACUACAAAGUUGUAGAGCUAUUGAGAGCUACAACUUUGAUAUAAAAAGUAUCUUCAUUUGACAACAUACGGAAAUUUAUGCCCCUGAAAUUUUAUAUUAUCUUUUUAGCAUCGUUCUUAGAUGAAAAAAACUCAAAACUACAAAGUUGUAGAUCUCAUCAAGAGCUACAAAAUUUAUCUUCAUCCGACGUCGUAUCAAAAAGUUAUAAUUUUUUAAAGGUUAUGUCUUGUCAUGCUACUCCUAGUCAUGUGAUAGCUUUUUCUACAUUGGAAACACCAUCUAAGAUAGAUGUUGCCGCACCAAUACAUGUAGCGUGACACUUUAUUUGGUUGCCCCAGCAACACUGGCGCGACUAAAAAGGUCAUAUUUGCAAAAUAAAAUUUAGAGCGAUUGUUAUUGAAAUAUUAAAUAAAAGGGAUUAAAAAAUAAAAAUAUUCCGAGGCCGGUUGGGUGUUUCAUGUUUGGUAUCCCCCUGCAACUGCAAGCAAGGUGACCGGGCCGGCACGCACGAAAGGCCUUCUCGUCUGUGCAUUGGUUCACUGACUGCAACAGCCACGCGUUCUCAGGCUCAGCGACUGAACUUCUCCUGGAUGGAGGCAUUAGUUCUCAGCCACUGAACUAGUGAACUUCACCUGGAGGCAGCCAUUGCAUGCAUGGUUUUCAGCGACCAGGGGGGUCCAGGCCCCAGGGUGCCCGGGCUGCAACUCGGGCGCGGCCUAAAAAUUCCUUUAACAGUUCCUUUGUUCAAACAAGAUAAUCUAUAAAAAUAUAGAUUUCGUCCUAUCUAAUUUGCCCUAAAAAUAGAGUGCACUAUUUUUAGCCCUCCUCUUUGAGAUGUUUCUGGAUCCACUACUGUCAGCGACUGAACUUCUUUCUCCUGGGAACCGGUUCGGUGCACCAUAUCUUCUGGUUCUGUUAAAGGCCACGCAUUUGGGAGGGAUCUGAUAAUACUGGUUUAGGUGAUCUGCAGUGCAUGAACAACCGACGUCAGAAUUGAUUAGCAGAAUCGUUGUGUGCUAGCUAACCAGAGCCGGCUGUGCAGUGGCUCAUUGUUGGAUGCAUGCAUGUGAUUAUGUGAACCAGAGCCGGCUUUGGCAACUGGCAGCUCAAAGGGCCCAACGAGUUCAUGUCAUGUUUUUUUUUUUAUGUAUGUAACUAUGUAUAUAGGAUAUAAAAGAAUACACAUAUGUGGUACACCAGGGAUUCGGAACAGAUCCUGGUUCCUCCACCAUGCGAAUGCGAUGGCCGUAUAUACCAAAAGUCGAAGCUGAACCCCACAAGCUUCUCUUUACCUGUGCACGGGCGAUCGCCCAAAACUUCUCUAGAGGAAAGAACCGCCAUCAUCAUGUGAAUGUUGGGGGUCAUAUUCAGGAUCUGCCAGCAGUUUUAACUUAUACGACUAGCUUUUCGCUCGUGCAAGACUACUCGUGACUCGUGACCACAGCACGCACAGAUGGCAUCAUACUUGCCUGGGGGAGUAAUGCGUAAAAGGACAAAGAAUGUAGCAGUUAGUAACACUGAGUGCAGCGCAGCGAAGGAAUGAGGGUCCUACUGUGGCCUGUCCAUCGCCACUUACCGUUCCUUGGAGGGCAAAUAAGUGAAAAAAAAGGUAAAUAUUCUUCAUCUCUUUGCCUACCUUGCUCGGGUAAACGUAGAUGCCAAACUUGAUGCUCAGUUGAAAAUGAAACAAACAGUACUUGAUGUGACUAUGUGGUAUCUAUUUUUUUUAGUUUGUCUUUUUGUUCAUUUUCAAAUGUCUAGAAAGAGCGUCAUUCAGAAGACAUGAAAACAGAUGCUGUGUGACACGGUGGCCGCGUCAUACUGACGAAAACGUAGACUAUAGGAAGUUCAGAGCUUGGCAGUUGGUGGCUCCUGCAUGCUGCCCGGUGUAUAUGCUCUUCACUAUAACAGAAUCUUUCCUCCGCAACAGUCAAGAGCAUCCUCAAGUCCAAAAUAACAAGUAUCAUUUCCAGUUCAUAUGAAUAAACAUGGAUGACCUUUUACCAUAAGAAUAAACAGGGAUGACCUUUUAUCAUAAAAUGGUAUACAGGUACAACAUAAACAGGCAUGGCCUUUUACCAUAAGAAUAAACAGAGAUGCCACCACCUACCUCAAGUCCUCAAGAUGCUCGAGGAUGGCUCCCUGUUCUUUUUUUUUUACACAGAAUAUAGCUUCCAAGUAGGAAAACAUGUCACCAUCUAUCCAGAUGAUAUGAUGGCAACCCCACCAGAUCGAUCUCACCAACGAGGCGCCACUCACCAUAGAUUCAUUGGCUGACAGAAUUGGAAUAUUCACAAGUCACAAGAACGGUGUAUAUAGUAAACUUAGCCGGGAAGCGGCCAGCAAUGCGCAACCAACGGAAGGUAACAGGGGAGUAGGGGACGAGCAGGAGCUUACAGCGGGAACCAUCCCCUUGCAUGGAUCGAGCAGGAGCAACCAACCAGCGCCGGCGCAGGAUGGAGACGGCAGUGUCCUAUGCUUGGCUCCCUUCUCCAUAAGGAACGAAAAAUGUUAAACGCAUCUUUCUACCAAACAGACUAUUCAUCCUUGUUUAGGCAUAAAAAAUGGAGUAUGCUGAUUUUUUGUUGGAUGCCUGCGUUCGUACUGUGUCGGCACUUGCACGGUUGGACCUGACAUGCUUGCUGUUCCUGUUGCAAUUCCUAGUUGUUUUUUUUGCAGGGAAUUUUAACUAGGUUGCGCUUUUGAUGCUUGCAAACAAGACAAUUUUAUACUGCAGAGUAACAAGAUAUGCAACAUCAGAACGGCUGGUUGCAGACUAAACUGAUUCUGUACGUAUUGUUCUUGCAGGCGGCACUGCAGCAGCGGGUAGAUACGACCCGUUGAAGUGCAAAAUUCCAUGUGGUAACACAGAUUGAAACGAGGAUUUCAACGGGAGUAAAAUGGGAACAGUGAAAUUACAGUAUUAUCAAGUGGCAAGGAUCUAGAGUAAGCAAACCAGAAACUCUCACAGUUUUUCAAUGGCGGACCCAGGAUUUAACGAAGACGGCCAAAAUUUAAUAGCAUAAGUUUGGUCCGAAAGAUCAACUCUCAUAUCAGUUCAUUGAAUUGUGCAACAUGAGCACAAGAAAAAUAACAUGUCCUCUGCCGUGUUUUCAGAAGAAACAAGAGCAUAUCGCUCGUACCUAACAUAAUGAACAGUAAAUAAGUUCACUAAAGAGUGUCACAAAAUCAUUUUAUGCUUUGCUUAAGUGCCUGCCAGGUAAGUAUCUUACAAGCAGCAAUGCCAUCGAGAGAGUUACUGACCAAACUGUCUAUGCCAAACUAAGGCCAAUGAAACCAAAGAAUGACAAUAAGUAGUCAUAUUAUUGAGUAUAAUUCACUAUUGUCUGUUUGAUGUAGCAAAAUGUUUCAGCAGUACCAAAUAAAAUAAGUUAAAAAAAAUAACUCUCUAACCACAAAGAAUAGGCAACCUAUGUACACCUACAUAGGGCGAAUGCCCAAGGGGCAUCAAAAGUGCUGCUAACCAAAUGGGCGAUGAAUGGCCAACUAGUCAACAUCGGAAGCAGAGCUAAGAGAGUAGUCUGCUUGCCACCGAGCUUCUCCAAAAAGCAUUGUCCUGGUUUCAGUUAAGCGAACUGUAGAGGAAAAACAAAGGUCCAUCAUGAGCUAAAUGUUUUUUUUUCUUUUUAGUAUCAUGCAUGUAAAUUAGGAACUCAUUACCAAAGAAACUCAGUUGUACAGUGCUAGGCCUUAGAUAAGUGGAGAGUGACAUUAAUAAAAAAUUCGGAAAUGGCAAUAUCUAUACACAAUUUAAAAUGAAUGCAAAUGGCAAAGUAUUGAUUUCUUUCUAAAAAAAGAACAGAAAAAAAUGAUUUUCAGAUAACAAAAUCGCUAUCUAAGACUGAUGUUGAGUCUACGAACUAUCAGAGCCAACUGUGUAGCAACAUUGUCUAUAUUCUCACAAACUAUCAGAGUUAAUUACUCCAGUAAGGCAGUAAAAAUAACUACAUGUCUCCAUCUCAAAAUAAAAUAAAAUACUACAUGUCCCAUAUCUUAAGUCAUGGUAGUAACUACUGUUACACACAGGAGUAACAGCAGAUCAAUACCUGUGCUGGUUUUGCCAUUUAGUGCUGACCACCGAGCUUCUCGAUCUCCAAAUAACCCUCUCUUUUCAAUGAACCGAGAAAAUUGGUCAAUCGCAGCUGCUGCUUCUGACAUUGAGUUUGAUUGCCAUGGUUACAGAAAAUUGAGAAGUUGACCUUUCUGCAUGGUUUGACCUGUAUGAUUCUUGAGGAUCAAGUGCAGCAGCUACAAAGGCAAAGAAAUCAGUAAUGUUAGAUAGAUAUGAACUGAAAGCAACAUUAGAAAUUUAGAAUGGAUGCAAAGAAACAUUUAUUGAACAAAAAAUUCAGAUCAGUACAUGGUUGUUACCUGCAUGAAUAAGUGUUUCAUUGAGAAGCUAUCGAACUCUUUUACUGAUUACUUCAGCAGUUCAGCUACCCUCUUAUGAAGGUAUCCUUUACCAUGCUUACCAUUUCUUAAUUUACCACUUAUUCUCAUUAUGUGCCUGUAUCAUGUUUGGAAGGAACACAGUGUGUGUGCUGAGCUCCAGGGUGUUUUCUUCUACCUCUAGCUGCUGGUGUAAGUGAGGGAAGCUUAGCAGCUUACCUGAGCUUGGAUUGUAAGGGCCAACAUACAACAUCACGUGAGAAGUGUUUAAAGAAUAUAUUUUGAGGGGCAUGCUAAAUUUUAGCAAAUUUCCAAAUUCGAAUUGUUGCUACUGUUAUUCUUACAUUUAAUAUAAUCCAAGGACCAGCUAAUAUGCCUAGUCAGUAUAUGACCAACUGAUAAGUUAUGGCAAAACCAUGGACUAUGUCACAUACCACAGCAGCAAACCCAUCAUAUCCUAUCCAGCUGCAUGUGUUUGCCUCUUUUGCCUUUUGAUAAGGCCUUCCAUCAAAGUGAUAUAGGUUGAACUGUCAACAGACAUGCCCUUUUGCAUCAUCUCAUCCAAAACAGCCUUAGCUUCUUUCAGUUGCCCACCAACGCAGAGUUCCUUUACAGAUUUAUUAUAGCUCUCCUGAUCACCACCUUUUGCAUUUCCACCAGAUUCACAGUCAGAUUUAACCUCUGGGUCCUUCCCUGUCUUCACUUCCUCCGCAGAAGAUUUAAUUAAAGGAUAAGAAAAUCUUUCAGAUAAUUUCCCACUCUCAUCUAAUUUAUGGAGCAUAUUCUGUGCUUCCUCUGAUCUCCCUGCCUCAGAUAGUGCAGACAACACAACAUUGUAUGUAAAUGCAUCAGGUUGCAAGCCUCUGGCCUCCAUGUCAGCAAAGAAAUGCAAAGCUGUAUCAACAUCUCCGUCUUUGCACAAAGCUUGAAUUAAGGUGUUAUAUGUGAUAACAUCAACCUUCUUCCCUUUCUCUGCCCAUGACUCAAAAAGCUUGAUCGCUUUCUCAAGCUUGCCAUGCAGACAAAGCCCAUUCAUUAAAGUGUUGCAGGUAACAACAUCUGGCUUAAAAUAAUUCUCCAGCAUCUUGUUGUGGAACUGGAAAGCUUUCUCCAAGUCCCCUUCCUUACAGUAAGCAUGAAUGAUGAUAUUGUAGGUAGUGUCGUCUGGUACCAACCCCUUCUUCAUCAGCUCAUUCAAUUUGUCAAUCGCCUCUGUCAACUUCCCUAUUGUACAAAGCCCUUUGAUCAAUGUGUUGUAAGUAUAAAUACUUGGUGUUAACUUCCUCUUAGACAUUUCAUCCCACAGAUACAGAGCAGGCUCUGGUUUAUUCUCCUUAAAGUAGGCUGCCAUCACUGUACCAUAGCUGACUUCAUCAGGUACAAAACCCCUCUGCGGCGGUGAACGCAAGAGCUCUUCAGCCUCUUCAUAACGCUUCUCUUUGCAUAGGUUAUAUAGCAAAGUGUUUAGGGUGAAAGUGUCCAUUUUGAGUCCACUCCUCACCAUCUCAUCCAUCAACACAAAUGCUUUGGCAACAUUCCUGGCUUUGCAGUAUGCAUCAAUCAAUGUAUUGUAUGUAAUCACAUCUGGUGCCAAUCCCUCCUCUGUCAUCAUUUUCAGACGCCCCAACGCCUCUUCCAAUUGCCCCUCCCUGCAGAGCCCCUUCACAACAAUGUUAUGUGUGACCAAACUUGACUUCACCCCUUUGUCACGCAUUUCCUCGAGCAGAUUCAGUGCAUCAGAAGAGCGCUGAUACUUGAAGCAUGCAUCGACAAGCGUAUUGUAGGUGACUACGUCAGGCGAUACUAUGCUGAGAUGCUCCAUCUCAUCCUUCAGCUUAAAUGCCUCGUCCACCUUCCCUGCCUGGCACAGCCCUGCAGCGAGCACAUUGUAUGUCCACAGGUCAGGCUCAAAACCGAAUGCUGUCAUGGCCUCCACGACAUUGGUCGCCUGCUUGAUCCACCCAAGCCUCGCGUACGCUGAAACGAGGGUAUUAUAGGUGGCCCUGGUGGGCGCAAUACCCUCCUUCUUCAUCCUAGCCAGCAGGGUCCGCGCCUCACCGAGCAUGCCCUUGCGACAAUGAGCCUUGAGGAGGGUGUUGUAGGUGACGACGUCGGGGGAGAGGCCGAAACCCUGCAUUGUGGAGAGCGUGGAAAGGGCGUCGGCGAGGGUGCCCUUGGAGCAGUGGGUGUGCACCAGGAGGUUGAAGGUGUAGUGAUUGGGGUGGAGCCGCAGCGCGAUGAGGGAGCGGAAGACAUCAAGAGAGGCCUGCGGCGAGGUGGACGGACUGCGCGCGAGUGCGGAGAGCACGGCGUUGGCUGCCUGGAGGGAGGGGCGGACGUGCCCGCGGCGG
This 139355-nucleotide long non-coding RNA is filed under the name Sorghum bicolor (sorghum). RNAcentral's name for it is "long non-coding RNA (SBIC_LNC001715)". Lineage: Eukaryota; Viridiplantae; Streptophyta; Magnoliopsida; Poales; Poaceae. The record is from RNAcentral.